GACAUAAUCAAUGACAUAAGUUGAACCUUCCUCAUAUAGUUCAUAGGCAAUGAGGUUACGAAAGAGACGCUCGGUAUCGUCGUCAACCACAAAGGUUGGAAUCUUCAUUGUCGCGUCUCUAAAGCUUAUAUCAAACAAACUGUUCACACCGCUCUCUUCGGUACUAUUUAUGAAUUGGAUUCCUGCUUCUUUCAGCUCUGUUGCACAACGUAAGGAUUGCCAUUCCAAUAGGCCUUUUCUUAAAUUUUCCUUUUCUCUUGCACAGCAUGUGAUAGUCACACCGCUCUCUACGUCGCCUUGGAAUUUUUUUUCUUUUGGCUUUUCUACGGCACAGAGUGUGAAUUUCCAUUUUUUUUCUAGGCCACCUUUUUUUCUUGCUUCUUCUCCUGCCUUUGCUUUUUCAUCUUUUGUUCUAUAGUAAUCCUGAUGGCGCCUUAUUCCUUGAGGAGAAGGACACCAAUUAUCAUGUAGUAAGCUGAGUAGGUCCUUGAUAUUGUCGGUAUCGUUGAUGGUAGGAGGAUUUUCUUUCCAUGUCUCUGGGCCUGGCAAGAAAUCAGAAAGAACAGAAAAAGCCUGGCAAGCGAAAUCUUUUCCAUCUGUUGGAUCCUUGAUCACGUGAUACAAGCCCACUAACACAAAGAAAGGAAGUUGAUUUUCGAAUAGCAACAAGUCACCAAGCAAGGCAUUUUGGACCCACUUUUUUUGGAAAAUAGGAUCAUCAUAUUCACCUGUUUCCAUCUGCCUCAAUAGCUCAACAAUAAAGCAACCAUCAUCUAGCAUUAUUGCAUCAAAUUUAGCUUCAAUAUCUUUCGGUAAGGAUGGGGAAUACCAUUUGCGAGCUCGUACAAAGUCGAUGGCGUCCCGAAAUCUAUGGUCGUUUUGCUCAUCGUUUCUCUCAAGAAUCCUUUGUAAACAACGUUUUUUGUAGACUUCCAUCUCAAUCAAGUGCUGCUUACCAUGGUGAUAAGGACCAAUUGAAAUUAGUUGUGGUUCAUAGGCACUUUCAUUUACCUGCCUUAGUUGAUGAGGCACUUUCGAAAGAUAGGCCUCUUCGUCAAGCCCUAGAGAGGCAGAACUCGGAGAUUUUGGUAUCACCUAUGCAAAAAUAUAUAAGAUACUUUGUUGGAAAAGGAGACACAUUUUGACAUAUGAUUUUUACUGUACUGCACGUCUUUGUUAAUAAUGGAAUGGGGGAUCUUUUUUCUCUGGGGAUUAAUAUAUUCAUACUUUGCCUUCUUAAAAAAAGAUAACCUUAAAUUUAACUACUAAAUAACUUUUAACAGGCCAUUCAACAAAAAAAAAAAAAAGAACUUUUAACAGAUAAAAUUUCACUGAAAUCUAAAAUUGAUUCUCAAAUAGAGUUGGAGUCAUAUAUGAUAAGUUGAUAUUUAAGACACUGAGCAGCUGCUUUUGUUAAAAAUUAAUAGCCCAUAAUUAUCCAACGUUGCUGCUUAAAACACUAAGGGCUUGUUUGGCAUUCCCCAUCUUGAAGUGACAUCUAUUCUUUUGUUUGGUUUGUCUUUAUAGUAUAAAAUAGUCACUCGGAAGAAUGGUUAUUCUUUAAAAACACAUAACAAAUAUUAUUGGCACCUUUGGUAUUUAACCAUUCCAUCCCCUGCGGAAUAGAGUCAAAAAAAUUCUUGCUCAUUUUAAGAAUUUACGAAACCUACCGUAUAAAAAGUUUUUUUUCUCUCAUUUUUCUCUUUUUCUUUCUCUCUUUUUUGAUCUGCCUCUUUUUUCUCUGCCUAAAUUUCCUCCACCACUAAAGAGCAGUAGACGAUGGCAGUGGCAAUGGGGGCACUAGUGCAUCCACAGCCAAAUGGGACUGAGGAAGCAUCAAAUCUUGCAUUUUUGCCAAUCUGGCGAUGUAGUAACUAGAUCCAAUCACGAAAAGCACUAGAUCGGCAGUCCAUUACGCUGUCCACAUUUCUGGUGGUUGACAGACAGAGAAAAAAGAAUAGAAAAACCAAAAUAGAUAUAAAGUAACAAAAUUUAUAGUUUUAAUUAUAAAUUAUUAAAAAUUAAUACUUUAAUAAAUUAAAACUCUAAUUAUAAAAUUUUUAAUAUUUUAAUAUUUUAAAAAUAAAAAACAAAGAAUAAAAUAAAAUAAUCAUAUAUUAGUUUAAAUUAUAAAUUAUUAUUAUUUAAAAUAAAUAAAUAAAUAAAUGUUCCAUUCUCUUAUAUUUCAUUUCGUAAACUAAACAUGUUGUAAGCAUUUUGCUUGUAUGGUUGCCAAAAUUCUUGGACAGGGUGAUGCUAACGACUCAAAGUAGAUUCUUCUGUCCCAGGCCAAUGUUCUUUCUUUCUUCUUUUACUUUUGUCUUUUUUUUUUCUUGAAGUUUUCAGCCAGAUGGCCAAGGCAACAGGUUGAGGAUUUUUUUUUUUUAAUUUUCUUAUACGCAUAAGAGGUUGUUUCCUCCAUUUUCCAGUCAAAAUAUUAGCUUUUGCACCUCAUAUACAAGAUAAUAGUCGUAGAAAUUAAGAAAAUCAGCUUAACUCCAACAAACCAAACCCAUCAGAAAAGCAUUAAAAACUAUAAAAAUAUGAAAAAUGAACCAAAAAAAAAAGAAAAGAAAAGAGAGCAUGGCGUAAAUCUUAAUAUAAUAGGAUAAAAAGUAUAGCUAUCACUCCUUUUGUUUAUGAGGGGCGAGAAAGAAGAAACUUUAAUAUCUCCAUUCUGCGUCGAACAGAUGAUGCAAAGUAUAAUAUAAAGUUUUAGUUAAGAAACUUACAGAUUGAUGCAAAGUAUGAUCUCCCUCCUCUUCUGCUGGAUUUGGAGAAGAAUGGUUUCCAUUGUAUUCCUUCUGCUCCAUCGUUUCACUAUGGAAGCGAAGAAUUAAGAAGAAAACCUUUUAUUCUUUUGGUGGGUAUGUACUAUAUGCAUAUAUAUAGUCGUUGAGUGAAAGAGUUCUUCCAUUUCACUGCUCUCCUUAAUUUAAUUACUAUACUAAUAAACUUUUUUUUUAUAAUUUCAUAGAAAGUGAGGUCAAAAACUCUGAGUAAAAUUGAUUUAUCAAAAAGUAAUUUAUGUUUUAAUAUUUAAAUAUAACAAGGAAAAGAUAAAAAAAAUUGUCUUCUAUAAUUUAAGACUUUAUUAAAAAAGUCAACUUAAACUACUCUUUCUAUCAAAAAAUUCAAAUCGUUCCCCUUUUCCUUCCUUGACUGUGGUUUUCACUCUCUCAAAACAACUUAUCUAGGUUUUAGUUGUAAGUAAUUUUCAACCCAAAUCAAGUUUUUAAAUACUUCAUGUCUAAAUAUUUUUUAAUUAUUUUAAUAAUUUGAGUCCAUAAUUAUAAUCUAACUAAUAGAAAAUAGUAUUGCGUGUCAGAUAAUAUCUUGAAAUUAUGAGUCUUUCUCUUUUUUUUUUUGAUUUGAUUAUUUGAUUUUUGUGUUUAACUUUAUAUGGUUUAUGAUGAUUAUAUUUAGUUUUAAUCGAUGAAUAGAAAAUUGUCAUAUUAUUAGUUAUUGAACCUGAUAAUUUGUAAUGUAAGAUCAUAUUUUAUUUAAUUUUAAUAUUUUAAUUUAUGCUAAUGAGUAGUAAUUUUAACAAAUUUUAUAAUUUUAGAUAAACAAACCUUAAAAAGAUAUUUUAAAAGAAAAAAUUUUGUUUCACAGGACUCAAGUCCCAAACACCAACAAUAAAAUUGUUAGGCAACUAGAGUCUUUCUUUAAUGAGGUUUUUGUCAACUAAUUUCUCUUUCUCCAUCAGGGUAAUAACUUAAAACAUGGCCGCCCAAUCCUCUAUUAAUUUAAGCACAAACUUGACCUGUUACUAUAAUUAGACUCCAUUUUUUUUUAUUUACUCGGAAGAAGACAUUGACUUAUUGACUUAAUUACUUUAGCAUAUGAUACCAAUUUAGUCUUUGUUUAUAGAAAUUAAUUUCAAAUUGCUUUCAUAUACUAUUGGUGACUAGGAUGUCUUAAUUUCUUUAUGCGUGCCUGAUCAUGUGUUAAUUGGUAGACACUUUCUCUUUCCUAACGAGUCACUUUUAACCUAAUCAUUUUUUACUUUCUCAAAGGAAGGAUUAAAGUUUAAGAUUCAUCCCCUUAUCCUUCUUGAUGUUCAAUUAUUAAAAGAACAAAAGCUAAACAGCUAGCCCUUAAUUUAAUUCACACUAUUGCCUGCCAAUUAAAUAUCAUGCAUCUAAUAAUAAAUUUAAUCCAAAGUCAGGUACCUUAUUAGAGGGAAGAGGGGGAGGGAGGGGGAUGAGAUAAGAUGAGACAUAAAAUUUAGAUUUAAUUCCAGUAGGUAGAAGGUUCAUGCAAUAAGGUAGCUUUUGCUCAAGUUUUUAUAUUAAUACAAAUAAAACAUGUGUUUAAAUUCAUUAAUAAUAACUCUCAAAUUCAGUAAUGCUAAAUGCAACACUCAUUUCCAGUAUAGAAGCAAUACCUAAGAAUUCCGUAAUCCUUACAUAAUUAAAGAAAAUAAUUUUAAUUGAUUGGGAAACAAAAUAAUUAUUUGGUUGAUAAAAAUCAAAAUAAAGAAUCUCACAUUUUUUUAUUUCUUAUUAAUCAUAUAUAUACCAGAAAAAUUUUCACCAAAACUUUAAUUUUUAAGUCAUUGAAUUGAAUGUUUUUUUGUCUUAGUAACUGUUCAUAUUUAUUCCCUCAACCUUGUUGAAAGUUUUAUAUAUGUUUAUUCCUGUCCUAUACCAUUUCAUGGAAUAAUUAUUCCAUUCCGCAAAUCAAAUGUGCCAUAAACAUUUAGAUCAACUACUAAAUUAAGUCAUAUACAUAUAUUUGAGUCUUAAAUAUAUGGGGGUUCGGGUAUUUACCAUUUUCUUCAACUUCAAUCCUCCUAAUUUAUAAUAGAAAUAGGCCCUUAACCAAACCCUGUAAAUUGAUUAAAAGCUUAAAAGAGAGGUCACUUAAUUGAUUUUAUCUAUUUUUGUGCAAGAAUAAAACCAUACAUAUGGUCCAGUUCCUCAACACUUAUAGAUGAAUUUUCGAAGUCUUUAAAUUGUACUGUAGUAGCUAUAAGUCAGUGUUUUACAAUUUUUGUUAUUCAAUAGAAAAAACUAUAUAUUUAAGAUGCGAGAUAGGGAAAAUUAAUUAGUGAUUUUAAACAUAAGUGGUAAUUUUAAAUUUUACAAACAAGAUUAGAAUAUUGUUCUGGCGGCCACUGCCCAUGAAUGGGUUUGCGUCGAGGGCUGUUUCAAAUUUAAGAUAAGAUUUAUAAUUGACAAUGGUGGUUGUUGGGGGAAGCGAGCUCGUCUAUCAACUUGUAUAUGGCUGAUGAGGGCUUCCUUGAAUUAUGCUUGGCUUUCUGCAAGAGGGGCACAAGAGCUGACAACACUAAGGGAGGGGGGAGGGGGCGCAAAUUGUUGCUAAGAUUAACACUUCUGUUUGUUAGGGUCAGUUGUUGAGUGGUGUUUUUUUUGUUCCAAAUUAAAAAGUAGUCGACAUUCGUGACCACGUCAACAAAUGUCAAUGUCUCACAAUAAUAAAAGACGAAUGCAAAAUUGAGCCCAAAUCCAACCUGCCCUAGGUCGUGAUUAUAUUUAGAUUUUAUUAUUAAAGUAAUAAAAAAUAUUUAAUAAUUUUACUAUGGGGACAAGUGAAGGGGUAGGUAGUUACAGACACAAGUUUCCUGUGGGUCUGCAAACCGCUAGUGCUCUUUACUUUACCAUUAAUCUGUUCUUUCUGAUGCUCUUUUUUAAGCCUACUUAGUUUCUUCAACAAAUUUGCUGUAUGCUAUUUUGCAGUAGAAAAGCUUAGGCUUAUAUGUGUAUGGAGGACAUAGCAGAGAGUAGGUGCUGUCAACUACCUUGUAAUUGUAGAGAAUUCUCAAACUUCAAAGCUAGUCUUUAAGGACUUACUUGACAUCAAGGGCGGAGCUAGCCAAUUUUUAUUGGGAGGCAAAGGUUAAAAAGAAUAAAAAUUAAAAAUUUUUAAUAUUAAUAUAUUGAACUUAACCAUUAAUAAUAAAAAGAUUUAUAAUAAAAAAUAAUUUGAUAUAACAUGUAAAGCAAAAGAAAGAAAAAGAAAAAAAACUUAUAAUAGUACUCUAGGAAAAUUUUUUUCGAUGAUGGCAAUAUCUUUUUUAAUAUAAACAACUAAAUUAUUUGUAAGAAAUUUAUUAUCUAUUUUGUUUUGAAGUCUUAUCUUUAUCAAUAUAAAUGACUAAAAAAUUAAUGUAGUCAAUAUCCAAUAUAUUUUUUUUAUUAUAUUUAAGUUUAUAAUACUAAAUAUUAAACUAUAAUGCACAAAAUAUAAAUAGUUCAAUAUGAUAUACAAAAUUAAUAAUUUCUUCUUAUACUCAAGAUAAUUUUCUUUCAACUAAAUAUAAAACGUAAAGCACAUUAAAAACAUACACUCAAGAUAAUUUUUUCUUAUAUAAUAAGGAUUAAUAAAAAAUAAUAUAUUGGUGAAAUUUUAAAUAAUAACCAAUAAUGCAAUACUAGAACUUAUAUUUGAGAACUAGAUAUACAAUAAAUUUUUAAUUUUUAAAAAUUAAAAUCAUUAAAAAUAAAAUUCACAUAAUAGAAAAAAAAACCAUGAUAAGUAGGAGAUAUAAUCUAUAUAACAAAAAAAAAAGAAUAUGGUUAAUGAUUCGUAGAAAUUUAAAAAAAUCUAUAGAAACUUAAAAUAUAUGAGAAAAUAGAACAGAAUUGAAAAAAAUAAAUAAAUAAAAUUAAUAAUAAUAAUAUAAAUAGAAAAAAAUAAAUAAAAACUUUACCUCUUAUUAAUAUCAUAAUACAAGGACAGAAAAGAGAAGAGGGAAAGAUGGGUGGAGAAACUUAAAAAAUUAAAAAAAUUUAAAUUUUGAGCAAAAUUGAAUAGAGCUUGUAAGGUCGUUUAAUUAUUUUUUAAUUAUAUUAAUUAUUCAAUAAAAAUUAUUUUGAAAAAUCCUUAAAAAAUAUAUCAUAUAUAAAAAAUUUCAAAAAUUUUGGGGAGGCCAUUACAAAGAGACGCUUCGCCCCUGUAUGACAUACUAACUUUUGAAAUUUUUAAAAAAUACUGUUUUUCAAAAAAAUUAUAAAAUUUUUGUCUGAUUCAUUUGCCCAAAGCUAAUUCAUUAAAUUUGUUUAUGGUUAAAAUUUCAUAUUUAAACAAUUUACUUCCACUUUUUUUCUAUUACUUUUCCAUUUUUGAAAAAUAAGUAAAGAUUAUACUACCAAUUUUAUUAAUUACAUUUUAUUUUUUUAUAGCUUUGUCUUCUUUUUUCUUUUAUGUAAAUUUCCGUUAUACCCCAUUGUUUCCUUGCUUUUCCUUUUCAUUUUUACUAAAGUAAUUAUAUUAUAUAAAUUCCCAAGGGAGUAGUAGAGCAAUUAGAUAAAAAUACAAAGAACAUUCCUAUGGAAUGGGUCAUCAUUAAAAGUAAAGAUACAUUUCGUUAAUUGGGAGUCGAUUUGCAUCUAUAGAGACUAUGGUGUACUUGGAGUGAUUGAUUUAAGCAUUAACAGUUAAACUUUGCUUACAAAAUAAAUAUGGAGACAUGGUAAUUAAAAAAAGUAGUCUUUGGAGAACCAUUACAGUGGAGAAAAGUGAUGCCAAUAUUUCAAACUUAUUGUCAACCUUGAAAGGGUGGCUUGAGGGUAUCAACCCUAUGGCUUAACAUGAUUAGUCCUCUUUUCUCGAAAGAAUGAUUAGGAUGCAUAGUGGGGAAUGGAAGGAGCAUAUCCUUUUGUACCAAUGAAUGGAUCAAAAGAAUGCUCCUUAGAUAAGAGUGCCCUAUAAUUUUUGCACUUAUAGUCAAUAAUAUAGGGAAAAGAAAUGAAUUGGAACCUAGAGGAGAACAAUAAUUGGAAAUGAACGAUUGAUCUAAGAAGAAACCUCUUUAAUUGGGAGAUUGAUCAAUGGAACCGCCUGCACCAUGUUACAUAAGAGUUCCAUCUUCAUAUGGAUAUGGAAGACAAAAUGGUUUAAAAAGGCUCGAUAAGUGGUAGCUACUUUGUAAAAUGUUUUAGUAGAAUUGUCUUGACAUGUAAUAGUGUGAAAGCAAACUAUUGGGAGAAGAUUUGGAUGGGUUUUGCACCUCAUAAAGUGGAGGUGUUAGUUUUGCAAGUGCCAAUGGGUUAAGUGGCUGUAAGGCAGAAAUUAGUAAAGCGAUAAGCGCUAAGUAGACGUUUCGCAUUAUGUCUUCUGUGCAACAAGGAACCGAAAAAUACCAGACAUCUCUUCUUUACUUGUAGUCAGUCUGUGAAACCCAACCUUUGAGAAUUUGUAACUUAGCUUGGUGAACAUAUAAAAAAAAUUGAUUUCCAAAUGAUGUUUUUGAGCAUUUCAAACCUAGAAAAGGGUGUUUUAGUUUCUGAAUGAGUUUUAUCUAAAAGUUGGGACAUAUAAAGGCUCAAAUGUUUUGGUUUUGGUCUUGAAAACUAUAUUCUAGGACAAAAGUAUCGAUACUUGUUUAUAAGGUAUCAAUAAUUGAAGCCUAGAAGUGCAUCUUAUGAAUGAAGUAUCAAGACUGGAUGAACAAGUCUCGAUACCUUUAAACCCAUAUUAAAAGCAUUAAUACUUACUCCAAAAGUAUCUAUACCUUUAACGUAGAUUGAAAAAAAUAAGGGUGAAAUAGACUUUUCCCCAAUAUUUUAAGCCCUAAAAACCUUUAGCUUUGCCCCAAAUGGAUAAAAAAUGUUUUCUCUCUAUUUACUAACCUUUCUUUUUUCUCUCUCCUUUUUUUCUCUUCCUCCUUAUUUCAACGGAUUCAAGCAUUUUAAAAGCAUACCCAAGUUCAGAUUUUAAUUUCAAAGACUUCUAGAGGUAAGGUUUCCUUAUCAAAAAUAUCUAAACUUAUGGUUUUGAUUUGCAUAAAUUAUGGAUCAUUGAAAUUCAUUUUGCUCUAUAAAACUUACGUUUUGGAGUGGUUUUGGUACUCUCAAGCUCACCAUGGUAAAGUUGCUAAAACCCCUAAAUAAUUGUAGAAUAACAAUCAUAGUUAGGUUGGAUUUUAGAUGCUGAGUUAGGGUUUUCAGAUGGAAAGGAGAAGUUGGUAAAAGGAUUUAUGGUUAUUUAUGAAAGUUAUACCUAAAGAACAAGGUAUUAACAAUGGAUUAAUCUUGGAUAGGUGUUGUUUGAAAAGUUGGCUUUUAAAGAAGUCGAGUGUUCGUCGAAAGGUGCUAGAGGAAAAGGUACGCAUUUGUCCAGGUGAGUGGUUAUAACAUUUUCAAAGUAUUUUGAUAUAUAAAUACAUAAGCAUGUUUAGAAUAGCAUUGAGAAUGUUUUUGGUGUUUGGAAUAGCAUUGGGAAUGCUUUUGAUAAAAAUCCAAAUUUUGUGGAUUGAAUGAUGAUUGUCACCAUGUUUUGAAUAUGGUUUUGAAAUGCGUAUAUGCUAUGUAAAUGUACUUAUAUAUGUAUAAAAAUGGCUUUGUGGCAGACAAACUUUUCAAUGGUUUUACUCUUUCAAAUAUGAAUUGAGUUUGGAUUGUGGAUGAUGUUCGAACUACAUGACUUAGCAUGUUUUGAGAAUAUAAUGAAUGAGAUCAUGUGUUGUUAGCAUGUUUUGUUAUGAUGAAUGUUUGGCUUGCAAGCUAGAUUAUGAUUUACAUGGAUUGUAAUUUGAAUCACAUACAUUUUUAUGUUUUGAAUGGCUAUCUUGUGGCUUGAAUGUUUAGCAUAUCAUGAGUGCAUCAUCAUCAUCAUCAUAACUCACAUGUUCAUAACAUGUUUUAAAUAUCAGCAUCAUUAUGGGUCACAUGUCCAUAACAUGUUUGGUUAUGCGCCAUGUCAUGUUUUGAUGGGUUACACAUCCCUAACAUUUUUUGAACCUAUGUGGCUCAUCACAUUUUGAAACCACAUGCUUUGCCACAUUUUGAACCUAUGUUCCUCAUCAUGUUUUGUACAUGCAUUGCAUGCUUUAGAUCACAUUUUAAAAAUAUGUUUUGAAAACAUCAUUAAAGAAGCAUGUACAUAUUGCAUAAUUCAUCAGGGCAUGACAUGUAAAUAUUACAAUCUUAUUGUACAAUAUGGAUUAUUUGGAUGAGGAUACAUAUGUUGUGAAAACGAUCUAAGGAUCUAGUGUUUGAACAUAUAUUUUGGGUUGAAUGCUGUUUGGAAAUUGACUUGGGAAGUCAAGGGUGGAAUUCCUUUUGGGAUUUUGCUUAAGAGAAGCUAGAAAAUUGGUUACAAGGGGCAAAGUAUCGAUACUUGCCAAGAAAGUAUCAAUACUUGUUCAACAGAAUGCUUUAGGAAGCAUUUUGGAUGAGUGGUAUCAAUAUCUUUACCCAAGGUAUUGUGACCUUGAAAGCAAAAAGCAUUCUACUUGAAAAUUAUCGAUUCAUUGGGUACAAGUAUUGAUACUUAGUUGCUAACUUGAUGAUUUCCACCUUACUGGAAAGGUUUUGUGCUCCAUUAUGAUUGGAUUAUCUGUCCUAACACCUGAGAGGUUUUGUUGGACUGUAUAGUGUCCUAAUGUGUAAAACGUGUGAAUGAUUGAGCAUUGGUUGAAGGAAUGAGCAUAUUUAUUUUAAAUGAUAUUUGCAAAGGCUUCUUUAUUUCUUUUGUUCCCCUUCCUCGUUUCUGCUCACUAAGAUUUUAUAUCUCACAACAUGUAAAUUCUAUUUUGCUUCAUAUUAGUAAACCUUGAUGGCCAUCGUUGGAAAGUUGUCUUUCCAUCCUUCUUUGGUAGGUGGUCAUCGAGGUUCCCAUUUGGUUAAAGUUUUCCACCCUAUGUAAAUCCGUUGGGUGAGUGUUCCAUUGUCAAAUGUUUAUACUUAAUUCUGUAGCUAUGGUAUAAUAGAUAAUGUUGCUUAGCUUACACCUUUAUGUUGUUAAUGGUUGUAUUGUUGUUGUCGAGUGUUGCAUUGAGCUCUUGUUUAGUGCUAGGGUGUGCUGUUGUAUUGGGCAGAGAUUAUAUUUCUUUUAUAUGCCAACCCACUCCCUCAAGAUAGUGAAGUCACCUGCUACACCCACCUUGGAUCUUAAGAGAAGAAAUCUUUGUCGAGAGAGAGGCUUUGUUAGACCAUUAGCUAAUUGAUAAUGAGUGGAAAUGUAAGAGACUUUGUAGACACUUGAAUUGACAUGUUCUCAAACAAAGUGAUAGUCUAAGUUAAAGUGUUUCAUUCAAGAGUGAAAGAUAAGGUUUUCACUUAGAUAGGUUGCCUUAAUGUUAUCACAGUGAAGGAUAGGUGUAGAAGAGAGUGAAAUUUUGAGUUCAGACAAAAGAUGCUUGAACGGAACUAAUUUAGAGGUUGCAUUGGCAAUGGCUUUGUAUUCAACCUCAGUUCAUGAUCUAGCAACAAUUAUUUGUUUAUAAGACUUCUAAGAGAUAGGACUACCACCAAGGUAAAUUACAUAAGCAAAGACUAAGCUAUCCAACUUCCCAACGCAAUUUGUAUCACUGAAUGUUGCCAGUUGAAGAGAGGAUGAUUACUUCAAAAAUAGAUUACCUUUAAGAUUUUUUAGAACUCCAAGACUAGACUAGUUAGCUAAGGUAAUACAUGAAUUGAGACAACUUGUUCAUUGAAUGUGCUAUGUUAGACCUAGUGAGAAAGAGAUAUAUAUUCUAAUGAAUCAAAGAGUUGUCUAUUAAGUGUUGACUUAAUAGGUCUUGAGCCAUCUUUAAGUUAAAGCUUAAUAGUGGUGGCCAUUUGUGUUGUAACUGGUUUAGCAUUGGACAAGUCAAACAUCUCUAGGAGAUAUCGAAUGCAUAUUUGUUGAGAAGAAUAAUCCUUUGGAAGUUUGAAUCCCUUUAAUGGCAAGAAAGUAGUUGAGAUUGCCAAGGUCCUUCAAGGAAAAUCUGCUAGCAAGCUAUUGGAAGAAGGUAGCGAUGGCUGUAGUGUUGUUCCUUGUAAUAAGAAAAUCAUCUACGUAUACUUAGAAUUAAAUUGAGGACAGACUUUUUGUAGUAAAUGAAGAGAAAGGCAUCAAAUAUUGAUUUUUGAAAAUCAUAUGAAUUAAGGAAGGACUUUUCUUGAUAGCAUGCUAUAAGGGCCUAUUUUAAUCCAUAAAUGGCCUUUUUUAGUUUGUAGAUCUGAGAAGGCUUGUCCUCUCCCACAAAUCAAGAAGGUUGAGCCUUCAUCAAGUAAUGUCCAUUGAAGAAAGGCAUUAUUUACAUCAAGUUAUUUUAUUUUCCAACCAAUAGCCAGUGCAAUACAAAGGAUUGUCUUAAUAGUUGUAAGCUUGAUAAUUGGACCGAAUGUUUCCAAAUAAUCAAUUCCAGGCCUCUAAUAAGCUCUUAGCUACUAGCCAAGCCUUGUACCUGCCAGUGGAACCAUAUGACCUCCUUUUUACCCUAAAAACUCACUUCCGGCUCAUUAUGUGAUUAUUGGAGAUAAAUGGUACGAGUGUCCAUCUAUUAUUUUUAAUAGGAGCAUUAAACUCAGCAACCAUUGCAUUUCUCUAGUAAGCAUCAUUCAAGGCUUGUUUGACAAUGGUAUGGACAAAGGUUGUGUUUGGUUGUGGAUAAUGCUUUCUUGGGUUUAAAGAUGUUAUUUUUGAUCUUGUGAUCAUGGAGGAGUUCGUUGAGCUGGGGUUUUAACGUGUGGUGGUGAAAUUGAAAUAGGGACAGCAGGUUCAAAAGAGUUACCUGACAAAGAAGAUGAGAAGGUGACAGAAGGCUGACUAGUUGAGUUGCACUUGAACACACUAGGACAUUUGAUCGAUGAAACUUCUGAAGUUAAGAAUGAUGAUGGUUGUAGGGCUUCAAUGUUAGCAUCUUGGGCAGAAGGCACAAUUGUUGUGGUUUUGACAGAUGCAAAAGGAAAUGAAUUCUCAUUAAUGGUUUUGGCAACUUUGUUGUAUAAGCUUCAAUCCUUAAUAUUUUGCUACUUGUACAUUUGAUUAGGAUAGAGUCAUUUGAUUCAAUUUGUAGCUGCUAAGAGGAUGUGCUACCGCUUUUUAGUGUUACUGUCCUGUUGCUAUCUUAUGAUGAUUUGUUGUACUAAUAGUAACUGCUUGAGCUUGUUUGUAAUUCUGCACCUAUAGUUUAAUAGCUUUUGUAGCUUAGGUUACGUCUUGAGGCUGUCAAUGGCUGUAUUGUUGGUGUCAAAUGUUGCAUUGAGGUCUUGCUUAGUGCUAGGAUGUGCUGCAGUAUUGGAUUGAGAUUGCAUUGCCUUUAUACUUAAUUAAUAGAAUAUUUCUAUUGAAAAAAUAUUAAAACGUUGAGCAAUUAAAACAAAUAUAGUACUGUGCCUUAAGUCAAAUUUCUUCCAAUGUCAUUUUCUUCUUAAUACUUCGUAGAUAUGAAAUCUAUAUCUAUUUUACAAAAAAGAAAUGAAUAAAAAUCAGUUCAACAUAAAUGGAUUUUUAAAAGCAUGCAAAACAUAUUUUCAAAGGAUAAAUUAAAUAUUUAAAAAUUGUAGCACUAAUUUUCCAAUCCAUCAAACAACACCUAAAACACCACCUCAAGUUCUUUCAACUCAAUUGAUGCCUCGUGAUUUUUGUUUGGUUAAUUAUAAUACACAUGAUUACGAGGGAUAUUUGUACCAUAAACGACUACAUUUAUAAAAAUUUGACAUGUUGAUCUUGGAUAUUAGUAAUAAGUUAUAUUUAGUGGAUAAGAUACCAUUUCAAUAAGUAUGAAACGUCUUAGGUAGGUAAGAACAGUUGUUCCUUUUCUACCAAACGGACGCUAGGCAGAAGUCAAUUCUCCUAAUCUAAACACAUGAAAGCCUACUAACUUAUAUUAUGGACUGAUUAAGAUAUGAUUGGAAAGUGAUGUUUUGUUUUUCUUCUUGACACCUUUUUGAGAAAUAGGACAAUCUAGAAAAGCGGGAUGAGGAACACGAGGAGUAGUGUGUCGACUAAAACAACGUGAAAUUAAAGAGAAAGAAUAAAUAAUUGUAUAUAUAAAUAUUCACAUAGUUGGUUGAAUUCUUUUGUAUUUUUUAAAAUGUUUGACCUUAUGUUUCUAAGAGGGUAGGGGAAUUGUCAUUAUCAUGCACGUCGUUUUUGAUGAUAUUUUUUGUAGUAUAAAUAACAAAAUUAAUCUGGAGGCUGUUAAUUAACAAUAUUGUGCAACGAUAAUAAGUAUGAAAUUUAUCAAGCUAUAUAUAACUGGCAGGAUCCAAUGUUUUCCCUUUAAGCUUAGCAUGGAAUAUAAUAGACUAAAUAUGUUAGAAGGCUCACGUAUUAACUCAAAUUUAUUUAUAAACAGAUAUUCUAAAUUUUAUUGAUAAAAAAGUAAUAUUUUACAAAAAUCUUCAUGAAUUCUAAUUACAUGAAGAAACAAAAAAUAAAUGUAUUACAAGUUUUGUGUAAAUAUUCGGAUAACAAGCAUAAGCUAAGUAGUUCCAAAGUACAACAUCAAACACAUCUACAAGAUAGAAUGAGAACAGCUACAAUAUAAACUAUAUUAAAUUAAUUUAUAUAAAUGUAAAUUUGAAACAAAACAAAACAAUAAAAGACAUUACCUUGAAAUGCAGACUGGAACCCUAAAACUCGAAAUACAAAGGGCAAAACAAAGGCACAAAAUAAUCAUAAUAAGACAAAAAGCUUAAAAUAGGAUUUGAUUAGACAAUGCAAUUACAGAUGACAUUAAUGUUCAGUGAGAGUUGAUCAUACAUCAAAUACAAAUAAAACACAGCGAAAAUAAAAUUAAAAAUUAAAUUACACCUCACCCCUUUAGAAUCUGUUUUAUACUAAAUUGAGUACAGAAUUAAAUUAAAAAUAAAAGUAUAUGAUCAGAUCACUUUACCUAAAUAAUAAAGAUUGAUGAAUCAUUUGUUAAACCACCAAAUCAGCCUUCAAAAAGCUCAACCACCUCAGCCCGGUUGUUGCAAAUCAAAGUUGUCCAAGGAAUCCUUGUGCAGUCUCUAAUGGUGAUCUACACCAAUGAAAGAGAAAAUCUUUCUUUAAGCAUUGGGAGUGUUAUGCCUUGAUAGUGUGCUAGCAAAGAUGAGUUUCAUAAACUCAUAAUCCACACAAAAUUGUGGGGCUGAACACACAAAGGGAAGUGAAUGAAAAAACUAUUUUUCUUCACACAAGGAAUGGCAAGACAAAAGAAUUUCUAAUGUGCCGUUCAUUCCUUUUUUUUUUUCAGCCGUUUUCUACUCUUGUUUGGAGGCUAUAGCAAGGUAUUUUAUACCUUGGAUUAAUUUUAAACCCUAAUUACAAAACUAUUUUGUAAUUGCCAAUUAAUCCAAUAAUUUGAUUAAAUAAUUUAAUUAAAUAAUUUAAUUAAGUUCUUAAGAAGUCCAAUUAACUUAAUUGUUUAAUUUAAUUGAUUAGGCCCAAUAACUUAAUUAAACAAUUUAAUUAAUUAAGCCCAAUAAUUUAAUUAAAUAAUUUUAAUCAAUUAGGCCCAAUGACUUAAUUAAACAAAUUUAAUCAAUUAAGUCCAAUAACUUAAUUGUUUAAUUUAAUUAAUUAGGCUCAAUGACUUAAUUAAAUAAUUUAAUUAAUUAGGCACAACUUAAUUAAACAAUUUUAAUCAAGUGCUUGAGAAGCGCAUAACUUCUAAUUUGAUUAAGUCCAACUUAAUCACCUCUCCCAUUUUAUUUUCAACAUUCAUUUUAGGUGUGUGACCCAUUAAACUUCUAAUAUGUUGGCAAUGAACUCAACAUAUAAUUCUUAAGUUAAACUUAGAAUUAGAUAAAUUUAAACUACUUUAAAUUUAUGAUUAAUCAAGUUAACUACCUAAAGUUCAUAGACCAAGAUUAGGAUCUAGCAAUCCAUCAUGGCCACCCAAAUGUUAGAAGAGUCCAGAUGGUUUGACUCAACCUUUUAGUGAUCAGCCAUUCAGUGUAAUUCAUUCCCUCAUCAGAUAUCUCCAAUAUGAUAAGAGCAUGGUGUAGUGUCUACUCUUAUUGAUCUCCAUAUUCGUUCUUAAAAGUUUGAUCAUCAGCUUUAUAAAGACUUAUGAAAUUCCUUUCACAAUCUUCAAGUCGCCUUGGCCAAGGACUUCAAUAAGCUAAUAUUAACUAAGAACAGCUAGGAUAUGUCCGUUGCAUCACUUGGGGUGAUGAUUCCUAUCUUGACCACUCAUUUGCCUUCACAUGCUUCAUGCUAUACCCAAAAGCAUCCUGUUUUGGCAUCCUUGGUUAGGCACCCGUAGUUAUGAAAUCAAAGCAUAGCAUUCCACACAUAAGACAACCUGGUGUCUCAAGUCUAGGGAGUAUUUACACAACUGACACAUGAGAAGUAUUGCAUAGACACUUGAGUCAAAUACCAAAUGCAGUUCUCAUGGCAGGCCAUGUUCAGUGAACUUGCUCUCUUAGGCAAGUAUCUACAUUUUACUUCCAAGUAUCUCCAUACUUCAACCUAUGAGAUCGGUUGCUUACUUCUCAAGUAAGGAACAUAGAAUGUACCAGUCUCUAAGUAUCAUUGAUGUCUAGUCUCAAUGAUACAUUAACCAGGAACAUUUUGAGAUUACGCUUUGAUGCAUAAGGAUCUCAUAACUGUAACCCAUUACAGUUUCCUUGCAAGGCAUAUUAAUCUCAUGGACUUCAUCCAAUUAGACUAUAACUUGUUAUAAUUGAUGUCUUAUUGAUGAAAGAAAACCUUUAAUCAUUCAACAUGAAUGAUGUUGUUACGUGAUUGGAAUCAAGCCUUAACCAAUCCCAAUUGGCUGCAAGGCUCAUCCCCACAAUUAAAAUGUGGAAUUAGGAAACAUAAACAGAAUCCAAAUACGAGACAUUUCAUGUUCUUGAGCUCCUUUAGACAAAGUACAACUUACUAAAUCUCCAAGUGAUCAAAUUUCAGACCCGUAACAUAGAUCAAAAUCUAAUUUUGAGUUUGCAUUUCAGCGUAACAUAAAUUGGGUUGAAUGCAAGUUUGCUUUUGGCAAGGUACUUCACUCUAGAAGUUUCCUAGAAAAGAAAAGCAACUUCUUCAAGAAGCAAAAAAUGUGAAAAGAGAAAAAAAGAACCAUAGAUCAACGUACAUCACAAAAAGCAAACAAAGAUCUAGAUUUGACUAAAUGGAUUAUUAGAAGUCUUAAAGAAUAGAACUUUAACAAAAGCAAAUUACAAUGACAGCUAACAAAUGAAGGAUGCUAACCUGAUUGAGAGGAAUUCAGAGAGAGUUUUUGGGUGGUUUUUAAUGGUGAAAUACAGCUGGAAUAUAUGAAAGGAAAUAAGAGGGAUUUUCUAUGGAGGUUUGAGGCUACCAAUCGGUGGAAAAAAAGAAAGGAGAUCCUUCGAUUUAAGAAUGCCAAGGAUGAACCAUGUAUCGAGACAUGCAAAAGAGUAUCGAGACCUUAGUCAAAUAAAGUUUCAAGGUAUCAAGACAUGCUUCGAAGGACAUGUAUAACAGUAACUUUUUCAAACACAAAUCCCUAAAUGGUUAUUUUAGGACACAUACAUAUAAAUAAAGGUCUAGGGAACAUUUUCCAAGGUUGAGAACAAUAAACGCAAGAUUUUCAAGCUAAAGUGCAAGAUCAAACUCAAGAUUCUUCAAGAAUCACUCUAAAAAUACAAGUGUUCUUUUUUUAAGCUACUUGAGCCUUAAGCUUCUUCAUCUAUUUCAAAAGCCUUUAUUCUUUCUUUGUAAUAACUAUUUUAUUCAGCCUUUUUAGAGGCAUUUGAGCUAGUUUCUCAUCAUCCUUGUAUUGCUUUGUAUAAUUCUUUCUUAAUCUUCAACUCUGAGCUGUCAACAACCUAUCACGAAUCAAUUGAAUCUUGUUGGUGGCUUCUUGAACCAUCUUUGAUCCGAGCAGUUUCCACUCACCAACCUCAAAUCAAGUGAUAUGUGAUCUACACUUACGCUCAUACAGUGUCUCAUAAGGUUCCAUUUUAAUGUUAACUUGAUAACUAUUAUUGUGGGCAAACUCUAUUAAAGGUAAGUGUCGAUCCCAAGUAACUCUACAAUCAAACACUCAAGCUCGUAACAUAUCCUCCAAAGUCCCUCUUAGACUGUUUAUUGGUUUAAUGAUGAAAACCAAUGCUAAAUUUACUCUUAGUCUGCAAAGCUUCUUGGAACUUACCUUAAAUCUGACUAAUGAACUAGGUUCUUUUGUCUGAAACUUUAGUUACCAUAAUUCCAUGCUAUUGCAUAAUCUCUUCAAUGUACAAUUUGGCAUACUAUGCCACUCCAUAGGUGGUCUUCACUAAUAGGAAGUGUGUGGACUUAGUCAAACUAUCAAUUAUCGCCCAUAUGGAAUCACACCCUUUUGUUGUGUGAGGUAAUCCAAUUACAAAAUCCAUAGAUAUAUGUUUCCAUUUUCACUUAGGAAUGGGUAAAGGAUAAAACAAGCUUGCAGGCCUUUGAUGCGUCGCCUUAACAUAUUGGCAUACUAAUCACUUAGCCAUAAACUUGGCUACAUCUUUUUUUUAAACCUUCCCACCCAUAUACCUUUAUCAAGUCAUGGUACAUCUUGGUGGAUUCAAGAUGUACUGCAUAUGCCAACAAAUAUGCCUCUUCAAGAAUCUCCCUUCUGAGAUCAUCCAUAUACGGUAAAUACACUCUUGCUCCAUAAUGGAGUAAACUGUCAGAAUCUCCAUCAAAGUGUUGCCUCUUUCUCCUUUGGGCAACAUCUAAGGCCUUGAUCACCCAUUGAUCCUUACCUUAGGCUUCCUUAAUGUGAUCAAGUAGCAUAGGCUUAACUUGAAAAUGUGCUAUCAAAGCAUCAAUCUCACUAACCUUAACAUGCAAACCCAUGUCUCCCAAACCAUGGAUAUCCCUUGCCAAAGGUCUCAUACCAAUGGUUAAAUAAGCCAAUAUUCUUAUAGACUUUUGGCUUAAAGCAUCGACUACCAUGUUCACUUUGCUGAGGUGAUAUAAAAUAGUACAAUCAUAGUCUUUAAGUAACUCCAUCCAUCGAUGUUGCCUAAAGUUGAGAUCUCUUUACUCAAAAAUGUAUUUGAUGAGACUUUUAUGAUCUGUUUAGAUUUCACAUGUCUCCCCAUAAAGGUAAUUCUUCAAAUCUUAACUGCAAACGCAAUGGCUGCUAUCUCUAGAUCAUGUUCAAGAUAAUUUUGCUCUUGCCUUUUUAACUGUCUUGAGGCAUAAGUUAUGACCUCAUCGUGUUGUGUCAACAUGUAACCUAAACCAACACAUGAGGCAUCACAAUAAAUCAUAUAUCCAUCGACACCUUGUGGUAGGCUAAGUAUGGGAGCUAAAGUAAGACAACUCUUAAGCUUUCCAAAGCUCUCUUCUUAAACUUUGUUCCAUUGAAACUUCACAUUUUGAGUCAAUCUAGUCAACAAAGUUGUAGGUUUAGAGAAGUCCUUGGCAAACCAUCUAUAAUAUUCAACCAAACCUAAAAAACUACGAAUCUCCAUCACAAAGGUUGGCCUUAGCCAUUUUUCUAUGGCCUCUAUCUUCUUAAGGUUUACCUUAACACCAUAUUUGGAAACUACAUAAUUUAAGAAGCUAACAUUAUCAAGCCAAAUCUCACACUUGGAGAACUUGGCAUAUAAUCGACGAUCUCUCAACACUUGAAGCACAAUCCUAAGAUUUUGUUCAUGUUCCUCCUUAUUCCUUGACUAUACCAAAAUAUCAUCAAUAUAUACCACAACAAAGUUGUCCAAAUAUGGUUUGAACACUUGAUUAAUCAUAUCUAUAAAAGUUGUGGGGUCAUUUGUAAGAACAAAGAACAUAACCAGAAACUCAUAGUGUUUGUACUCGUCCAAAAUACAGUCUUAAGCACAUCUUCUUACCUAAGUUUGAGUUAGUGGUAACCAUAGUAAAGAUUAAUCUUGGAUAAACAUUGUGCUCCUUGCAACUAGUCAAAUAAAUAAUCAAUACAAGGAAUAGGGUAGUUAUUCUUUAUUGUUACCUUAUUAAGUUGUUAGUAAUUGAUGUACAACUUGAGUGAACCAACCUUUUUCCUCACAAGCAACAUUAGCGCACCCCAUGGUGACAUGCUUGGGCAUAUGAAACCCUUAUCCAACAAAUCCUCUAAUUGAUCCUUGAGCUCCUUGAGCUUUACCCAUACUUUGUUGUAAUUUGAAAUGGAUAUUGAGGGCCCUGAUGUUUACAGUCAUAAACUAUUUGUUUUCACACAUAUCAUUCAAUAUUUUUUCCUUUUUAUGAAUUCCUUGAUUUCCUCACCUUUUUUUGGCUCUUGAACAUAAGGUCAUUGAUUUCCAAUAAUAGACAUGCUUAUUUCCAUGUCAUGUGCACAAGUAGCUAACUCUUCAAAGGUUUAAGGCUUAAUGCCUUGAAGAAUGUAGCGUAAUCCCUAAUUCAUCCUUUAGAUACACAAGGGUUGAUGACUCAAACAAUCGCUCUUUGCAAUUGAGACUUAGAUUUCUCCACCUGUGAUGUAAUCAAUCAUGGAUUCAUGCUUCCAUUGGUGUGAAGUUAUGAGUUCAAUCAUGCUCACAACAAGCUGAGUGUUGUAGAAGCGAUUAAGGAACUCACACUCUAGUUGUUCCCAACUGUUAAUUAUCCUAGGCUCUAACUUAGUGUAGUAGUCAAAGGCAUUGCCCUUUAUAGAGCGAAUGAACUACCUCACCAUAAGAUCUCUUUAGAUGCUGACAUUGUUGCAAGUUUCCACAAAGUGGGCAACAUGUUGCUUGUGAUUUCCUUUACAAUCGAAUUGUUGGAACUUUGGUGCUUGAUAAUUCUCUAGCAUCUUCAUGCAAUCAAUCUUUUGGGAGUAUGUUUUCACUUAAGUAUAAAAAGGCUAGGUGAUGUAUUCCACUUGUUCCUUAAUGGCUUCUUUAAUGAAUUCCUUCAAUUAGUUAGGAGUGACCACUUCAUUGGCUUUUUGGUGGGGAUUUGUUUCCAUUUUCAUAGUGGAAUUCUCAUAAUUUUCUUGAAGAUUUUGGUGCUCAUUUUGACCAAGAUCACUUGGUGCUUUUCCAAUAAGGCUGUUAAGUUUUACCAUUAUUGAGGGAAUUUAAUCAACCUUUUCUUUGAUAUUCGUUGUUAGAGAUUCCACAGUUUUCACCAAAAGUGCUCAACUUGUUCUUUUAGAGAUGUCAUGCUAGUAGUCAUGAUAGCCAUCAUUUUAGAAUUUUCUUUCGAAGAGGCACUAUGGAAAGGGGAUGAUGGAACAGACCUGCACCUUGAAUAGCCAUUUUGUUCCUUGGUUAAGAGUUGGCAAAUUAUACUUGAUUCUUUAGAAGAAGUAACUUGCCAUGUAGAAACUUCUUCUAACUUUGGGAAAGAAGUAUCAUACAAAGGAUUUUGGUUUAACACUGGGAAACUCAUGUCAUAGAAUUCAUUCACCUAGUGCCAUAUGGAUGAGUUAGAACAUCUGUGCUUGAUGAUGAAUUUGACAAGACUGCAAGAUUUGCUCGAGCAAACUUAAGAGUUAAUUUGUUGGUAAAGUUAUUCUUUGGCACCAUUGUAAUUUGGAAAUUUGUUUAAGGAAAAUAAAUGAAAGGUAAAGAUUGUCCCAUUAGUCGUACUAAAAAUUUAUACACAUAAAUUUUGAGUCAAAUAUUUUAAAUUUAAAAAUUAAGAGAAAAAUAUAAAAAUUUAUUUAUUAGACACGGAGUUUACAAUCUAUGAUUUUUUUUACAAUAAAAAUUGUCCUCAAAUUAAUUUCUUCAAUCUUCGCUUCAAGGGUCAUGACUUCACUUCAAAGGUCUUAUGACUUGAUCCUAAAUUCGCUUCAUGGGUUUUAGGGUUUAGGAUCUUGAAUUCACUUCAAGAAUUUAUGGUCAGAUCUUGCUAUUUGGAUUUGUGGAACUUUGGAGAGGCUUUGGUUCUUUAGACAUUAUUUCUUGGACUUUGGAUUUUUAGAACUCUAGAGGGGCUUAGAUUCUAAAAAUCUUCUUUCUUGAAAUUUUAGAACACUAGAAAGACAUUGAUUCUUUAGAUUUUCUUUCUUGAACUUAAGGAACUUUAUAGAGGCUUUGAUUCUUUAUAUCUCCAUUCUUGGACUUAGACUUGUGGAAAUCUGGAGAGGAUUUUAUCUUUAGAUCUUCUUUCUUGGAUUUGUUUGUGGAACUUAAGAGUCUUUGAUCUUUUCUUCCUUCUGGAAGCUUUGAUCUUUAGAAUUUUCCUUAUAGAGGCCUUUGACGUGUGGGAGUUUUGGAGAGGCUUUGAUCUUCAGAAUCUUUUUCUCCUCCCAAUUGCCUUCAUUCUCCCUUAUUCCCUUUCUUUACUGUCAUCAAAUGGCUUGGAGGAGCACUCUAUUUAUAGUGCUAGAUGAGAGAUUUUUACGAGAAUUUAGUCUCUUUAAAUUAUCCUAAAUUAUUUUAAUUUGAUUAAAGAUAAAUCAUGAUGACUCAUAAAUGAUCUUUUGAUUAGUCAAACUGUGUCUUCUAGUUUUGUUUGGCCAAAUUUGACUAUUAUCUCUAAAUUAUAAUAAUUUUUUUGAGAUAACUUGAAUGAUCAAAUUUGGAUCUUAUCUCUAAAUUGGAUAACUAAUAAAUAAAUCUUAAUUGGUUUAAUUAAGACAUUAUCUUUAAAUUAUCUCAAGAGAUAAAUACAUGACACAUAGGAAAAUUUUAAUUGGUCCAACUAUGUGCCUUUAAAAUAAUUAACCUAUAAAUUAAUUAUUUUAUAAUUAAGUAUAAGGUGAUAUUAAAUGAUUGCUUCAAAUCCACAUGGCAGUGUUGGUCUCAAGUAAAUGUGCUAGAGGGGGGUGAAUAGCACUUUUUGGCUCUUACUAAAAUUGACUUCUAAUUGGGGACAAAUGCAAGAUAAAAGAAAGAUUUAAAGAUGAAUGAAAAACUAAAAACAAAGUAGACAAUCACACAAGAAUUUAUAGUGGUUCAGUCCAAGACUUACAUCAAUUACCUUGAUUGUUCAACCAAGGAUUUUUUGAAUCAAUCACUAUGAACAGUGAAAUUCACAAGCUUUCACCAAUCUUUUACAAUGGCUUUUACCAGGCUCGGCUAAAACCUUUCACAAUGGUUUUUACCGAGAUCAACCAAAACCCAAACUAACUUUUCUAGGCUAAGUUAGAACCUAUCCACCCAAUCAAGCAAUCCAAACUUGAAUAAAUCUCUUAGAGUGCCUCGCACACACUAAGUAUUCAAGGAGUAGAGAAAUAAAUGUGUACCUAUGAUCACUUACUUGAUCUAAGUGAUACAAAGUGAAGUGCUUAUCUCAAAUACAAAGAUAGGAGUGAAGUGCAGUAAGGGUGCUGAAGGUUUUUGUAAUUUUUGAGCUCUUUUUGGACUUGGAAGCCUUAAUUGCUUUUCUAAUAGUUGGAAGCCUUUUAAAUACUCGAAAAAUCAGCUCUGAUAGGUGUUAGGCAGUUUUUGACCGUUGAAAAUAGUUUGGUGGUAGUUCUGGUCGUUAAUUUGUCUUCUAGUGCUCAAUUCAAAUUUUUUGACAAAAUGAUCUUAGUUGACUAACUGCACUCUUAGUCGACUAAGUCGUUUCUGUUUUCUAAUCCCAGUUUCUAGCAGUGAGCACUUAGUCGACUAACUUCCUUCUUAGUCGAUUAAGUUGUUUCUGUCUUGAAGUCUAGAUUUCAAGUAGUAGGCUUUUAGUCGACUAAUUUACUUCUUGGUAGAUUAAGUUGGUUCUGUCUUGAAGUCCAGGUUUUUGGUAGUAGACUCUUAGUCGACUGACCCAUUUCUUGGUCGACUAAGUCUUUUCUGUUCUCAAUACUCUUGAGCCCGCCAGCUUCUAAUUUGAAUUUUGGCUGACUAACCCUUUAUUAUUCAACUAAGGAGCUUCUGUUUUGUUGAUCAAUUGUGGCUUCUUAUACAUAUAAUUUUUGAUAUGUCCAUUGGAAUAAUUUAUUUAUCAUUGGCAUAAAGUUCUUGUCUUGCACACUCAUGUAGAAAUAUUAGACACAAAUGAAUGGGAAUGUUUUAUUAUAAUCAAAAACUAACAAUCUCCCCUUUUUUGAUGAUGACAGAACAUUCCUUGAUUAAUAGUACAGUGUCCAUUUAAUCUUUUUAGUUCUACACAAAAAAUGAGGAUUUCUCCCCCUAAGUGUGUGCUCCCUCUUAGUAUGUGCUCCCCCUUAAUGUGUACUUAUUUUACUUAUUCAUUUCAGCAAAUUUUUAUUUAUGUCUUACAGACAAUGACAUUAAGCAUUCAGAAUAUAUUUAUGCUGACAUAUAAAGUAAUCAACAAUAGGUGACUGGUUGAUAGAAUAUCAUUAAUAUUUCAGCUGUGUCUGUCGACAGCAUAUUGUUACCAGAUUUUAUCUAUGCCAUUUAUCAUCCAACAAAUAUAGUAUAAUUAACAUCCAUAUACAUUCACAAACACAAUCGAUUCACAUUCCAUUCACAAUAUCAUUGACAGAAAUUGGUUAUCAUCGACAGAAAAUGGUUAUCAUCAUAACAACCCAAUGUCAGUACCAAAUCUCAAAACAGUAGUAAACAAACUCAAGAACAGAUUUAACCAUCAACAAACAAAUAAUAUAAGUAGCUUAACAACAUCCUAUUUUCAACACAAUAACACAAACCACAAAGUUAAAUUUAGAUAUUCAACUGUCAACAGAACAAAAAAUAGCAGAAAAAGUAGUCAAUAUUUUGUUCCUAAACUACCCCUAGUUCUCCCCUAAACUUUCUACCAUAAUUCUCCCCUAAACUUUCUACCUUAAUUCUCCCCCUUUUUGUCAUCAUCAAAUCCUAAAGACGCUCAAUCAUCUUCUAAGGAGGGUGAAAGGGUAGACUUAUCAGUGCCAUAGAAAACAUUUUUAUGGUGAGGGUUCAGGGGAUGAUUUAUUAGAAAUUUCAAGGGGGCUUUAAGGAGAAGAGAUGGUUGAUGGUCCAACUUCUUUAGCUAUUCUAGAGGAUUUUCGUCUCUUGAGGAAUUUGGUCUUGGUUACCAUUGUCUUUUUACCUUUACUAGAUGGUUUAGACUUGGCUUAUGGAGUAGCAGCAACAUUUUCUUUUUCUUUCCCAGAUUGUUCGUCUGUAACUGAAGCUGGUUUAAGGGACUCUCUUGGAGAUACUGACUUUUGUGCUUUCCCUUUAGCUACUUCCUUUUCAGCUUGUUCUUCUCUAACCAUUUGGUGGAAGACAUCCAUUAUUGAGACUUCUUUUGAAUUGGGGGGAGAUGGUUGAUCUUGCUACGGUUCAUGAUGAGAUGGAGGAUUUUCAUCAUAUGAGCCAAGCACCUCAGUACCUUGUUCUGAUUCAGCUUUCUUUUAUGGCUCAAGUGAAGGGGAUUUUCUUGGUUGAUCAAUUUCAGGCUCAUGACCCUCAACCUAAAAGGCAGAACCUUUAGCAUCCUGUCUUGCUAGUGCAGGGUUUAAAGUGGCAAAGGUGUUUGCAACUGUAGGUUCAUAAGGCAUUUUUCCUUUUUCCUUCAACACAUUUUCCAAUUUUGCUAAUUUUUCUUCAAUUUUUUGCAUCCUCAUAGCCUGGCCAGUAAGCUUUCUAUCAAUUCGCAUGAGCAAAUUAAAAACCAUUUCAUUUGAGUACUGUGAAGGGGCUACCUUUGAUUGAUCAGGGAGAGAAGACUCUCCUCUUGGAGUGACCUUAGGGGUUUUAACAAAUUUUUCUCCAUCAAGCUUAUACCACAUCUUAGGCAGACUCCCAAGGUAAAUAGCUUGGUCCCUACUCUUCACUUUAUCCAAUUCAUACCUAGAGCUCCAAAUUCCCUUUUGUCGUACUAAUGAUGUAAUGAUAUUUCCAUAAGGACGAUUUUUUUCUAGUCGACUGAUUCCUCUCAUUUUCUCAAUCAUGAAUCUGCCUAAAUUAAGUGGAGCACCAUUGAAGGCAUGCUCCAUUAGCCAUAAGUCUUGAAGACUAAUGUAGCUAAAAUUGCCACCUCUUCAAUGAAUAUUCGCAGUAAUAAAGUAAUGCAAAAUUCUAAUAUGUGGACUUUUAAUCAGACCAACAUUACUCUUUGAUGAAUAUUUUUCUUUCUUCCCGGUAAUUAUCUCCCACAAAGAAAUGGGAUCAUAGUUUUCAGGCAUCUCACAGUCACCAUUUUCACUUUCAAUUUUAAGUAGAUUUCCUAAAUCGGCAACAGUCACAAUAAAUUUCUUUCCAUUUAAAAAGACAUUCAGAUCAUCAUCAAUAUAAUCAUCAGAAUCCUCAAGUUCAUCCUUAUAUAAUGCUAUACUUGCAUAAAAUUCUUUCACCAAACUAGCACUAUAGGUUUGAUUCUUAAAAGAUCUAAAAUCAUUCAAUUUCAUUUCUUCAAAAUAAUCUGAUAAAACAACCUGAAUUUCAGGGGCUUCAUCAAAGCUGUUCCAAUCUAGGAAUUUUUCAUAUGUAAUUAGAGCAUUUUCUAUUUUCUUGAAUCUAUCUUCAUGGGCUUUAUUCCUAAAUUUGGAGGACGAAAUAUUACAUUUCUUGGAGGAUUUACCCUUCUAUUUCUUAUUCUCUAUUUUGUAUUCCUUCAAGGCUGUUUUUUCCCAAAUUUCUCUAUCUUAGAGGCAGACAUACUCUUCUUUUUCUUCUUCUGAGAUUCAACUUGUCCACUUUCCUCCACUAGUCGUUUACCCUUUUUUUUUCCAGAAUUUCUUUAGUUUGUGAUGAUUUUGCCAUCUAGUUUGAGAGAUUUAUGACUUCUGUUUUGUGGGUUUGAGAAAUAGGAAUUUUUGUUUCAUUAGGGUCGGUUUUAGAUGAGAGAAAAUGAAGUGAGAAUGUGUUAAGAGAGGUUGAAUUCUAUCAAAACCGUCUAUCUCCCCCUCUUUAAAUACAUCCAGUAACCUCCUCUUUUAAAAUUUAAAAAUUUCCCUCUUAAAUUUUAUUUUUGGUGAGGAGGUUUUUCUUUUCUGUUCCAUCACCCGGUAGGCAGUUUCUUUUCAUUAUUUAAUUCCUCAUUUCUUUAACUGACUGAGUCUUAUUAUUUAAAGAGACAGAAUGCUCUUAGUUGAUUAAGUGACUCUCUUAGUCAACUAAAUGCCUACUGUCAUUUGAGAAAAUUUCAGAAUUUUUCCUAAAGCUCCUGAAUACUGACCAUUCUUAAAUUUCUCCUAAUCUCAUAAAAUCUUUCUUCAUUUAGAGGCUUCAUGAAUAUGUCAGCUAAUUGUUGUAGAGUAUUAACAAACUCAAUUUUAGUAUCACCUUUCACUACAUGAUCUCUAACAAAGUGAUGCCUAAUCUCAAUAUGCUUAAUCCUAGAAUGUUGUACAGGAUUUUUUGAAAUGUUGAUUGCACUUGUAUUAUCACAAUAUAUUGGUAUGUUAUCCAUUGUUACUCCAAAGUCUUUUAAUUAUUGUUUAAUCCAUAAGAUUUGAGCACAACAACUACCUAGAGAAAUAUAUACUGCUUUAGCUGUAGAGAGAACAAUGAAAUUCUGUAUUUUACUUAACUAUGACAUAAGCAUACUACCUAAAAUUUGGCAGGUUCCACUUGUGCUCUUUCUAUCAGUCUUGCUUCCAACAAAAUCAGCAUCUAAAUAUCCAACUAGAUUAAGGGAUGAUUCUCUAAGAUACCAUAUCCCUAAAGUUUAUGUACCUAAGAGGUAUCUAAAAAUUCUUUUAACAGUAGUCAAGUGUGAUUCCUUGGGUUGACAUUGAAAACGAGCACACAAACAUACACUGAAUUGGUUAUCAGGCCUACUUGCUGUUAAAUAAAAUAGUGCUCUGAUCAUACCUCUAUAGAGCUUUUGAUUAACAUCCUUUCCCUUUUCAUCAACCUCAAGUUUGGUGGAUGGACUCAUUGGUGUGCUAAUUGAUUUCAGCUUCAGCAUGUCAAACUUUUUGAACAUGUCUUGAAUGUAUUUUUCUUGGCUGAUGAAUAUUCCUUCCUCACUUUGUUUGAUUUAGAGCCCAAGAAAGAAUUUCAGCUCUCCCAUCAUGUUCAUCUCAAAUUCACCUUGCGCUCUUCAGCAAAGUUCUUCCAUAAAGCCUCAUUAGUUGCAUCAAAAAAAAUAUCAUCCACAUAGAUUUGAACAACAAUUAAAUCAUUUAAGUAUCUUUUAAUAAAUAAUGUUAUAUCAACACUCCCUCUAAGAUAACCUUUUUCAACUAAGAAUUUUGAAAGCCUCUUAUACCAAGCUAUAGGAGCUUGUUUCAAUCCAUACAAGGCGUUAUGAAGUUUGAAAACAUGAUUUAGUGUUUCAAAGUCUUCAAAUCCAAGAGGUUGUUCAACAUAAACUUGCUCUUGGAUGAAACCAUUUAGAAAGGUAUUUUUUACAUCCAUUUGGAAUAAUUUAAAGUUCAUAAAACAAGCAAAUGUAAGCAACAACCUUAUAGUUUCUAUCCUAGCAACCAGUGCAAAGGUUUCAUCAUAGUCAAUUAUUUCCUCUUGGUUGUACCCAUGUGCUACUAGCCUAACUUUAUUUCUAAUUACAUUGCCUUGCUCAUCUACCUUAUUCCUAAACACCCAUUUUGUCCCAACAAUAGGGUGAUUUAAAGGCCUAGAGACUAAUUACCACAUACGGUUUCUUUUGAAUUGAUCAAGUUUCUCUUGCAUAGCCAUUAUCCAGCUUUCCUCAUUUUCUACUUCUUCAAAGCUCUUAGGCUCAAUUUGAGAGAUGAAAGCUGAAAACUCACAUGUCUCUCUAACUUCUUUCCUAGUUUUGACACCUUGUGUAAUAUCUCCUAUCAUCAGCUCUUGUGGAUGGUCUUUUACAUAUCUCUAACUUCUUGGAAGGUCAUUAUGUUGACUUUCAAUUCUUUGUAAGGUUUCUAUGGGUGGAGGUUCUAUUUCUCUUCUUAAGGAAAUUUCUUCAUUGUUUUUCUUGUCAUCUAAGCUCAUUCCUUCCAUUUGUUUUUCAAGGUCAUCCGUAUCAUUUUUAUCAAUAGGAAUUUCCUUUUGUAAGGCAUUAGAUUCAUUAAAAACUACAUGGAUCGAUUCUUUAACAGUUAAAGUCCUUUUGUUAAUAACUCUAUAAGCCUUUGAGUUUAAUGCAUAUCCUAAAAAUAUUGCCUUAUCACUUUUUGCAUCAAACUUUCCUAGAGAGUAUUUUCUAUUGUUCAAUACAAAACACUUACAACCAAAACUCCUAAGGUGAAAGAUAUUUGGUUUUCUACCCUUGUAAAGUUCAUAUGGAGUCUUUGACAUCAUGGCUCUAAUUGAGACUCUAUUAAGGAUAUAUGCUGUUGUGUUGAUAGCUUCUGCCCAAAAAUAUUUUGGUAGAUUGUUUUCACAAAGCAUAGUUCGAGCCAUCUCUUUUAAGGUUCAGUUUUUCCUUUCUACAACUUCAUUUUGCUGGGGUGUUCUAGGUGCAAAAAAAUUGUGAUCCAACCGCUUUUCAUCGCAAAAGUUUUCAAACUCAUCUCCUUCAAACUCACCACCAUGAUCACUCCUAAUACUAACUAUGGCAAGUCCUUUUUCAUAUUCAACUUUCCUAUAAUGAUUUAUAAAUGCGAGUAGUGCAUCGUUCUUAUGAGCAAGGAAGUAGACCAAAGUAUACCUAGAGUAGUCAUCAACUAUCACAAAGCCAUAUGACUUCCCUCCUAGACUAGUUGUGCUAAUGGGUCCAAAUAAAUCAAUGUGCAGCAGUUCAAGAGGUCUAAAGGUGGAGACAACCUUAUUGGCUUUGAAAGAUGUUCUAAUUUGUUUACCUAGUUGACAUGCAUCACAAAUUUGAUCACAUUCAAAUUUAAGUUCAGGCAAUCCUAUAACCAAAUUUUUUCUUAUCAAUGUUUAGAUGGUGUGCAUGCUCACAUGUCUAAGUCUCCUAUGCCACAACCGGCCAUCAGUUUCAACAUUUGCUAUAAAACAUGUUUCACAAUUCAUCUCAAGAUCUUCAAGAAAUUAACAUACAUAUUCUUAAUUCAUUUUCCUAUAAAUGAAACUUUGUUAGUACUUAUAUAUAUCAUUUCACAUUUAUUUGAGUCAAAGCAUACCUUAAAAUCUUUAUCACAUAAUUGGCUAAUACUUAAUAAAUUAUGUUUCAAACCUUUAACCAGCAACACAUGACUAAUUCGAGCUUGAGAGUUCUUACUAAUGGUUCCAAUACCACAAAUUCUACCUUUUGAAUCAUCACCAAAGGAAACAGUAACUCCCUUUUUCUUGUCCAACUGAGCAAACAACAUUUUGUUUCAAGUCAUGUGCCUUGAGCAACCACUGUCCAUAAACCAUGGUUCUUUCUCCUUUAGUUGAGCUCUUGAACAUGUGUCUUUUAGAUUCAACUCAACCUGCAAAACAGAUUUUCAAUUUUUCUUAAUAAGUACCCAUACUUUGAUGGGUCCUUGAAGGUUAGCUGCAAUAUAGGAUCUUUUUAGAACCCAAAUUUUUCUUGUUUUCUGCAUGCUUCUAUUUCUAUAACAUUCAUAAGGUAAAUGUCCAAAAUUUCCGCAAUUAUAACAUCUAGAUGAAGCAUUGUCAGAAGUUUUGUUAAGGUAUAUGUUCCUUCUUGAUGUUUCUUUCCUCAAAUUUUAAAAUUAACAUUUUCUUCAACUACCUUUUGCAAGGCUUCUGUUCUAUUUUCCAAUUGCAAUUUUAGAGUUUCGAAAUCUAUUUUUUAAUGAUCUAAUUCAAUUUGCAGAAAAUUUCUUUGCUCAAAAACAGAAUUGAAGUCAUGUUUUAUCUUGUACAAAUCAGUCUCAAGAGAUGUAGCUUUUCUUUUCAAAGUUUUAUAUUUUGAUGCAAGUUUCUCAAAUUCAUCAUAAAGACAUUCAUACUCCUCUUACAGUUCAUCAAUUGGAAUAUCACAAGGGGAUGAAGAUACCUCAAAUUCAUCAUCCCUUGCCGUAAGACACAGAUUAGCUCUUCCUUCCACCUUUUCUUCUUCAUCAUCAAAACUUGAGGUAUAACUAUCUGACCAGGUUGCAGCCACCAUUGCUUUCUUAGAUUUUUUGUUUUUCCUUGGCAUUUCUUCCUUCAGCAAAGAGCAUUCUGACCUGAAGUGUCCUGGCUUCUUGCAUUCAAAACAUAUAAGUUUUUUCUUCUUAUUGGACUUGUUUUUGUUUUCUGUUUUCCAUGAAGAGCCUUGAUCUCUUUUAUACCCUCUUUUAGCCAAUCUCCAGUUUCUUUGGCCCAUAGGCUUUCUAAACCUUCUUGUAACCAUAGCUAGUUCCUUAUCAUCAUCACAAGAUAGACUGUCCAAUUCUUCUUUAAGGAUGCUUGCUUUUAAGGUAAUAAUUUUCUUCUUUUCCAUUACUUCCCUCUUAUCUUCUUCUUUCUCUUCCUUGAGUUUCAGCUCGUGAGUAAGAAGAGAACCACAAAUUUCAUCUAGAGUUAUAACAUUUAAGUCCUUGGCUUCACGGAUGGCAGUCACCUUUGGCUUUCAAUUUUUGGGUAGGCUUCUAAGAAGUCUUUUACUGAUUUCAUGCUCAGGAAUUGGUUUGCCUAGCUAACUUAAUUUGUUUGUGAUGUUUGUGAAUCUAUCUAGUAUGCUGGUGAUAUCUUCACCAAGUUCCAUUUUAAACAUCUCAUAAUUGUGGGUUAAGAGGGCUAUCUUGGACUCCUUAACUUGUGAAGUCCCUCAAUGAGUAAUCCUAAGUUUAUCCCAUACUUGUUUAGUUGUGGUACAGCUUGACACUUUAUUGAAUUUAGUGGGAGUUAAAGCACAAUGCAGUGUAUUGAUUGCCUUCAAGUUGGUUUAGACUCUUUUGGUUUCAGCUUUGGUCCAUUCAGACCUUGGCUUAGGAAUCAUCUCAUUGGUUACAACAUUUAAGGUUGAAGGAAUAAAGGGACCAUCAAUUAUGACAUCCCACAUCUCAUAAUCUAUUACUCUAAUGUAUAUUGACAUCUUAGUACUCUAAUAUGGGUAAUUUGAGCCAUCAAACAGAGGUGGUCUAUUUGUUAAUUGUCCCUUAGCCACUACUAAUUUUUGAAGAGCCAUUUGGAUCUUCCCAAGGGUGUUAAACCUUAAGAACAUGGAACCUGCUCUGAUACCACUUGUUGGUCCUAAGUAAAUGUGCUUCAAGAGGGGUGAAUAACACUUUUUGGCUCUUACUAAAAUUGACUUCUAAUUGGGGACAAAUGCAAGAUAAAAGAAAAUUUUAAAGAUGAAUGAAAAACUAAAAACAGAUCAGACAAUCACACAAGAAUUUAUAGUGGUUUGGUCCAAGACUUGCAUCCACUACCUUGAUUGUUCAACCAAGGAUUUUCCAAAUCAAUCACUAUGAAUGGUGAAAUUCACAAGCUUUCACCAAGCUUUAACAAUGGCUUUUACCAGGCUCAGCCAAAACCUUUCACAAUGGUUUUUACCGGGAUCAACCAAAACCCAAACUAACUUUUCUAAGCUAAGUUAGAACUUAUAGACCAAAUCAAGCAAUCCAAGCUUGAAUAAAUCCUUUAGAGUGUCUAGCACACUCUAAGUAUACAAGGAAUAGAGAAAUAAACGUGUACCUAUGAUCACUUACUUGAUCUAAGUGGUACAAAGUGAAGUGUUUAUCUCAAAUACAAAGAUAGGAGUGAAGUGUAGUAAGAGUGUUGAAGGUUUUUGCAAUUUUUGAGCACUUUUUGGACUUGGAAGCCUUAAUUGCUUUUCUAGUCAUUGGAAGCCUCUUAAAUACUUGAAAAAUUAGCUUUGAUAGGUGUUAGGCAGUUUUUGACUGUUGGAAACAAUUUGGUGGCAGUUCUGGCCGUUAAUCUGUCUUUUGGUGCUUAAUUCAAAUUUUUUGACAAAAUGAUCUUAGUUGACUAAUUGUGCUCUUAGUCAACUAAGUCGUUUUUGUUUUCUGAUCCUAGCUUUUGGCAGUGAGCACUUAGCCGACUAACUUCCUUCUUAGUCGAUUAAGUUGUUUCUAUCUUGAAGUCCAGAUUUCUGGCAGUAGGCUCUUAGUCGACUAAUUUACUUCUUGGUCGAUUAAGUUGGUUCUGUCUUGAAGUCCAGAUUUUUGUUAGGAGACUCUUAGUCGACUGACCCAUUUCUUGGUCGACUAAGUCUUUUCUAUUUCUGAAUACUCUUGAGUCCUCCAACUUUUGAUUUGAAUUUUAGCUGACUAACCUUUUAUUAUUCAACUAAGGAGCUUCUGUUUUGUUGAUCAAUUGUGGCUUUUUAUACAUAUAAUUUUUUAUAUGUCCCUUGGAGUAAUUUAUUUAUCAUUGGCAUACAAUUCUUGUCUUGCACACUUAAGUAGAAAAAUUAGACACAAAUAAAUGGGAAUGUUUUAUUAUCAUCAAAAACUAAGAGAGCCAAUAAGCAGCACAUGAUUUAUCUUUGAAAAGUUUUCUUCAAUGCACUAAUUUCAGACAUGUGGCAUCUUGUAAUUGGAUAACAAUUCUUCUCCUUGUAAACUGCCAUUACAUUCUUUUAACAAGACCUUUGCCCACUUUUCUUCCCCUUUUGCCUUCUAUUCCAUAGUCUUGUACCCUAUGUUACCUUUGAACAUGGAUUUGAAAUUCGAAUAUUGUUUUGUUUCCUUCCUUUCUUAUUCUGUCCAACUUGUUUUUUCUCUCCAAUUAACCAUUACCACCUCAUCUUUUUAUGCCAUGUCAUCAAGACUCACCAUGUCAUCAUCUUCCUCCUUUCCUCUUACACUGCUUCCUUUUUUGUCAGCCUUUAUCACUGCCACCCCUAGCUCUCAUACUUUUCCAUUUCUUCACCUAUAUUUUCCCAUCCUUUUUUUCUUCUUUCUUUCUCCUUCUCUUUAUCCAUUUCUUGGUUGAAGUCCCUUGUUUUCUCAAUCUCCACCACUCUCAUCUUGUACUUAUUUCUUGCCACCUUUAAAUUUACGAACUUUUCAAUUUUGUCUUCUUUUUUUGCUGAGAUUAACAUGCUAUGUACAUCAAACCCGCUACAUUCUAGUGUUUUCUCCUCAACUUUUAAUAAUUCUCUCCAACACUUUGCUAAAUUUUUGAAAGUACCAUAACUCUAAGCAUGAAUUAAGAUGCCCUUUACUACCACCCAUUUAUACUGCACCAACGUCAUAUAUGUUUCAAUCCACUCCUCUAUUGUCAAAACACAUUUUUUCAGUUGCACCCUUCUAUCUAUAUUAGUUUCCUUGUGGUCUUCAUCAAAAGAGGUUAUUGAAAAGUUUCUUGGUGCCAAACUUCUGACCUUUAUUUGCCAUGUCACACCCCUUCAAGGUAUUUUUGCAUCUCCACCACCUUCAUUUGGUAUUUUGUCAUGGUGAUGAGGCUUAUUAAUAACUUUAUUUUAUAGAGUUAUUUGGUCAUGAUUUUUGGUAAUUUUGUCUAAGUUCUUAAGAUUUAAUUUAAUUUAAUUAUAUUGGCUUUAAUGUUGUUAACUUCUUUAAUGAUGUUUUAUAUUAUGUUUAGUUAUUAUUUAACUUAGUUUAUUUUUUGUAGGUGUGCUUUGAAAAGAAAAAGGCCAAUUUUGUGAAAAAGAUACAUUUUAGGUGUAGACUUCAACUACACAUGUUUCAGUUUUUCAAGUAUAUCUUUCAUUAAAAAAGUCCAAUUGAUGUGAUUGUUGAACCAUUGAAAAGUUAACAGAAGGUAGAGCUACAACUUUUAUGUUUACCAUUUUUCCCUAUUCAACUUGGAAGGGAGUCAAAAAUCAUUUGAAAGUCAUAGUAGUGUAGCAGAAUAAGGUGAACAAAGUAGAGCUUUGGGCACCGCGGCCUUCACCAAGGUAGUACCGCAGCACUUUAAUCCACAAAGAUGCAUUAGACUCGAAAAAGCUUCUACACCAUGGUGACCAAGUGCCUAGUGUUGUGACAUUCGCAGAGGAAUUCUAAACAAAAAUAAACAGCAGCAUUUGUAAAGAAAAAAGUGUUCUAGUGCCAUCAAACUUCUAUUUUGACAAGAACACAUGCCCUAUUUAAUAUCUCAUUUAGAAGCAUGGAAAAAUGGGCAAUUUAAGAGGACAAAAAGGCAACAAUUAAGAAGGUUUUUAGAGAAAAAAAAAAGGCACUGAAGCUAGCAUGAAAGUGAAGAAAGCAAGGAUGAUUGCAGAUCGGAAGAUUUGAUAAGCAUUAGAGUUCUUUCUUUUUUUGUUAGUUUUAUUCUUUCUUGUUUAGUUUUGAUGGUUAAAUUUCUUUUUUGGAUGAUGCUUUUAAGAAUUAACUUGAACUAAGUUUUUAAUCUAGAAUCAAGAUUGAACCCACUGCGUAGUUUGAAUUUUUAAAAUUCUUUAUGGCUUAUGAUUGAUAGUGUUUGAGUUGUUUAUUUCAAUCUUAUUCUUAAUGCGUCUGAUUGUUAGGCCACCAAUUAGAUUGAAUUAAAAACUUAAACGGAAUUGGAAGAGGGACUUUAGAGUAAGACAUGGAUGAAAUAGCAUAUGUUCAACAUCAAUUGUAUGAGAUGAUUGAUUUGAUUCACGUGUAAAGUAAGAAUGCACUUACAAAUUAGAGUUUAAGCAUAAUGACUAUUUCUUGAUUUCAAUUUGCAUAGGAAUAUAGUUAAUUGGUGAAGGAAAACAUUUUUAUAAGAGAAUUAAAAGAGACUUAAAAAUAAAUUAGAACUCUAGGUUAACAACUUAGGCCUUUCAAGUAAGUAAAGAAGGAAUGGAAAAGAUUCAUAUGAAACAUUGAGGAGAUAUUGUGGUUCUAGAAAUUUGCUUAAUCAAUUCUAGUUAUUUUUGUUGUAGUUCUUGCUUUUAGUUUUAGUUGAAUUUUAGUUUUUAUUUUAAUAUUCAUUAUCUUUCACUUUGGUUGUUUGAAUAAGAUUAGGUUGUGUCAAUUUUAGUACUUGGCAAGAAUAUAGUAGAUUAAGUACAAUUCUUUGUGGGAACGAACUUUACUUUCAUUAUAUUACUUGUUAACGAUAUGUACACUUGCGUGGUUUAAUCAACAAACACUCAUCCUGAGCUCGUGUAGACUUUCAUCCUUUAUGACACCUAUACAAACCUUUCUUUCGUAUCUCUCCUCCCUUCCUUCAAUUUUUUAGUUGUUUAAAUGUUCCCAUUUCCUUACUACAACUUGGGCAUACGUUUCUUUUUAUCCUUAAUUCUUUUUUCCCUUGGGUUUAUAUUUGUUCUCUUUUGCCCAUGGCCAUUCGAUUAAGGUUUUCAUUCCCCAUAACAUGCCAUAGUGAUUACCAUUCUCUAUUGUAGUAGCCAUGCACUAUCCAACUAGUCCACUUAUCUUCUUGUUUCAUAUACUUAUCUACAAAGGCAAAGCUAGAGCAUUUUUAAGGGAAGGCCAAGCAGAAAUAGACACUUAAUAGUUAAUGAAAACUUUAUAUGUCAUCCAAUUCUGACUUAAAUAAAAGAUUAAAUAAAAUUCAUAAGAUAUUGAACAUAUGGAAACUGUACAUUAGUAGUAAUAACGGUGUCAUAUAUGUAUAAGAACAAGCCACAACAAUUUGAAGCAGAUUCUGUUGGUCCCAAAUAAAUGUGCUAGAGUGGGUGAAUAGCACUUUUUGGUUCUUGGUAAGAUGAGGAAUGUCACGACCCAAAUUUUGAGCCAUGACCGACGCAUGGGCUCAAUGGACGUAGUCCACUAAGCCUAAGCAAUCCUAUUAAUCUGACGUAUUCAUCAUUCUAUCAUAAACUGCUAAGUCAUAUUUCAUAACUUAGAAUCAAAAUAUUAUUAAACAUUGCCACCUCAUACUAGCAUAUCGAACAAGCGCAUAUAUAGUAUCUACAACAUGUAUCUUAAUAAUUACAUUAGGUUUGUCUAUACACAACAAAAGAAUACUCGACUUCCAACGGAGUAACUCGGUCGAAUGUACAACUACUAAAUACUGAGACACCUACUAAAAGACGGAUACAAGUCUACAAGGACACCUCAUCCUAGUUACCGGCUGCCUCGUGAUCUAAAAACAUGAAGUUGAAAACGGUGAGUAUAAACCUAGUGAGUGAACAAGAAAGGGAACAAGCAUAGCAUAAGGAAUGUUUAACGAAAUCAUGAUGCAUUCUUUUUCAAAACAAUGUAAUUUGUUUUUGAUCUUAUUAAGCCCCUCAUGUAAACCCCACAUGAGAAAAUAACUUUAUGAAAGGGUCUAUAUUCAGCAAAGGAUUUGGAGAGUGAAAACUUUAAUAGCGUUCAUGCGAAUCAAGUCAAAUAGACGACGGGUCCUCGCUGCAGUGGAAAGACAUUCUCGCUGCAGCAUAGCUACAGCGAGAAUGAAUUUUUGCUGUAGCGACACUUGAUUUCAAUUAUCAACUAACCAAGGGUUUCUUGACUGGCCGAGGGUUUCUCACCAAACCUCCUCAUAUUAAGCUUAAUUCAUUUAUUCCUUAAUGUUGGAAAUCCAUGCUUAAAUAUGGUAGCAAAGAAGUGGAAAAUAGGGCAACAAUUGAUCAAAAUGAGGUGAAAAACAGAAAGUUUUUUGCUGCAGCGAGAUUUUGGUCAUAAAACAGAAAGUUUCUCGCUGCAGCGAGAAGCUACUGUACCUUCCUCGUUGCAGCGAAAAUGGAUUCUCGUUGCAGCGAGUUUUCGGCCAGCUUACCUUUUCAAAACCUGAGAGUUUCUCGCUGCAGUGAGAAUGAAUCUCACUGCAGCAAGAAUCAGAACAUCAAGAAAAAGGUUUCCUUUUCCCUUAAAACAAAGCCAUCCUGCUAAAUAACAAAAGCAACAUGUAACACAUGCAAACUCUCAAAUUUCAACAAAUCAAAUGCUCACAUUUUUGCAUUUACAACCAUAUACCAUAUAUGUAUAUAUAUAUAUAUAUAGAUAUCAAUCAUCAUAUGCACCCUCCCAUCAUCAUCAUCUCAUAUGCAACGGCUUAUGCGCACUCCCACUCGCACAUAGUCGGGUUAGCAAUGGUUAAUGUGCACUCCUACUCGCACAUAACCGGGUCCACAUCAACAUACAAAGAAGCACCCAACUUUGAAAAUGUACCUUUGGAGCAAGCUUUUGGUGAAGUGAUUUUAUAUUGCAAAAAUGUGCUAUACAAUGGGUUAUGUGUUAUCAAAAUAUGAUAAUAUGCAUAUCAUGCAUAUUAUCAUAUUUUGAUAACACAUAACCCAUUGUAUAGCACAUUUUCGCAAUAUAAAAUCACUUCACCAAAAGCUUGCUCCAAAGGUACAUUUUCAAAGUCAAGUUAGAUAAAAUCAUUCACAUUCCCCAAAACAAGUUUGAAAUGCAAGUCCACUCAUCGGUAUAUUGUUGAGCCUUUCAUUGGCUCUAAUUUCCCCUAAUUGUCCAAAUGGGAUGAUAGGGCUUCCUUGGAACCUACCAUCACAUUAACAUCACCAUUAUGUUAAUUCACAUACUAUAAACCCUAAAAGCUAUCUCUUAACUAGCUUUCAAUUGUCACUUUAAAGGGCUAUCUAUGUUCACUAUCUUAAUCACUAUAAAAUGAAUGAACAUACUCAACAAUAAAAUAGCUCAUAAUCCCAAUUACUAGCCAUUAUUCACAACUAUAAAUCAAGCUUAGUUCAUCACUUACCCUAGGGCUCAUUUGUAGUCGAAUUAUCUUCUAAUAGCUUCCAAAUCAAUAGGGUAAUUCUCUUUUUAUCUCUCUAGAAUGCCCAACUAAUGAGAGAAAGUAUGGAAAUAAGAUUUAUCAAGGGUUUUGAAGUGAGAGAGUGAAAGAAUACAAGGGUUCUAGUCAAAAGGGCUCAAAGGUAUGAAAAUUAGAGCUAGAGAGAGAAAAUUAUGCAAGCUCCAUAUCAAGCUUCCAUGGAGGUUGGAAGCAACGUGAGAUGGAAGAAGAAGAAGAAGACAAGCUGCUAGAAAAUGGGAGAAGAAGUUGCUGGAAGAAAGAUAUUUAUAGCCAAUCUUAUUAAUUCCCUUGAAAUUACCAAAUUACCCCUCCACAAAUUAGCUUAUUCUUCUCUAAUCUUUUAUGCAAUCUUUUUACUCUUUUGACACUGGGACAAGGUCCAUAAUGGUCUAGACGUGCUCGGGUUCAUGAAAACUUAAAAUUCUAACCCGAGGUGAAAAAUGACCAUUUUGCCCCUAUUGUGAAAAUCACCAAAAUUUUUGUUUCCUUGUCAUUUUUCCCAUAAUUUCACCAUCCAUUUAUGCCUUAGGCCUACUUAAGCCAUAAUAUUGUUUAAAAAUCUUACUUUUAUGGGCUUACUAAGGAAAUGACAAAAUUACCCCUAAUUAGGGAUAUCGCGUAUACUUCCCUUUACGAGUAUAUAAAGGUCAAGGUCUCACAAGGAACUAAUUUGAAAAGCAAUGAAAAUGAAAACAAAGUAGACAAUGCACAGUAAUUUAGAGUGGUUCGGUCCAAGACCUAUAUCCACUAUCUUGAUUAUUCAAGCAAGGAUUUUUUAAAUCAAUCCACUAUAAAAGUUGAAAUUCACAAGCUUUCACCAAGCUUUACAAUGGCUUUUACCAAGCUCAGUCAAAAACUUUCACAAUAGUUUUUCUCGAGAUCAAUUAAAACCCAACACCUAACUUUUCAAGGCUAAGUUAGAACCUAUAACCAAUCAAGCAAUCCAAGCUUGAAUCAAUCCCUUAGAGUGACUUCCUCACUCUAAGAAUACAAAGAAAGAAGUAAUGAAAGUGUACCUAUGAUCACACGGUUGAUCUAAGUGGUACAAGUGAAGUGCAUAUCACAAUUACAAGGAUAGGAGUUAUGUGCAGUAAAUGAACAGUAAGUAUUUACAGGUUUUUCAACUCUUUUUGUGUUCUUGGAAGCCUUCAAUACAUUUCUAGCUAUUGAACCCUCUUUUAUACUUGAAAAAUCACCUCUGAUGUGAGUUAAAUAGUUUUUGAUCGUUAGGAAUAGUUUGGUAGCAAUUCUAGCUGUUAAUAUGUCUUCUAAUGCACAAUUCUAAAUUUCUAGCAACAUGCUCUUAGUCGACUAACCGAUAUCUUAAUCGACUACGUCGUCUCUAUCUCCUGAUCCCAAUUUCUUGCAAUGUGCACUUAGGCAACUAACUUAUUUCUUGGUCGACUACGUUGGUUCUGUUUCUCAAUACUCUUCAGGUCGUCAACUUCUGAUUUAAAUCUUAGCUGACUAACUCUUCAUUAAUCAACUAAGGGCCUUCUAUCUUGUUGAUCAAUUGUGGCUUCCUUAUUCUUAUGCUCUUUGAUAUGUUCAUUUGAAUGAUUGAUUAAUUAUUUUCAUGCAAAUUUUAUCCUGCACACUCAAGUAGAAAUAUUAGACAUAAAUGAAUGGGAAUGUUUUAUUAUCAUAAAAAACUAAUAGAGCCAACAAUCUCUCCCUUUUUGAUGAUGACAAAAUAUUCCUUGAUUAACAGCACAGUGUCCUUUUAUUCUUUUUCAGUUCUGCACAAAGAUGAGGAUUUCUUCCUCUAUGUGUAUGCUUAGUGUGUGCUUCUUUAACUUGUCUAUUCCAUCAAAUUUUGAUUCUUGUCAUUUAGAAAAUGACAUUAUUCAAUUCAGCAUGUUUUUGUUCUUCUCAUAUAGAAAAUACCAUGUGAAAGUUUAAAUUUUUGACAGAAUAUAUUUGCACAGCCUUGUGGAAUAAUAAGCAGGAAGUGACAGGAUGAUAGAACAUUAUUACUACUUCAACUUCCUACCUGUCAUAUUGUUUCCAGACUUAAUUCAUUCCAAAGCUAAAUGCCAUAAAACAUCCAGUCAAAAUAUCAGCAUUCAUAUUUAUUUAAUCCAAAUUUCACUCACAAUAUCAUAUCAACAAUUAAUUAUCAGCAUAUCAUCUCAAUGUCAGCACCAAAGCAUCAGCAGAAACUCAAUAACAUCUUUAAAUAUUCAAUCAUUAGCUUAUCAGCAUUGCAUUCAAUCACAAUCCAACCAGAAUAUCAUAAGUUUUCAGUACAUUAACAGAAUAAGUUCGCAACAUACUUUCAGCAUCAGUCAUCAAUAGUAUAACAAAAAAAAUAAAUAGAAAAAAAUAAAUAAACAGUGUCUUAGCAUAAUGAUCAGUAUCCAAUUUUCAGCAAACUACCAUAGACCAUCUACCAAAGACAACCUAGUCAUAUUCAACACCCUGAAUUUCACCUAGAUUUCUGGUACCUCUACCUUAACAUUUUUUUUUUAAUUGCCCUUUCCCUUAGCUUUCCACUUCUCCCCCUUUUUGGCAUCAUCAAAUCCAAAGGGGGGUCAAUCUUUUGAAGAGGCUGAAGGAGUGGACUCAUCAGUACCAUAGGAAACAUUCAAAGGUUCAGGUGAGGGUUUUGGUCGUGAUUUUUGUGGAAAAGGUUCAAGUGAGGAUUUGUCAAAAACUUCUAGGGGUUUUUGAGGAGAAGAGACAGGUGCUGGUUUAGCCUUUCCAUCAAUUUUUAAGGAUUUUCUCCUUUUGAGAAAUUUGGUCUUGGUUGCCAUUCUCUUGAUACCUUUACCAAGUGGUUUUGGUUUCGUUUGUGGAGCUGCAGUAGUUUUCUCUUUUUCUUUCCCAAUCUACUUCUUUGUUGUGUGUGCUGGUGCAGAUGUGCUUGCUGUGUUUUUGCUUGAGCUGCUUAUUUCUCAACUUACUCCUCAUGAACCAUUUGAUGAAAAAAACCCAUGAUUGAAACCUCUUCAGAAUGUGAAGGAGAUGGUAGAGGUUCUGGUUAUGGAUCUUGAAUAGGUGGAGAGGUGCCAUCAAGAGAUCCAAGAACUUCAGUUCCCUUAUCUAAUCUUUCUCCCUUCUUAAGCUCAACUUCAAGGUUAAUCAUUUAUUCAGCAUCUUUAUCUUGAAAGGCAGGGCCUCCAAAGCUCUCAGCUAGGAAGGCAUGCCCUUCAGCAGCUUCCCUUGUUGGUGUUGGGCUUGGAGUUGCUGAAGUGUCCUCAGUUACAGGCUCAGCAAUAGAUUUCCCUUUUUCCUUUAUCAUAUUUUCAAUCUCUAUAAGUUUUUCUUCCAUUUUCAUAAUUUUUGCAGAUUGCUCUAUAAGCUUCCCAUCCAUUCUCAUUAACAGAUUGAAAAUCAUUUCACUGGAAAAUAGUGAGGGUGUUGUUUCUAUCUGUGCUGGUAUUGCAGAUACCUUGGGUGUUUUAACAAAAGUUUCUGCAUCUAACUUGUAACCCAUCUUUGGCAGACUACAUAAGUUGAUAGCUUGGUCUCUACUCUUCAUUAGGUCCAUUUCAUAUCUUUUAGUCCAAAUUCUUUUCUUCUGCACUAGAGAAGUGAUGAUAUUCCCAUAUGGUAGAUUUAUUUUGUCUCCUGUACAGGCUCUUCUCAUUCUUCAAACUAUAAAUCUACCUAGAUUUAGGGGAGUAGCAUUGAAUGCAUGCUCCAUUAGCCAUAAGUCUUGAAGGCUAAUGUAGCUAAAACUGCCACUUCUGCCAUGAAUGUUUGCUACUAUAAAGUAAUGCAAAAUCCUAAUUUAAGGAUUGGUAAUUAGGCCAGCAUUACUUUUUGAGGAGUAUUUUUCUUUCCUCCCUGUAACUAUUUCCCACAAUGAAGAUGGGUCAUAAUUUUCAGGAAAUUCAAAUUCUCCUUCCUCACAUUCAAAUUUAAGUCAACUCCCUAAAUCAGCAGCAGUUAUAGUAAACUCUCUUCCAUUUAAAAACACAUUCAGGCCAUUAUUAAGAUAAUCAUUAAAAUCUUCAAGUUCCUCAUUUCCUAGUGCAAUACUUGCACAAAACUCUUUAACUAAACAGGUACUGUAGGAUCGAUUCUUAAAAGUACUAUACUGCUUUAGUUUUAAUUCCUCAAAAUAAUCAGAUAAACUUGUCUGAAGUUUUGAGGUUUCAUUGAAACUAUCCCAAUCAAUGUAUUUUCCACAAGUGAUGGGGGCAUUCUCUAAUUUUUUGUAUCUAUUUUCAUGUGCAUUAUUCUUAAACUUAGUUACCUUUCUUAGAUGAUUGUCCCUUUUCUUUCUUCUUCUCUGUUUUCUGUUCCUUUUCCUUCUACGAUUUUUUAGAUUUUUCAGUUUUCGAUGCAGACCCAAUUUUUUAUUUUUUUUUCUGUAUUUUUGAUUGCAUGCCUUCUUCUAGUGGCCAUUUUCCUUUCUUAUUCUCAGCAAUUUCUUUGGUCAAAGAGAUUUUUGCCAUUUUGGAUUUGAGAGAAUUUUGAUUGAGAGUUUUGAGAAUCUAAGUGGAGAGGGUUUUAGGUUUGAGUGGGUCGAUUUCAGAGGAGAGAAAAUGUAGGGGAAAUGAGUUAAUGGAUAGUUUGAUUUUCCCAAAAAUUGUCUAUCUCCCCCUUAAAUACUAUCAGUUUUUCUCCUGUUUAAAAUUCAAACUUUGCCUCCUAUUUUGUUUUUCAUGAAGACAGUAUUUUCUACCCAUUCUUUUCACCCGGUAUACUGCUCCUGUUCACUAUUUUAUUCUUUUUAUCUUCUAACUAACUAAGUUCUAUUAUUUAAAGAGACAGAAUGCUCUUAGUUGACUAAGUGCCUCUCUUAGUCGACUAAGUGCCUACUGUCCUUUGAGAAAAUUUUAGAAUUUUUCCUAAAGCUCCUGCAUAUUAACCAUUCCUAAAUAUCUUCUAAUCUCACAAAAUCUAUCCUCAUUUAAGGGUUUUGUGAAGAUGUCAGCUAAUUGAUGUAAAGUAUUUACAAACUCAAUUUUAAUGUCACCUUUGACUACCUGAUCUCUAACAAAGUGGUGCCUUAUCUCAAUAUGCUUAGUCCUAGAAUACUGCACAGGAUUUUUUGAAAUGUUGAUUGCACUUGUAUUGUCACAAUAUAUUGGUAUGUUAUUCAUUGACAUUCCAUAAUCUUUUAGUUGUUGUUUAAUCCACAAGAUUCGAGCACAAUAGCUGCUUAGAGAUACAUAUUCUGCUUCAACUAUAGAUAGAGCUAUUGAAUUCUAUUUUUUGCUUGACCAUGACACAAGCAUACUACCUAUAAACUGGCAGGUUCCACUAGUGCUCUUUCUAUCUAUUUUGCUGCCAGCAAAAUCAACAUCUGAAUAUCUAACUAAGCUAAAAUAUGAUUCUCUAGGGUACCAUAUACCUAAAGUUGAUGUGUCUAUGAGGUAUCUAAAAAUUCUUUUAACAACAGUCAUGUGUGAUUCUUUGAGUUAAGAUUCAAAACAAGCACAUAAACACACACUAAAUUGUAUAUAAAGCCUGUUGGCUAUUAAAUAAAAAAGUGAUCUGAUCAUACCUCUAUAGAGCUUUUGAUCAACAUCUUUUCCUUUUUCAUCUAAAUCAAGUCUGGUGGAUGGACUCAUUGGUGUACAAAUUGAUUUUAGUUUUAGCAUAUCAAACCUUUUAAGCAUCUCUUGAGUGUAUCUUUCUUGGUUGAUGAAGAUUCCUUUCUCACUUUGUUUGAUUUGAAGUCCAAGAAAGUACUUCAGCUCACCCAUCAUGCUCAUCUCAAAUUCACCCUGCAUUUCUUUAGCAAAGUUCUUGCAUAAAGCCUCAUUAGUUGCACCAAAUACAAUGUCAUCCACAUAAAUUUGAACAACAAUUAAAUCACUUGAGUAUCUUUUGAUAAAGAAUAUUGUGUCGAUACUACCUCUAACAUAACCUUUUUCAACUAGAAAUUUGAAAGCCUUUCAUACCAAGCUUAAGGAGCUUGCUCCAAUCCAUACAAGGCUUUAUGAAGUUUGAAAACAUGAUUUGGUUUAUCAAAGUCCUCAAAACCGAGGGGUUGCUCAACAUAAACUUUUUCUUGGAUGAAACCAUUUAAAAAUGCAUUAUUUACAUCCAUUUGAAAUAAUUUAAAGUUUAUAAAGCAAGCAAAUUCAAGUAGUAAUCUUAUAGCUUCUAUCCUAGCAACCUAUGCAAAGGUUUCAUCAUAGUCUAUUCUUUCCUCUUGGUUAUAUCCUUGGGCUACCAACCUAGCUUUAUUUCUAGCUAUAUUCCCUUGCUCAUCUACUUUAUUUCUAAAGACCCAUUUUGUUCCAACAAUAAGGUGGUUUAUAGGCCUUAAGACUAAUGACCAUAUAGGGCUUCUUUUAAAUUGAUCAAGUUCCUCUUGCAUGGCCAAUAUCUAACUUUCCUCUUUUUCUACUUCCUCAAAUGUUUUAGGCUCAAUUUGAGAUACGAAAGCUGAAAACUCACAAGUCUCUCUUGUUACUCUCUUAGUUUUAACACCUUGUGAAAUAUCACCUUUGAUUAGUUCUUGUGGGUGGUCUUUUGCAUAUCUCCAACUCCUUGGAAGGUCAUUAUGCUGAUUUUUAGUUCUUUGCAGGGUUUCUAUGGGUGGAGGUUCUGUUUCUCUCCCUAGCGAAUUUUCUUCAAUAUUUUCUUAUCAUCUAAACUCAUUUCUUCCAUUUGUUUUUCAAGAUCAUCCGUAUCAUGUUCAUCAUCUGAAAUUUCCUUUUGUAAGGUAUUGGAUUCUUCAAAAACUACAUGGAUGGAUUCUUCAACCGUUAAGGAUCUUUUGUUGAAGACUCUAUAGGCUUUUGAGUUUAAUGCAUAUCCUAAAAAUAUAGCUUCAUCACUUUUUGCAUCAAACUUUCCUAAAGGCUGUUUACCAUUGUUCAAUACAAAACACUUAUAGCCAAAGCUCCUAAGGUGAGAGAUAUUUGGUUUUCUACCUUUGUACAGUUUGUAUGGCGUCUUUGAUAUCAUGGCUCUUACAGACACUCUAUUAAGGAUAUAAGCUGCUAUAUUAACAACUUCUACCCAAAAGUUUUUAGGUAGAUUAUUCUCACAUAGCAUAGUUCGAGCCAUUUCUUUUAAGGUUUGGUUUUUCUUCUCUACAACUCCAUUUUGCUGGGAUGUUCUAGGUGCAGAAAAAUUAAGAUCCAGCCCCUUUUCAUUACAAAAAUUCUCAAAUUCAUCUCCUUCAAACUCACCUCCUUGAUCACUCAUAAUACUAACUAUAGCUAGUUUUUUUUUUUUUAACCUUCCUAUAAUGACUUAUGAAUGCUAGUAGAGCAUCAUUUUUAUGAGCAAGAAAAUAUACCCAAGUGUGCCUAGAGUAGUCAUCAACUAUUACAAAGCCAUAAGAUUUUCCUCCUAGACUAGUUGUACUUAUUGGACCAAAUAGAUCAAUGUGCAGCAAUUCAAGAGGUUUAGAUGUGAAGACAACUUUCUUGGUCUUAAAAGAUGUUCUAACUUUUUUUCCUAGUUGACAAGCAUCACAUAUCUUAUCAUUUUCAAACUAAAGAUCCCGCAAUCCAACAACUAAAUUUUUUCUAAUCAACUUUGACAUGGUAUGCAUGCUCACAUGUGCUAAGCUCCUAUGCCAUAACCAACUAUCAUUUUCAGCAUUUGCUACAAGACAUAUUUCAUAAUCCAUUUCAAGAUCCCAAAGAAAUACUACAUAUUCUUUAAUUUUCUUCCUACAAAUGAAAUUUUAUUAGUGCUUAUGUUUAUCACUUCACAUUUGGUUGAGCCAAAACAUACCUUAAAUCCUUUAUCACUAAAUUGACUAAUACUUAAUAAAUUAUGUUUCAAACCUUUAACCAACAACACUUGACUAAUUUGAGUUUGAGAGUUCUUACCAACCGUUCCUAUGCCAUGAAUUCUACCUUUUGAAUCAUCACCAAAGGAUAUGGUUCCUCCCUUUUUCUUGUCUAGCUGUGCAAAUAGUAUUUCAUUUCCUACCAUGUGCCUUGAUCAGCCACUGUCCAUAUACCAAGGUUGCUUCUUCUUGAGUUGAGCUCUUGAACAUGUAAAUUUUGAGAGCAGCUUAACCUAUAAGACAAAUUUUCAGUUUUUCUUUAUAGGUACCCAUACCUUGAUGGGUCCUUGAUUGUUAGUUGCAAUAUAAGAUCCUUUUGGAACCCAUAUUUUUCUUAUUUUCUACGUGCAUCUUUUCUUAAAACAAUCAUAUGAUAAAAGACCAAUUUUAUUACAAAUAUAGCAUCUAGAUAAUGCAUUAGCAGAAUUUUUCUUGUAGUAGACAUUUUAUUUUGAAGUUUCAUUUUUCAAACUUUUAAGAGCUGUGUUUUCAUCAAGUGUUUUUUUGCAAAGCUUCAAAUUUAUUGUCCAGCUCUAAUUUUAAAACUUCAAAAUAUGUUUUGAAUCUUCUAACUCAACUUGCAGAAAAUUUCUUUGCUCAAAAACAGAAUUGAACUCUUCUCUUAUCUUUUCCAAAUCAUUUUCAAGAGCUGCAGUCUAUUUCUUAAAAUCUUGUAUUUUGAAAAGAGUUUUUCAAAUUCAUCAUAAAGGCACUCAUACUCAUCUUGUAAAUCAUCAACAGAAAUAUCAUAAGAGGAUGAGGAUACCUCAGAUUCAUUAUCCAGUGCCAUCAAACACAGGUUUACUCUUUCCUCAGCUUUUUCUUCCUCACUUUUAGAACUUGAUGUGUCAUUGUCUGACCAUGCAGCUGCUACCAUUGCCUUCGUUGAUUUCUUGUUUUUCUUUAGAGUCUCAUCUUUCAGCAAUGGGCAUUCGGACUUGAAAUGUCCAAGCUUCUUGCAUUCGAAGCAGGUUAGCUCAUCAUUUUCGUUGGAGUCAUUUUUGUUUCUAGUUCUCCAUGAAGAACCUUUAUCUUUUCUAAACCCUUUUCUAGCCAAUCUCUGGUUUCUUUUGGCCACAAGCUUUCUGAAUUUCCUUGCAACCAGUGCCAACUCUUCAUCAUCAUCAUAGGAUAGCUCUUCCAACUCUUCUUCAAGAAUGCUGGCUUUUAAUGCAAUGCUCUUUUUCUUUUCUUUUGCUUCCCUUUUAUCUUUUUCUUCCUCUUCCUUGAGUUCUAGCUCAUGAGUAAGGAGAGAACCACAAAUAUCAUCUAAAGUAAUAACAUCUAGGUCCUUGGCUUCUCGAAUUGCAACCACUCUAGGCUUUCAAUUUUUUGGUAGGCUUCUAAGAAGUUUUUUAACAAUCUCAUGCUGGAGUAUUGGUUUUCCUAGCUAACUAAGUUUGUUUAUGAUGUUUGUGAAUCUAUCUAACAUGCUGGUGAUAUCUUCAUCAGGCUCCAUCUUAAACAUUUCAUAAUUAUGGGUCAAGAGGGCUAUUUUGGACUCUUUGACUUUAGAAGUCCCUUUAUGGAUAAUCCUAAGCUUAUCCAACACUUGUUUAAUUGUUGUACAGCUUGAUACUUUGUUGAAUUCGGUGGCAGUCAAGGCACAAUGCAAUGUAUUGAUAGCCUUAAAAUUUGUUUGGAUUCUCUUAGUUUUAGCCUCGGUCCAUUCAGACCUUGGCUUAAGCAUCAUCUCAUUGGUUACUACAUUUAAGAUUGAGGGAAUGAAGGGUCCAUCAGUUAUGACAUCUCACAUUUCAUAAUCAAUUGCUCUAAUGUAUAUUGACAUCCUAGCACUCUGAUAAAGAUAGUUAAAGCCAUCAAACAAAGGUGGUCUGUUUAUUGAUUGUCCCUUAGCAGUUAUGGAUUUUUUAAGAGCCAUUUAGAUCUUCCAAAGGUUGUUAGACCUUAAUAACAGGGGUUAGGCUCUGAUACCACAUGUUGGUCCCAAAUAAAUGUGCUAGAGAGGGGGUGAAUAGCACUUUUUGGCUCUUGGCAAGAUGAGGAACUAAUUUGAAAAGCAAUGAAAAUAAAAACAGUGUAGACAAUGUGCAGGAAUUUAGAGUGGUUCGGUCCAAGACCUACAUCCACUACCUUGAUUAUUUAACCAAGGAUUUUUCAAAUCAAUCCACUAUAAAGGUGAAAUUCACAAGCUUUCACCAAGCUUUACAAUGGCUUUUACUAGGCUCAGCCAAAACCUUUCACAAUAGUUUUUACCAAGAUCAAUUAAAACCCAACACCUAACUUUUCAGGGCUAAGUUGGAACCUAUACCCAAUCAAGCAAUCCAAGCAUGAAUCAAUCCCUUAGAGUGACUUUCUCACUCUAAGAAUACAAAGAGAGAAGUAAUGAGAGUAUACCUAUGAUCACACGGUUGAUCUAAGUGGUACAAGUGAAGUGCAGAUCACAAUUACAAGGAUAGGAGUUAAGUGCAGUAAAUGAGUAAUAAGUAUUUACAGGUUUUUCAGCUCUUUUUGUGUUCUUGGAAGCCUUCAAUACAUUUCUAACCAUUAGAACCCUCUUUUAUACUUGGAAAAUCAGCUUUGAUGUGAGUUAAACAGUUUUUUACCUUUAGAAACAGUUUGGUAGCAAUUCUGACCGUUAAUCUAUCUUCUAGUGCACAAUUCAAAAUUUAUGGCAGAAUGCUCUUUGUUGACUAACCGAUAUCUUAGUCGACUAAGUCGUUUCUAUCUCUUGAUCUCAGUUUCUGGCAAUGUGAAAUUAGUCGACUAACUUAUUCUUGGUCGACUGAGUUGGUUCUAUUUCUCAAUACUCUUUAGCCCACCACCAACUUUUAAUUUAAAUCUUAGUUGACUAACUCUUCAUUAAUCAACUAAAGGGCUUCUAUCUUGUUGAUCAAUUGUGGCUUCCUUAUUCUUAUGCUCUUUGAUAUGUGCAUUUGAAUGAUUGAUUAUUAUUAUCAAAGACUAAUGGAGCCAAUAGAUUCAAAAUAGACUCUAAUGUGAUCAUAAUUUCCUACCAUUAUCAAAACUUUUUCUACAUACAUUACACCAUAAUAGACAAUGUAUUCUUAUGAAUAAUCAGUAAACACAACAUAUGUGUGUUCCCUUAUGUAAGGUAAAAGAAUAAAUACCACAACAUAAAGUACCAAAACAUAAUUAACUUUCAUAAAUAAAUACCAUUUACAAUUGUCUUCCAAGAGAGUUGUGUUUAAUUCUUUUUCAUAGAUUCAAGUUAUCUAUUAUUGAAAUUGUACCAAAAGGAGUAACUAUUUCUUUCCCAAUGUAAAUAACUAAAUUAUCUACAAGAAACUCAUCAUCUAUUUACUUCGAAGUCUUAUUUUGACAAUUUUCAUUGCUAGUAUGGUUCACUUUGUUGUUGCUGUAGACAUUCGAAAGGUCAAGACAAUGCAUAUCAAUCUAUCAACCAAGUGAAAAGUUCUUGACUUCCUUGUUUCUUUCAAUUUUUGACAUAACUCAAAAAGUGUGCCAUUAUCUUUGAAAUGCACUAGUAUGUCAAGCCCAUAAUGUUGCAAUUGGGACUUUAAAAGAAAUUUUUCUUGUCCAAUAAAAUCAUUGGGAUAAAACUUCUCAACUAACUUGCAUAUAUCUUCAACUUUAAAUGAUUGGAAAUUAUCCUUAAGAUCCAAUGCAAAGCUUAAUGUGAACAACUCCAUUGUUUACUCAUUAAAUCUACUAUUUAACUCUUAUAUUUGAGAAUUGAUUACUACCAAAAGUACAUCUACUCAAUAAUGAUGCCCAACAGUUAUAGUUGGCUGAUGAAAAUGACCUUUUCUUAAGAUGUAUCAUGCACCCAUAUCAGGGACCUCAAUCUCAUGUUUCUAUAAAAUUCUUUCACAUUCUCAAGUAAAUUAUAUUGUCCACCAUCUCUCAAUUGUUGAAGAAGUGAUUUUGAUGUAAAAAUAAUACACAUUGCAUUUAAAAUAUCAUGAGAUUGUUGCUGUAGUGCUUGGCAAAGAACAUUACUAAUUCCCAUAAUUUCCUUCAUCAAAUGCAAGGUGAAGACAAAUUCAAAUGAUAAUAAUACUUUGCUAACACCGUAAACAUAUCUCUUUGUGCAUAAGUAGCUCCUUCAUCAAUGAUAUUAUUAAGAAUAGUAUAGGUUGUAGAAACAUUCUUAUCAAGCUACAAAUAGAAUCAAAGUGAGAGCACCAGUGUAUAUUUGCUGCUCUUCACAAAGUCCCAACUUGAUUUGCCCCUCUACUUGUUUUAAUACAUCAAGGGUGAUGAUCUUUUCAAUUUCAAUCACUUGAGUUGCUUGUAAUUGAUCAUGUUGUUUUGCAAGAAGAACCAACAAUAUUGACAAUAGAAGUAAAUUGUGGGACAAAUUCAUGAACUUGAAUUACUACACUUGAAGGUGUAACCAUUACUAAUUGUAAUAUAUGAGUGAAACAAUGCACAUAGUAUGCUUAUGCACAAUCAUCAAGAAGCAAAGCUUGCAAACCAUUCUAUUCACCUCACAUAUUGCUAGCAUCAUCAUAUCCUUGACCUCGAAUAUUUUCAAUUUGGAGAUUGAAACGAGAAAGGACAAACACCAAUUCUUUUUUCAAAGUUAUUACACUAGUGUCACUAACAUGCACAAGAUCAGUGAAUCUCUCUUGAACAAAUCCAUCCAUACUAAGAAAUCUCAAAACAAUAGCCAUUUGCUCAUUUUUAGAUUCAUCUCAAGCUUUAUUUAUAAUGAUACAAAAUUUGGAAUUUUUUAUCUUUUUUGUAAUUAAAUUCCUUGCCUUAUUUGCAAGAAUAUGUAGAAUUUCCUUUUGGACAUCAUUGGAUGUACACUUGGCAAACCUUGGAGCAUUUUCCAAAAUAAUCUUUUCAACUUUUUGAUUAUAUGAUCCCAAAAACUUCAACAUUUUAAGAAAGUUUCCUUGAUUCUUUGAACUUCGGCUUUCAUCAUGCCCUUUAUAUGCACAAGCUUGAAAUGUCAACCAUCUAAUACAAUCUAUGGAAGCCCUAAGUCUAAGUCAAUUAUUCUCAAUAUUUUCUAAUGCUUGUCUUUUCAUAAGCCUAUCAGUAUGCUGUGAUUUCUUUAGCAAAUCAUCACAUGAUUUCACUACAUUAUGAUGGAGUCAAUUGGGAUUGUUGACGACAAGAUUCAAGAGAGGACAAUAUUUUCAACUAUUACUAUCUUCCAAUUCUUGAAACCAUUCUCAAUGAAUGCAAUUGAACCUAAGUGGUUUGACGAUUCUUUACCAAAAAGGUAGCAUGGCAAACAAUAUAUAGCAUCAUCUUCUUUAGAAUACUUAAACCAAGAGGGAUACAAUUCAAACCAAGAAGAUUGAAAGCAAUGGUGAUGAUUCUUAUGACUAAAUGGAUAAUGAUCAAGCAAUGGUUGAUAUGGCCCAACUUUGAGAUGAGUGGGCGCACUCCAAGAUUGUUUUCUAAAUAACAAGCAUCCAUUUGUUCAAGACUAAGUCUUGGGCAUUUUAAGCUACCUUGUUCAGAAGUUGAAGCAUUGAUAUUUGAUUGCUUAAGUGCUGAAUGAGUUGGGAUUGAUGUAGUAGUUGUAAAAAGAUCUUAAUGCUAUAAUGUUUCUUUUAAAGAAUGUGUUGAUGGUUUUCAACUUUCCCUUAGUUCAAAAGAGCUCUUGUAAUUAGUAAUAAAGUGAUAUACGAAUAUUUCAAAUUGGUUUGAAAUGCUCACCUAAAAUGACACGUCAAAAGACUUCAGUAAAAAAUUCUUACCUAUUAGUUUGGAUUUGGAUAUUACUAUUAAAAAAUAAACUCUUAUAUAAUUAUAUUAUUUAGAUGAAAAAUACAUUACUAAAUCAAUAAAUUUGUAAAUGGCAUAUUCUAUUAAAAGCAAAAGAAAAAAGCUAAUAUAAAUAAUAACAUUCAAUAAAUUUGUAAACAUUCAAGAAUAUUGAAGUAUAGUAAUUGUUUGGAUCACAAAAAUAACUAUACAGUCUAACAUAAUUAAUUUUUUUUUUAGAAUUUUACUAUUUUGCAAAAAAAAAUGCUAUAAUCAGUAGCCAAUGACUUUAGAAGAUUACAUUUUACAGGUAAUACACAAAAGCACAACUCACAUAGAAGAUGGAAUGGUGUUUGACAACCUGCUUCUUGUUUUCUUGAUGUCCAAAUAAAAAUAUAAAAGGAGUCUCUCUCUCACUCUUUGUGCGCAAGAGUAGAAGAGAAAGAAAAUUUUCAAAUUCAAAUGAAAUGUCUUUUGACCUUAUGCGUUCUGCAUGAAAUAGGUAGCUUUUUGAGGAAGCUCUCCUCUUAUUUUCAAUUUUGCCUCUUCAAUUGCUAAUUAGCAUAUUGGGCUAUUGAGUUGGACUGUUGAGAUAUAACAUGUUAUGAUAAACUUAGAUUUAUAUUAAGAUUUAAUGGGUUAGGUUUAGUAAACUCACACUUAUUUUUUAAAAUCUAAUAGGCUCUGGAUAUUGGGUUAAAUUUUAUAUGCUAGGCUUAGCUAGUAAGUAUAAAUUUCACAAUAUUUUAAAAGGUGGUUGCAAGUUAAGAAAAUUAAAAAAAAUUAAUUGCAUGUAAAACUAAAAUAUUUGAAGGGGGUCAAGAAAAGCUGCCCCUACUUCAUUUUAUCUCAUGAAGCCAAAACUUUUACCAUUUUUACUCCUCUGUUCUGUUAUGUAUAUGCCUCUUGCUUCACCAACUCUCUCGAAGAGUGUCUAUAGCGAACUCCCAUUUACCUUCUCCAAAAUGUUAUCGAUAAACACUAAGAUAAGCCAUCUCCUAAAUCUAUCAUCAUAGAUUCUAAUGGUAUUGCAUCAAAUCAUUAACUCUCAAGAUCUCUGUAUCAGGUUUUUUAAACUCGAUGUUAAAAGUAAUGGAGUUGAUUUGCACUAAUCGGGGUGAUGCAUAUUUCCCUUCAAAGUUAAUUAGUAGUAACAAAUUUUAACUUUAUCAAUGAUAAAAACUUGUUUUUGCUUGUGGUUUUCUUGGUUUUUGUUUCUAUUGUGAAUAUAGGAUCCUAAUGUUUUCUUCAUUUGUAUUCUACUGAGGAUUGGAUUUAGUUUUCUACUCAGGUUGAGAUAUUGUCUUUGGAAAUCUCUAAUGGAUAAUGGAUGUGUGUUGCUUCUUUUUUUGGGUUGGUUUUCUUGGUGGGUAAACUGCAUGAUCUUUUGUUAUGUUAUUUUUUCAUCUGUGGGUUGUUUGUGUCCCUAGUGCUCUACUAGUUUUUUGUCACGACCCAUUCUCGAGCCAUGACUGAUACAAAGACCUAUGUGGGUAUGGCCACUAAGCCUAAUCAAGCCUCUUAUGUAUCAUGCAUAUACGGCUCAUUUACAUAAUCAUAUAAUUUAUUUCACAUUCAAUGCAUGCACUAUCACACAAAUAUGAAAUUCUUCAUCAUAAAUUAUGGAAAAGCUUUCACUCAUAUAUCAACAUUUGUAUAACAUAAACUCAUGUAACAUCUCAUAUCAUCAUGAUUAUGCACUCUUUAAGCGCUCUUAUAGGCUCUUAAGUCGUCUCAUUACUUAAUUUGUAUAAACCAUGUAAUUAUAAUGCCAACUCUUGGCUACAUAGUCAUAAAAAUGUUCAAGUGCAUAUAACAUAAAUAUAAAAACAGACUCAUCAACAAAACAUGACCUGACCCUUUAAGCUUCAAGUUGGCUUUUAGAAACACUUAACAAAGAAAGACGAGGAGCUUUCUCUGCAACAAGGGUUGUUAGCUAAUCACAAAUCUACAAAACAAUUAUAUCUUACGUGUAAGAGUAAUAUAAACUUUGUGAGUAGAUACAAGGAAGGGAAAAAGUAUUGUUCAAUUUUUUACCCACACAAGUAUACGUAUCACAAAGAUAAUAUAAUGAUAAGUAAAGUGUUGAUCCCAUAGCAAAUUGAAUUAAUUCUUACUAUUAAUUGUUAAAAUUACACACCUUAACUUUAUCCAAACACUAAAAUUUUGAAUUAAAAAACAAAAUAAAAUUAAACUUAAAAACUAAAACUAAUCUAAAUUUACUCAGUAAAAUUACUUUUUUAGAUUUAAUUGACUUUUAGACCUAAGAUUAUGAUGUCUCUCAAUACUUCAUCUGAUUAUUGUCUCUCUUUCUUUACUUAGCUUCAUAGACUAAGUUGCUAAACUAGAGUCAUCAAUUAUUUACAAGUCUCUGUUAAGUUUCUCAUAAAAAUAUCUCUCUUAAUUAAUUUACUAUAUGUCUAUGCAAAUUAAAUUAAAGAUAGAUUCAUUAAGUUCAUUCUCUAAUUUUGGCUAAAUGUGGCUUAUAGAUGUAUAUCUACCUUAAAUGCAAAUCAAACCACCUAAUCAACUAAGUGUAUUUGAUCAUACGUUAUUCUAUGCAAGGUCUACCUAAAUCUCCUUCGUCAAGGUUUAACCUAGGUUUCCAAUUCAAUCUAAUUAUUGAUCAGGCAAUUAGAAGCAUCAAGAACUGAAUAAAAGAAACAACUUAAAUCCUUCAAACAAAAGCAAAAGAGAGAUAAAUAAAUCAGACUAGGUUUUGAGUUCAAUCAUAAUCUUAGAUAAAUUAUUUAGUUCCUCAUUAAGUCACGCAUCAUCAUCUAAUUAAGUUUAAAUAAUAAAGUCAAACUAAGAAAUAAAAGAAUAACAAAAAGAUAAUAGAAUCGAAGAGUUGUAAUCAUGAUCUUCCAAAUCUUCUUGACUCUUUCAAAUUCUUCUCAACUUCAAUGACUUUGUGGCUUGAUUCUCAGUUAUCAAUCUGGUGUUUCGUUCUAUUUUUUUAAAAUCCUUCGAAAUGUUGUUUUUAUAGGGCUUUGAAGUUAGGCCAAGUUAGGUGAAGUAAGAAUUCAAUUUCAAUCAAGAUUUCUUCAUUAGACUACAUGGGCCAUGGCCUACCCCUACCAAGGCCGCGACCUCAACCAAUUAAUUAGCGAAAAUCAUAAUUGCUCGUGGACUGUUGCAGUGCUUGAACUUCAAUAAGAUUUUUUAUUAUGUUUCAGACCAAAAUGGGAAAAGUGUAAACAUGAAGUAUCUUUUUAUCUUAGCUUUGCAAUGGUCGAAGAAUCAUCUCAUUUGGAGUUUCAUAGAGAGUGUUAUGGUUGUAAUACCAAAAUAUGGGCAUUGAAAGUCUGCACUUCAAAAUUCAUCUCCUUCUGCCAUUAAAAUUCUUCCUUCAUCAAACACCUACAAAAGCACAACUAAAUCAAUAACAACCUAUCUUAAUCACAGUAAUAGCAAAUUAAGUAUAAAAUUAACUAAAAUUAGAUUGACUUACCUAAAUUAAUUGAAUUAAAAUAAUUUAAAUAAAACCUACUAAAUUCUAUGUAUUACAGCAAGAACUAAGUAAAUUACUAUCAAAAUUAGGUCCAAAUAACUCUAUAUCAUAGAGUUAUCACAAAGCAAAAAGGGAAGAGCUUUUACAUAAACCACAAUUUAAUAUAAACAUGGAUUUAAUGAUGAUUAUACAUAUCCUUUCAAAUCGUUGAGUUAUUUUAUUUUCAAAGUUCAAGCAAAUGAUUGUAGUUGAAAUCAAAAUCACAUAAGAGAUUUAAUUAAAAAGGAAAGUAAAAAGCUAGCGAAAGAAAAUUUUAAAAGGGAAAAUAGGUUGUUUUGUACCUAAGGUAUCAAUACCUCCUUGUGGGGUUUCAAUACUUUUCAACCAGAGGUUUUUUUGGACUGAAGAUAUCAGUAUUUGUUCUUCAAGUAUUGAUGGUAUUCAUUAAAACCCAGAAAUUGGGAAAUUUCUCACUAAGAAUCAAUUCUAACUUCUUUCUUAACCUUGUGUACAAUCUUUUAACAUAAGAUUCUCUAAAAUUUCAAUGGGAAAACACCUUUAUCUAUCAAUAAGCUUCAAUCAAACUUGUAACUUAGAAUUUAACAUGUACAUCUAUCUAUUAUUCGAUCAUGCAAUCUUUAUCACAAUCAUCAUAUCACAAUGACAAUGGUAUAGUGCCCACUAUUUAGGACGAUUCUCAAAUAAUGGUAUAGUUGUCACAGCCCAAAUACCGGGCCAUGAUAGGCGUAUGGGCCCAAUGGGCAUAGCCCACUAAGCCCAAGCAAGCCUUUUUAUGCAAACUCGAUCAUCAUUCUAAAACCACAUAUUUCAACUCUCAAUUAUAAAUAUUUCAAUAACAUUUUAUAGUAACCCAAUAUUCACAUUCGUAUUAUGUUAAAAUAAUGUUACUUGUUUGCCAGCCUAUAAUGGCAUCAGUAAUCAAAUAUACAUAUUUGAUUUUUCUAACACGAAUCUGAGUGGUCUACAUUACUUAUAUGUAUACACAAGUAUACGACUAUUGACCAUCAGCGGAGUGAUCAUGGGUGAAGGUAUAGCUAUUGAGAUGCCAUCGUACCUACCAAGAAGGCGAGCAUAUGUGCGCAACUCAAUCUAGGUCCCAACUGCCUUCGAAUUUGAAAACAUGAAGUUUAAAAACCUGAGUAUAAAACUUAGUGAGUAAACAUAAGAAGGGAACAAGCAAUCAAUAGGAAGAAUUUGGAAAUCAUGAUGCACUUGUUUGAAAAACAAUGCAAUUGAUUUAGUUUCUUACUAAAAACCCCUCAUUCCAAACUUUGAUUAAUAACCUCAUAGUGUUGCAAAAAUCCAAGAUCAACCCAUGAGAUUAAAUGGGUGAAAACUAUGUCAAAAUCAAGCAAGGUAGCAAGUAUGUCAGCAAGUUUCUUGCUGCAGUGAAUUCAUUCUCGCUGCAGCGAGAUUCGGGCGACCAAAACAGAAAGCUUCUAAUUGCAGCGAGAAAUAGUGUCAGUUUGCAUGUAUUUUAGUUUUUCUAUCAUAUCUCCAGCUACAGAAGUCCAAUUGACCUGAUUUUUAAACCAUUAGAAAGCUAAGAGGCAGGGCUACAACUUUAAUGUUUACAAUAUUUCCAGUUCGGACGAGAAGGUGGUCAAAAUCUUCAUCAAAAUGAAGGCACUAAAUCAGAACCCCAGAGUUUCUCACUGCAGCGAGAUUUAUUUUCGCUGCAGCGAAUUUCUAGCUGCCAAAACAGAAUGUUUCUCGCUGCAGCGAUAAUGCAUUCUCGCUGUAGCAAGUAGCAAGGCACCUAAGUGUAAAAAAGACCCCCUUUGCACUAAAAAUCCAUUUGGUGAUGCAAUAAACUCAAUUUGCAAGAAAAUGGGACAUUCUCAAGAUUCAUCAUGCCAAUUUCAACAUGAAAUACUCAAAAAUUUCCAAAGUUCAACAUUCCAAAUUUCACAUGCAUUACAACCAUAUGCCAUAUUAUGAACUUUAUAUAACACUCAUUUUCAUAUACAUACAUCAUCACCAUGUGUGCACUCCCUACUCGCACACCUCAACUUCAUCACCCAACAUCAUUCAUCAAUACACAACACAUAUUCAUAAGAUAUAUACAUACAUACCAACAUAAUAAUAAACACAUGGAUUCAUCCUUAUACACGUCUCCCAUUUCACAAUAUCAAAAAUAUUUAAUCAAGGCUUGUCCCCUGGCACACAUUUCAAAGACAAGUUGGAUAAAAUCAUUCACAUUCCCCAAAACAAGUUUAAAAUGCAAGUCCACUCACCAGUCUUCUUAAUUCUUUAAUCGAUUUUAACUUUAAUUAUUGCUUCAAACGGACAUGUGAGGCCUUGUUGGAACCUACACACACACAACAUCACAACCAACCCAAAUUGGCAUUAAUAUAAUUCCAAAAGCUCUUUCUGAAAUCAAGUUCCACUAGUUAUUCCUAACUAGCUUCCAAUUGCCAUUAAAUGGCUAUCUAUUCUUUCUACUCCAGUAACUCUAGAAAUAAAUAAUCAAACCUCAAUAAUAAAAGAACUCACAACUCCAAUUACUAGCCAUUAUCAACAACCUAAAAUCAAUCCUCAUUCAUCACUCACCUUGGUGGAUUUGUAGUUGAAUUCUUUCUCAAGAAUACUCAAGCUAUCAUGGAAAAUCCCUCUUUUUCUCUCUCUAAAAUUUCCAACUAGUGAGAAAAAGUGUUUUACAAAGACUUUUUAAGGGUUUUAAAGUGAAAAAGUGAAAGAGCACAAGGGUUCUAGUCAAAAGGGCACAAAGGUAUGAAAAUUAGAGCUACAGAGAGAAAGUUGUGAAAGUUUCAUAUCAAGCUUCCAUGGAGGAUGGAAGCAACCUGAGAUGGAAGAAGAAGAAGAAAGAGAAAAAGCUAUUGGAGAAUAAAGAAGCUGCUAGAAGAAAAAGAUAUUUAUAGCUCAAGCUUAUCUAUUCCAUUUGAAAUUACGAAAAUGCCUUUAGCACAUUAACUUGUUCUCCUUCAAUCCUUGGUGCAAUCAUUUUACUCCUUUUAUACCAAGACAAGGUCCAUAAUAGUCUAAACAUGCUCGGGUCUGUGAAAACUUAAAAAUUUUGACUUAGGGUGUAAAAUGACCAUUUUACCUUUGUUGUGAAAAUUAUUGUCACUUCUAGUUUUCUUCGUGUUUUCAUCAUUACACAUCAUUUAUUCAUUCCUUAGGCCUAUUUAGACCUUAAUAACAUCAAAAACCCCACUCGUAAGAGCUCACCAAGAGAAAUUACAAAAUUACCCCUAGUCCGCAUUAUAGCGUCUACUUCUAGUUAUGUGCCUAUGGAGAUCGAGAUUUCACAAGUUCACUUCUGAAUUACCCUUUUAACUCAGUAAUCAACCUCAAUUGGCAUUCGUAAACUUUAUUAACUAGUGUAUCAAAAUACGAGGUACUAUAAUAGUCUCCGCUAUUUAGGACAUAUAUCUCAUGGUAAAGAGAAAAAGUCAUAUAUAAACCUAUAAAUACAAUGACUUAAUGAAGCUAUCUUUUACCUUAAAUCCAAGCUUUUAAAACUUGAUCUUAGAAAAAAAAUGGAGGAAAGUUGAAAGGAAGAGGAAAUAAGGGUUAGAGGAAAAAGAAAGGUGUAAAAGGAGGGUGAAAUGAAAAGUGGAGGCUCGAGUAAGGGUUUUAUUUUAUUUUUUCCACUCUAGGCUACAAGGAUUAAUUUUUUUUUUGAAAGAUCAAUCCUUUUGCUCUAGGGAUCGAUCCAUUUUCUCCAAGGGGCCUAUCCUUGAGUUCUAGAGAACAAAAAAUUGAUUUUUAACCUUCAAAGCUUGACCCUCUCUUGAUAGAGAUAUACCUUUCAUUCCUUAACUUGGAAAAAUUGGUUUUUCUUUUUAUUUCCUUUCUCUCCCAUUCUUCAAAUAUUCAUUCCUUUGUUUAAAAACCACAUAUGAAGAGCGAAAUUUAAGAAUAUUUUUGUUGGAAAACUCAUAAUAAUAACUCAAAAGAGACUCGUUAAAAUUUUGAAAGAAAUUUACCAAUCUACCUUUGGAUGGAAAGUUGAGGUUUCACAUUCUUCUUUGGGAUGGCUCUCUACUUCAUGUUGUUGAUCAGAAAUGCAUUUUGGCGAGUAUUCGAGUGUCAUCAUCUUCAUCUACUAUGUACUGAUUCAUCUUGUCUCCUUUCAAUUUGGUUUAUUCUUGAAAUGGAUGUUAAUAUUGAUUUGAUGUUUCUUUAUCCUUUGUUAAGAGUGGGGUUUUGUGUGAAAAGGUUUGCAUUGUUUCGAUGGAGUUUUGAGUGGUUUUUGUAUAGAGAUUUGUUAUAGGUUUGAUUGUACAAAUCUAUUGUGUCGUAGCUUGUAUUUCGGGCUACCAACCAUGUGAGACCUCAACCUUUAUAGAUUCGUAAUUAAAAGUAGACGUGAUAACAUGGACUAAGGGUAAUUUCAUCAUUUCCUCUAAUAAGCUUCCAGAAAAAGGUUUUCUAAUAUUUUAAGGUCUAAGUUGGCAUAAGGACCGAAUGAAUGAUGUAUAAUGAUGAAAACAUGAAGAAAACUAGAAGUGACAAAUAUUUUCACAAUAUGGGCAAAAUGGUCAUUUUACACAUCGAGUAAAAAAUUUUAAGUUUUUUUUACUCAAGUACUUUUAGACUAUUAUGGACCUUGUCUUGGUGUCAAAAGAGUAAAAGGAUUGCACAAAGGGUUGGAGGAGAACAAGCUAACUAGUUGAGGGCAUUUUUGUAAUUUAAAUGGAGUUGGAUAAGCUUGAGCUAUAAAUAUCUUUUUUCUUUCAGCAGCUUCUUCUUCUUCUUCUUCCUCUCAUCUCACGUUGCUUUCAUCCUCCAUGGAAGCUUGAUACGAAACCUCCAUAACCUCUGUCAAACUAGCUCCAAUUUUCAUGCUUUUGUGCACCCUUCCAUAAGAACCUUUGUGCUUUUUCACUCUCUCUUUAAAACCCUUGAAAAGCCUUACUCUAAUACUUUCUCUCACUAGUUAGGUGUUCUAGAGAGAGAAAGAGAGAAAGAGAGAGAGAAAGACUUUCAACAUUUAUUUGGAAGCUAUUGAAAGAGAAUUCAGCUACAAAGAAACCCUAAGGUGAGUGAUGAACUAGGCUUGGUUUUAAGUUGUUGAUAAUGGCUAGUAAUUGGGAUUAUGAGCUGUUUUAUUAUUGAGGUUGUUUAUUUAUUUUUAGUAUGAUUAGAGUAGUGCAAGGAAUAGCCAUUUGAUAUAGUUAGAAGCCAAUUAGGAAUGACUAGUAGAACUUGAAUUAGAAACUAACUUUCGGAGUGAUAUUAAUGUAAAUUGGAUUAGUUGUGAUGUUUUUAUGUGUGAUAGGUUCCACCGAGGCCCAACAGCCCCAUUUGAACCAUUAGUGGAGGUUAGAGUCGAUUAGAGGUUCAACAAUACUGGUGAGUGAACUUGCAUUUCAAAAUUGUUUUGGAAAAUAGAUUUGUGUUAAGAUGAAUUAUUUGCAUGAUUUUAUCCAACUUUUCGUUAAAAAUGGGUGCUUGGGAACAAGCCCUUGAUAAAUGCUUUGAUGUUGUAAAAGGUGUGAAAUGUGUAAAGAGGAUGAAUUCAUGUGCUCCUAUAUUGUGUUGGUAUACAUAUUUGAAUGUAUGUUGUGCAAUGAUAAAUGAUGUUGUAUGAUGAUAAUGAGGUGUGCGAGUAGGGAGUGCACACAUGAUGACAUUGAAAUGUGAGAGUAGGGAGUGCACAUAUGGUGGUAUUGCCUUGUGCGUGUAGGGAGUGCACAAGAGAUGAAGAAGGUAGGGUGGUGUAGGUGUUAUAUAUGAUUAUAUCUAUAGAUAUGUGAUAGAAUGUGUGUGAUUGUAAAAUGUGAUUGUAUGGCAUGAUGAAUCUUGAGAAUUUCCUCUUUUCUUGCAAAUUGAUUUUAUUGCAGCACCAAAUGGAUUUUUAGUGCAAAGGAGGUCCUUUUUACAUGUAGGUGCCCUGUUUCUCACUGCAGCGAGAAACAUUCUGUUUUGGCUGCCAUAAACUCACUGUAGCUAGAAACUCUCAGGUUCUAGUGCAGUACUUUCACUUUGAUGAAGAUUUCAACUAUCUUUCCAUCAGAAUUGGGAAAAGUAAUAAACAUAAAAGUUGUAGCCCUGCUCUUAUCUUUCUAAUGGUACAAAAAUCAUGUCAAUUGGAUUCUUGUAAUGAGAGAUAUGCUAGAAAAACUGAAAUAUAUGCAAACUGACAUUGUUUCUCGCUGCAACAAGAAACUUGCUGCCAUGCUUGCUACCUUGCUUGAUUUUGACAUAUUUUUAACCCAUUUAACUUCAUGGAUUGAUUAUGGGCUUUUGCAACACUAUGAAAUUGUUAAUUAGGGAGUUUGAAGGGAGGGAUUUUUAGUAAGAAAUUAAAUCAAUUGCAUUGUUUUUGAAACAAAUGCAUCAUGAUUUCUUUAAACUUUCCUUAUCGUUUGCUUAUUCCCUUCUGAUGUUCACUCACUGAGUUUGUACUCACCAUUUUCAACUUCAUGUUUUCAAAUCAGGAGGCAGUUACUAGGUCGAGGUGUUCUCGUAGAUUCGACUCUUGGUAAGUGUCUCGGCAUUCAGUAGCUAUACUUUCGCCCUAGUCUCUCCGCUGGAAGUCGAGUACUCUUUUGUUUUGUAUAGACAAACUCCAUGUAAAUUAUUAAGACAUAUGUUUUAGACAAUACAUAUAUCUUUGAUUGGUAAUACCACUACGAGUUGGCAAUGCUUAGUAUUAUUUUGAUUCGAAGUUAUGAAAUGUGACUUAGCAACUUUUGAUGGAAUGAUAAACAGGUCAUAUAAGUAGGCUUGCGUGGGCUUAGUAGGCUAUGUCCAUUGGGCCCAUGCGCAGUUCAUGGUCCAGAAUUUGGGUCGUGACAACCCAACUGGUUUUUGAGUUAGUCUCAAUGUAUUGAAUGUGUUGUUAUGACUUGCAAUAGCAUAUCUCUUUUGCAUAUAUGAAUGAAUAUACAACUUUUUGCCUUUAAAAAAAAAACUAAAAACUACAAAAAAUUAUAAAAGAAAAUUACAUAUUUGGCCUCUUACUUAAGGUGGGAUACAAAAAAGUUUGCAAUUGAUCAAAAGUUUUAUUUAGUUUUUAUUUGUAGACAAGAAAUCUUGGGGUUAAGAGUGUUAAUAAGAAUUAAUUCAAUGUAAGAUAAUUUAGUGUAAGAGAAUGUUGGCAGUAGUUGAGAUUCUUAUAAAAAAAUAUGACCCGACCUAUUUUUAAUACAUGCCUUAAAAAGCUACAUUUUAAGAUUAUCUCAAUAUAAUUUAAAGUCUUUUUUAAAUAUUCAAAGAUCCAACACAUAAUGUACAAGUUUCGCAACUUCCCUUCCUUUCACAAAGAAGUUCUAAAUUUUGAAAAGAUUAUAUUUCUUCUGUUUCAUGUUUGUCUUUAAUUUCAACUUAACACAAAAUUUAAGAAAUUUAAAUGUGAAUUUUAACUUCAUUGAUUUUGAAUUUUCUUUCACAACCUAUCCUGACAUAAAAAAAAAUUAAUAGUUAUAAUUAAGGCUAAUAAGGAAAAAUAAGAAUGAUCUUUCUCUUUUUUUUUUUUUUUACUUUUCCAAAUAAGACAUUAAUUUUGGACAACUAACAAAUGUCAAUUAGGUACUAAAAACCUUGAAAACUUUUCCCUAUGGAAUCGGGACCCUCCCACUUUCCCCUGUUACCUCUCCCUCACAAGAUGGCUGCUGGCCAGCUGCCAGACCCUUCCACACUCUUUCUGCCAACUGGGCACCCCUCUCCCAUAUAAUCGGGACCCAUCUAUUCACCCAAGGAAACACAAAGUCUUGAGCCUCCAGUCAAUAAUGGUGGUUUACAAACCAUUGACCCUCAAAACCAAAGCCUCAUCUGGCAAAGAUCCCAAAAGAAAUCUUUUCUUUUUAUCGUGAUAGGAGAACGAUAACCCAUAAUCCCACCAUCCCGAGAGCCUUUCUGGUACAAAGACCGACUAACGACAUCCUUUUUUGAUGACGAGAUUACAACCCUUGCUUAGCCCUUGAAACAUUCCAUGAUCGAUUUUUAGUCAGAGAAUGAGUCUUCAUUGGUUCCGGUUUGGAUCUCGUUCCCAGGUUUACGUGCCCACGUGUUUGAGAAAUCGAAUAUCUUGAUGAUAGCCAAGACGGUGGCUAACCGUUGUUCGUUGAUGAAGCCACUGCAAAUGGAUCGCGAUCUAGCAUUGCAUGGGUCUGCGUUGAAACGUGGAGUUCUCUAAAUUGCUAGCAUAUUGCACUCACUGUAGCCAUGUGGGUCAUGACGUUGCGGCAUGCAUGGUACUGGGCAACAAGCCAGAGAGGAUGAGUGAAAUGAGACAGAAGCCAGAGCCAAACAUAAAUAAAGGGAACGAUUUGAUGCCGUCCAAGAGGUCAAUUGAUGUAGAAAAAAGGCGAGAAAUAAAGGAGAAGAUUGUGAGGUAUGAAGAAGGCAGUGGGCCGAUUCUAGAAAAAAGAAAAAAAAAUCCAAAAAAUAAACAGGUAAAACCGGCGACACAGAACCAAAGGUGGCAAGUAGUGGGCAAAACAUGUAGCAGUGGAGAAAAUGACAUGAUGGGUAAAGAAACAAAUCUGGAGAUGGCUCCCCAACAAACCAACGUCCCAGUUUUCAACAGAUUCCAAACAAUCAUGGAGGAUGAAAACGAAAAGCAGAAUCGGUUCGAAAAACAGGGGCAAACAGAGUACGUGAACAGUAAUCACACAAGAAAAAUUUUUUCAUUGGGUGUUCUGGUAGACGUGGAGGAACGGUGACAAACUCAAACAAGCAAGAUCAGUAGAAUCCAAGAGUGCCGGAGGAUGGGCAGUGAUACGUCUCAAGCUAAUCAACAGCAGCAGGUUAUGAGUGAGAAAGGUGUAGAAACACUUGCUAUGAAGCAAGUAGCUACAAUAGAUAAUAGGAACUCAAUGCAUGCAAGAGUGGCAGAGAGUUGGCAGACUGAUACAGACACCAAUGCAAGCGUAGAACAGGUUGGGGACUUUGACUGUGUUAAAUGGGCAAUGGAGGCAGGUCAUGUGACCCUCCGAAAAACCAAAAAGAAGAAAAAUCGUAAGCUGAAGGACAGGUUGUCUGUGGCGGCCAUGCAUGGUAAUGGUCUGAUGCGGUUGAAGGAUGGACAUUACUCGGAGAGUCAAAAACAACAAUUGGAUUGUGUAAACUUGGACAUCGAACAGGUGCAAGAUGGUGGUGAAAAUAGCUUCAAAGGGGCUGAGCAGCUAAGUCUACCCAUAAUUCCAGGAGAAGAAGACAUUUAAGGGAAUGAUGAGUAUCAUCCAGUAACCUCCCAUGCAUCCCAUGCAGGAAGUGAGGAACGUUCGAAGUGUUUAACGCAGUAGGGAUACCCCACGUACCAACCACAAAAAAUUCAUUAAAGAGUAGCAAGUGAGCAAGAGGGUAGGAGUAGGGAAUUUUUUCAUGCAGACCCAACCUUGGGACUAGAUGGUCACUCUUUUGAACAUCAUCCUUUGGCUUCCAGAAGGAGGACAUCAGACAGUGAGGUAUCCUAUAUUCCUGCUGAAGAUGUUUCUUCAGAAAAAGAAGAGAUCUCAGCUAUAGAUGGAUGCGAUGAAGCUUCUAUCUCUUGGUACUUCCCCAUAAACACAUACCCAUGAUAAGUUUAUUAAUCUGGAAUGCUCGGGGUGUUGCUGGAAAAAUCAUCCAAAGAAGAAUAAAAACAUUAAAGUUCAUGCACCAGAUAAAGAUAUUGGCUAUUCUAGAACCAAUGGUACAAGGCUCGCAGAUUGAAUCUUUUAGAAGGAAACUUGGCUUUGACGGUGCGGCUGCCAAUUGUUCACAGAAGAUUUGGCUUUUCUGGACUCAUGAAGUCUGCUGUUCCAUACGGUUUGAUCAUCCUCAAUGUCUUCAUGCUAGCUUUUCUUUACCGUGGCUUUCAUUCUCUUUUCAAUCUUCAUUUAUUUAUGCUAAAUGUACCCGAUUAGAAAGGCAAGAUUUAUGGGCUUUUUUGAGAAAUGUAACUGUUGGAAUAUAAGAGUCAUGGCUUGCUGGUGGUGAUUUCAAUGUAACCCUAAACAGGGAGGAAAGAUUUCUAAGUGCAGAACCACAUGCCGGGUCUAUGGAGGACUUUACAAUGACGUUUUUUGAUUGUGGAUUGUUAGAUGCAGGUUUUGAAGAUGCAGGUUUUGAAGGAAAUAAGUUUACUUGGACUAAUUCCCUCAUGUUUCAGAGGUUGGACAGAAUAGUUUACAAUAUGCAGUGGGGUACUCAGUUUGCAAAAAUGAGAGUCCAACACCUCAACAAAGAUGGUUCUGAUCACUACCCAUUACUAAUUUCCUGCUUAGAGUCCUCGGCUAAAAAUUCUUCUUCCUUUCAAUUUUUACAUGCUUGGUUAAAACAUCAUAGAUUUAUAAGUUUUGAUGACAGGAACUGGAAAUAACCAAUGCAUGGUAACGGGUUGAUGGCUUUUUGGCUCAAGCAACAAUGGUUGAAAAAGGCUUUGAAAUGCUAGAAUAAAAAUGUUUUUAGUGACAUAUUUAGUAAUAUUAAGGCUGCUGAACAGCAUGUGGUGGAGUGUGAAAAAUUAUUUGAACAGGAACAGUCUACUGUCAAUCGAACACAACUUAAUCAGUCUGGCAACACAACUAAACCAUUUACUUAGUAAUGAGGAAGCAUUCUGGCAACAAAAAUUCGGUGUCCGAUCGUUAGUGGAGGGAGAGCGCAACACAAAGUUCUUCCACAUGCGGUUGCAAAAAAAACGAGUGAAAAACUGCAUUUUUAAAACUAAAAUCGAGGACGGUACAAUAUUGGAGGACCAAGACUAGAUUGAGUUGUCUGUUGUUGAAUAUUCUAAUUUAUUAAAAGCUAAAGCAACGGAUUUGACCAGGUUCAAUGCUGAUUUAAUUCCUCAUUUGAUUUCUGAUUUGGAUAACCAAAUUUUAUGUGCAGAACCGACAAUGGAAGAAGUGAAGGAAGCUGUUUAUGCCAUUGACAAGGAUAGUGUGGCUGGUUCUGAUUAGUUUUCAUCAUUUUUCUAUCAACAGUGCUGGCAUAUAAUCGCGAAUGAUCUUUUGAUUGAUGUGAGAGAUUUUUUCACAUGCUCUACAAUGCCAAGGGGGGUAACUUCUACAACCUUAGUCCUCUUAGCUAAAAAAUCAGAUGCAGAAUCUUGGAGUUAUUUUUGCCCUAUCAGUCUAUGCACUAUUUUUAAUUAAAUAAUUAUUAAAUUAUUAGCGAACCGGUUAGCUAAAGUACUAUCAUCUUUAAUCUCGAAUAACCAAAGUGGCUUUGUAAGUGGUAGGUUAAUCAGUGAUAAUAUUCUUUUCGCCUAGAAAUUAGUUGGUAAAAUUGAUUAUAAAGCUAGAGGGGGCAAUGUAAUUUUGAAGCUUGACAUGAUGAAGGCCUAUGAUAGAUUAAAUUAGGAUUUUUGUUAUUUAAUAUUGGAGCAUUUUGGUUUCAGUUCUCAGUGGAUUGACAUGAUUAAAAGGUGCAUUUCCAAUUGCUGGUUUUCACUAUUAGUCAAUGGGCAUUUGGUUGGCUACUUUAAAUAUGAGAGAGGACUAUGUCAAGGUGAUUUUAUUUCGCCUUUAUUAUUUAUAUUGGCAGUAGAAUAUUUAUUGAGAGGUAUUAAUUCUGUCUUUGCCCAAUAUAAGUCACUGCAUUUUCUAUUCGGGACUCUCUUUAAAUAUUAGCCAUCUCACUUUUGCGGAUGAUAUAAUGAUUUUUACUAACAGAAGCAAAUCAGCUUUGGUGAAAGUGCUUGGUUUUUUACAGGAAUAUGAGCAAGUCUUGGGGCAAAAAAUAAGCCGACAGAAAAGUUGCUUCAUUACAACUCCUUCGAUGGCCAAUUCUAGACGGCAAAUUAUUUCACAAACCACAAGCUUUCAUCAUAAGACUCUUCCUGUUAAAUACCUUGGCGUACCUCUCUAUAAAGGACCCAAGAAAAUGUUGCUUUUUGACUCACUCAUAUUUAAGAUACGCGAUCGGAUCUCAGGUUGGGAAAACAAAGCCCUAGCACCUAGUGGCCGUAUCACACUACUACGGAGUGUCCUGUCUUCAUUGCCAAUUUAUCUACUACAAGUUCUUAAGCCCCCGGUGAGUGUCAUUGAAAAAAUAGAAAGACUAUUUAAUAGUUUCCUAUGGGGAGAUUCCUCAGACAGCAAACACAUACAUUGGACAUCUUGGAAUAAAGUCACAUUUUCGAGCUCAGAAUGCGGCCUGGAUAUCUGCAGUUUGCAAGACAUUUUCGGGGCUUUUUCUACAAAACUUUGGUGGCUUUUUCAGACAUGUAAUAAUUUAUGGACACAAUAUAUGAAAGCCAAGUAUUGUAUUGGGCAAAUCCCGCAGACAGUAACUCCUAAACCGCAUAAUUUGGCGACAUGGAAACGGAUGAUUCAUGGUAGAGACAUAUCCGAACAGCAUGUACAGUGGAAGGUUGGCAAGGGAGAACUUCUUUUUUGGCAUGAUUUAUGGCUAGGUGAUAGACCUCUGGUACAUUAUUUUCCCUCAUACUCGCACUCUAUGGUAAAAGUCAAUUAUUUCUUCGAUAAUAAUAUGUGGGAUGUCAACAAAUUGAAAUCUAUUUUACCCAAUGUGAUUAUUGAUGAGAUUUUGAAGAUUCCUAUUAGCAGAAAUAUAGCAGAUACGACAUAUUAGGCCUUAACUCAAAAUGCAGAAUUUAGUACUAAAAGUGCCUGGGAACUUUCUCGACAACGACAGCCUAUUUUUGCUUAGGGUCAACUGAUCUGGCAUAAGAGCAUUCCUUUAACAGUUUCCUUUUUUUUAUGGCCCCUAAUGCAAAAUUGGAUUUCGAUGGAAUUACGGAUGAAAUCCAAAGGCUUUCACUUAGCCUCUAAAUGCCUUUGUUGUCGUUCGGAGGAGUCCAUUCUACAUGUCAUUUAGGGAGGUGCAGUAGCACAGUAGGUUUGCAAUUAUUUUGCAAAAUUCUUUCAAAUUUAUGUUCAUAAUCCUCAGAAUGUUAUGCAUAUUCUUCAUUCAUGGUAUUAUUCUGGAGAUUAUAUGAAACCAGGUCAUAUUUGAAUUUUAUUGCCAUUACUUAUUAUGUGGUUCCUAUAGGUUGAACGUAAUGAUGCAAAACAUAAGGAAAUAAAAAUGUAUCCUGACAAAGUUAUAUGGAGAAUUAUGCGGAUGUUAAGGCACUUCUUUCAGGGGAACUUAUUAAGUAAAGGGCAAUGGAAAGGAGAUAUUGAUAUUGCAGUACACUGGGGAUUUCAGUAUGAACGUGAGAAUCACGGUCCUCCAAAAAUUGUGUAUUAGUCUUGACCUUUGUUGGGUUUUUUUAAGUUGAAUGUAGAUGGUAGCUCUAUGGAUGCUUUCUAGAAUGUUGCAGGCGGAGGAGUACUUCGGGAUCACACAGGUAUGAUUAUUUUUGGUUUUCUAAAAAUUUUAGACCUUAUAAUUCUGUACAGGUAGAACUAAUGGCAUUACAUCGAGGUCUACUUUUAUGUAUUAAACACAAUAUAUCUAGAGUUUGGAUCAAAAUGGAUGCAAAGGUAAUUGUGCAAAUGAUACUUGAAAGACAUAAAGGCUCCUCCCAGACUCGAUAUUUGUUGGCUUCUAUCCAUAACUGCUCGAGUGUCAUCUCUUAUCGGAUUUCACACAUUCAUAGAGAAGGAAACCAAGCUGUUGACUAUCUCUCUAAUCAGGGGCAUACACACUAGAAUCUACAUGUAUUUUCACAAGCUGAAGGUGAGCUUAGAGGAAUUAUUAGAUUAGAUAAAACUAAUUUACCUUAUAUUCAUUUUAAAUAAAUGUAAAGGAGUAAUACUCUUAAUUUAUUUUUGCUCUAUUUAUUAUAAUGAUAAUCUAGACUCUUGUAAUACGGAAGCAUUGGAAUUUUAUGUUUGCCUUCAUAAAUAUGCACAUAAAAUGAAACCUUCCUUUCUAGGUACUUUUCCACAUUCUUCUCAAUCUCAUGUAAUUCUGGAGGUUCGGUUUAUGUCCCCCUCCCUAAUGUACUUAAUUCUUUCGAUUAUUAAUAAAACGUUUAUAAGGUAGCUAGGCCUUGCACAAAUUUCCAGCAUAAAUAUAUAUAUAUAUAAUAAAUGUGAGAUAGAAUGAGUAAUUUCUAUCUCUGGUUAAAAAAUAAUUACAAAUUAAGGGCAAGCAUUUAUUUAAGCCAUUACUUAUACAAACAUCCUUAAAUUACUCAAACCAAGAACUUGAACUAAUAAACCAUUUAUGUUAUAUGUAAUAAUUUUUAUUUUACUCUUGAACUAUAUUUGUUUUUUUGCUCACCCAAUAAAAGAUUUUAUUGAAUAUACGAAGAAAGUGCAUAGUAGAUGUAGCCCUAAAUAGAGAGAAGAUAUCACUAGAAACAAAAGGAAAACAAUGUUGGCUCCAUUAGUUUUUGAUGAUAAUAAAACAUUCUCAGUCUUUUAUGUCUAACCAUACUACUUGAGUGUGCAGGAUGAAAAUGUAUGUCAAAAAUGAAUUAAUCACUAAAAAGCAAAUGUUAAAACUCAUAAGAAUAAGGAGCUACAAUUGAGCCACAAAACAGAAGCCUCUUAAUCAGAUAACCAAGGGAGUUAGUGAACUAAAACUCAAAAAUGGAGAUGAUCGGUUCAGAGAUAGAGACAACUUAAUCGACUAAGAAGCAUAGUUAGUCGACUAAGAGCUUACUGCUAGAAACUGAGUUCAGAGACAAAAAUGACUUAAUCGACUAAGAAGCAUAGUUAGUCGACUAAGAGCAUUCUGUCUGAAGAUUUGAAUUUGAAUACUAAAGACAUAUUAACAACUAGAACUGACUCCAAACUAUUUCCCAACAGUCAAAAACUGUCAAACAUCCAUUAGAGUUGGUUUUUCAAGAAUAUAAGGCACCCCCAAUGGCUAGGAACAAGAUUAAAUGCUUCCAAGAUCAAAAAGAGCUCAAAAAUAACAAAAACUCUCUGCAUACAUUUUGCACUUCACUCCAAUCCUUGUAAUAGAGUUAAGCAUUUCAUCUUGUACCAUUCAGAUCAGGUUAGUGAUCAUAGGUACUUCUUUAUUUUUGUUCUCUUUGAUUACUUAGAAUGUGUGAAUCACUCUAAGGGGAUUGAUCAAGCUUGGGUUAGCUUGAUUGGGUUUAUAGGUUCUAACUCAGCUUAGGAAAAGUUAGUUUUGGGUUUUGGUUUAUCCCGGGAAAAACCAUUGUUAAAGGUUGUAGCUGAGCCUAUGAAAAGUUAUUGUAAAAGCUUGGUGGGAGCUUGGGAAUUCCACCGUUUAUAGUUAUUUGGUUUGGAAAAUCCUUGGUUGAACAAUCAAGGUAGUGGAUGUAGAUCUUUCACCGAACCACUAUAAAUCUUUUUGUAUUGUCUACUUUGUUUUAUUUUUCAUUUUCAUUCUUUCUUAAAUCAUUCCUUCGUUUUGCAUCAAAUUUCUCAUCAUUGACCUUCAAUUUGCCUCUAAUUAAAAAUCAAGUUUAGUGAAAGACAAAAAGUGUUAUUCACCCCCCUUCAGCACAUUUAUUUGGGACCAAAAAGUGCUAUCAGAGCCUAUCCCUCUUUCUCAAGGUUUAAAAUCCUAAGGGAGAUCCUAAUGGCUUUUCAAAAAUUAGCAAUUGCUGAGGCAUAGUCCAUAAACAGACCACCUCUGUUUGAUGGCUCAAAUUACCCUUAUUGGAGCAUUAGAAUGUCAAUCUCUAUAAAGGCAGUAGAUUAUGAGAUGUGGGAUGUCAUCACGGAUGGGCCCUUCAUUCCCUCAACCAUAAAUGUACUGACCAAUGAAAUGAUUCCUAAGUCAAGGUCUGAAUGGACUGAAGCUAAAACCAAAAAAGGUCUAGAUAAAUUUUAAGGCAAUAAACACUUACAUUGUGCUUUAACUCCUACUAAGUUUAACAAAGUGCCAAGCUGUGCCACUGCUAAACAAAUGUAGGACAAACUUAGAGUUAUCCAUGAAGAGACUUCAGAAGUCCAAAAUAGCUCUUCUAACUCAUUAUUAUGAAGUGUUCAAAAAUGGAACUUGGUGAGGACAUCAUCAACAUGCUUGAUAGGUUCACAAACAUUACCAAUAAACUCAGUCAGUUAGGCAAGCCAUUCCCUGAACAUGAACUAGUAAAAAGACCUUUUAGGAGCCUACUUAAAACUUGGAAAUCAAAAGUGACUGCCAUUAAUCUAAGGAUUUAAAUGUCAUCACACUUGAUGAAAUAUGCAGGUCUCUUCUUACUCAUGAGUUGGACCUAAAAGAAGAAGAAGAAAAAGACAAUAGAGAAGCAAAAGAAAUGAAGAAAAGCAUUUCCUUAAAAGCAAGUACUCUUGAAGAAGAAUUGGAUAACUUAUCAUGUGAUGGUGAUGAAGAAUAAGCUAUGGUAGCAAGAAGAUUUAGAAAACUUAUGGGACAAAGAGAUAGGAGGCUGGCUAAGAAAGGUUAUAGAAGAGAACAAAGUUCUUCAUGGAAAAACAGAAGUAAAAAUGAAUCCAACAAAAAGGAAAAUGUCAUUUGUUAUGAAUGCAAGAAGCCUAGACACUUUAGAUCAAAAUGCCCCACGCUGAACAAUGAAAUUCCCAAGAAAAAUAGAAAAUCAAAGAAAGCUAUGGUGGCUGCAACUUCGUCAGAUAAUGAUGUUUCAAGUUCAGAUGUUGAAGAAGAGAAAGUAAAAGAAAGAGCAAACUUAUGUUUGAUGGCCAGAGAUGAUGAAUCCGAGGUAUCUUCUGCCCCUUGUGAUAUUUCAAUUGAUCAAAUUCAAGAAGAAUAAGAAUGCCUCUAUGAUGAAUUUGAAAAGUUGGCAUCAAAAUAUAAGGCUUUAAAAAGAAAGACUACAUCUUUGGAAAAUGAUUUAAAAAAGAUAAGACAUGAGUUCAACUCUGUUUUUGAACAAAGAAAUUUUCUUCAAACUAAAUUAAAAUAUUCAAAAACAGAUUUUGAAGUUCAGAAAUUGGAAUUGGAUAAUAGAACUGAAGCUUAACAAAAAGCAAUUGAUGAAAAUACUGCUCUUAAGAGUUUGAAAAAAGAAACAUCAAGAAGAAACACAUGUUUUAAGAAAAAUUUUGAUAAUUUCUCAUCUAGAUGUUACGUUUGUGACAAACUUGGUCAUCUAUCUUAUGACUAUUAUAGAAGAAGAAGCACAUAGAAAACAAAAAAGAUUUGGGUUUCCAAAAGGAUCUUAUGUAGCAGCUAACCUUCAAGGACCCAUCGAAGUAUGGGUACCGAUUAAGAAAAACUGAAAAUCUAUCUUGUAGGUUGAGCAAAACCGAGAACACAUAUGUUCAAGAGCUCAACUGAAGGAGAAGCAACCAUGGUUCAUGGAUAGUGGCUACUCAAGACAUAUGACUGGAAAUGAAAUGUUGUUGGCUCAGCUGGACAAGAAAAGGGGAGGUAUUUUAUCUUUUAGAGAUGAUUCAAAAGGUAGAAUUCAUGGUAUAGGAACUAUUGGUAAGAAUUCUCAUGCACAUAUUAGUCAUGUGUUGCUUGUUAAAGGUUUAAAACACAAUUUAUUAAGUAUCAUCCAAUUGUGUGAUAAAGGCUUCAAGGUAUGUUUUGAUUCAUAUAAAUGUGAAGUGAUAGACAUUAGCACCAACAAAAUUUCAUUCAUAGGAAAAAGAAUCAAGAAUAUGUAUGUUAUAUUUCUUGAAGAUCUUGAGCUUAAUUGUGAAACAUGUCUUAUGGAAAAUGAUGGAAAUGAUAGUUGGUUAUGGCAUAGGAGGCUUGGGCAUGUAAGCAUGCAUACCAUCUCAAAAUUGAUGAGACAAAAUCUAAUUGUUGGAUUGCUUGAACUUAAAUUUGAGAAUGAUCAGAUUUGUGAUGCUUGUCAGCUAAGUAAACAAGUUAGAACAUCCUUCAAAACCAAGAAGAUUAUUUCAACCUUUAGACCUCUUGAAUUGCUGCAUAUUAAUUUAUUUGGACCAAUAAAUAUAACUAGUCUAGGGGGCAAAUCAUAUGGUUUUGUGAUAGUUGAUGACUACUCUAAGUACACUUGGGUCUACUUCCUUGCUCAUAAAAAUGAUGCAUUACUUGCAUUUGCAAAUCAUUGUAAGAAGAUUCAAAAUGGAAAUGGACUUGUCAUUGUUAGUAUUAGAAGUGAUCAUGGAGGUGAGUUUGAAGGAGAUGAUUUUGAAAAUUUUUGUAAUGAAAGGGGAUUAGAUCACAAUUUUUCUGCACCUAGAACACCUCAACAAAAUGGGGUUGUAGAAAGGAAGAAUCGAACUUUAAAAGAAAUUGCUAGAACCAUGCUUUGUGAAAACAACCUACCAAAGUACUUUUGGGCAGAAGCUAUCAACACAGCAGUCUACAUUUUUAAUAGAGUCUCAAUAAGGGCCAUGAUAUCAAAAAUCCAAUAUGAAUUGUACAAAGGUAGAAAACCAAAUAUUUCUCACUUUAGAAGUUUUGGUUGCAAAUUCUUUGUAUUGAACAAUGGAAAACACUCUCUUGGAAAGUUUGAUGCUAAGAGUGAUGAGACAAUAUUUCUAGGAUAUGCAUUGAACUCAAAAGCUUAUAACAUUUUUAACAAAAGAACUUUAACAAUUGAAGAGUCCAUCCAUGUAGUUUUUGAUGAAUCUAAUGGCUUGCAAAAGGAAGUUCUUGUUGAUGAAACUGAUGCAGAGGACUUUGAAAGACAAAUGGAAGAAAUGACUUUAGAAAACAAGAAAAACAAUGAAGAAAACUCCCUUGAAAGAGAAGUAGAACCUCCACCCUUAGAAAAUCUACAAAGAAUAGAAAGAUAACACAAUGACCUACUUAAGAGCUGGAAAUAUUCCAAAGAUCACCCAUAAGAAUUCAUUAUUGGUGAUCCUUCAGAGGGUGUUAAAAUCAGAAGAGGAAUUAGAGAAACAUGUGAAUUCUCUACCUUCAUCUCACAAAUCGAGCCUAAAAACUUUGAAGAGGCAGAAAAAGAAGAAAGCUGGAUAUUGGUCAUGCAAGAAGAACUUGAACAAUUUGAAAGAAACCGAAUGUGGACGUUAGUUUCUAGGCCAUCCAAUCACCCAAUUGUUGGUACAAAAAAGGUGUUCUGAAAUAAGGUAGAUGAGCAAAGUAAUGUCAUUAGAAAAAAACUAGGCUAAUGGCUCAAGGAUAUAAUAAAGAGGAAGGCAUUGACUAUGAUGAAACAUUUGCUCCUGUUACUAGGAUAGAAGCCAUAAGAUUAUUGCUUGCAUUUGCAUGUUUCAUGAACUUCAAAUUAUUUCAAAUGGAUGUGAAAAGUGCAUUUUUAAAUGGUCUCGUUCAAGAAUAAGUCUAUGUUAAACAAUCCCCCGAAUUUUGAGGACUUUGAAAACCUUGAUUAUGUUUUCAAAUUACAUAAGGCAUUAUACGGAUUAAAACAAGCUCCAAGAGCUUAGUAUGAAAGACUCUCAAAGUUUUUAGUUGAAAAAGGGUAUAUUAGAGGAAGUAUUGAUACAACAUUGUUCAUUAAGAAGUACUUGAAUGAUUUAAUUAUUGUUCAAAUAUAUGUGGAUGAUAUUGUGUUUGGUGCUACUAAUGAGGCUUUGUGUUAGAACUUUGUUGAAGAAAUGCAGGAUGAGUUUGAAAUGAGCAUGAUGGGUUAACUGAAAUUUUUUCUUGGCCUUCAAAUCAAGCAAUGCAAGGAUGGCAUCUUUAUCAACCAAGAAAGAUACACCCAAGACAUGCUGAAAAGGUUUGAUAUGUUGAAGCUAAAGUCAAUCAGCACUCUAAUGAGUCCCUCUACCAAGCUUGAUAAAGAUGAAAAAAGGAAGAGCAUUGAUCAAAAGCUUUAUAGAGGUAUGAUUGGAUCUUUGCUUUACUUAACUGCUAGCAGACCUGAUAUUCAAUUUUGUGUAUGCUUAUGUGCACGGUUUCAAUCACAACCUAAAGAGUCACACUCAACUACAGUAAAAAGAAUCUUUAGGUACCUAUUGGACACACAAAGUCUAGGACUAUGGUAUCCAAGAGGAUCAUCUUUUGAUCUUAUUGGAUAUUCUGAUGCUAAUUUUGCAAGAAGUAAAAUAGAUAGAAAAAGUACUAGUGGCAUUUGUUAACUUUUAGGAAACAUGCUUGUAUCUUGGUCAAGUAAGAAACAAAACUCUGUUGCACUUUCAACAGCAGAAGCUGAAUGCAUCUCCUUAGGUAGUUGUCGUGCUCAAAUUUUAUGGAUUAAACAACAAUUAAAAGACUUUGGAGUAACCAUGCACAUUGUACCAAUAUUCUGUGAUAACACAAGUGUCAUAAACAUCUCAAAGAAUCCAGUUUAGCACUCUAGGACCAAACAUAUUGAAAUUAGACAUCACUUUAUUCGAGACCAUGUGAUUAAAGAAGACAUUAAAAUUGAGUUUGUUAACUCUUAGCAACAAUUAGCUAAUAUAUUCACCAAGCCCCUGAAUGAGGAAAGAUUCUAUGAAAUUAGGAGAAAUCUAGGAAUGGUUAAUGCACAGGAGCUUUAGGAAAAUUUAUGAGCUUUUCAUUCAUAAGACAGUAGGUACUUAGUUGAUCAAGAGAAUCGCUUAACCAACUAAAAGCAUUUUGUCUCUUUUUGUUAAUAGACUUAGUUUGAUAAGUGCAAAACUUAGUUAGUUAAGAAACUAAAAUAAAAAUGAUAAAAUUUAAGGAUAAAGGACAAGCACACCUAGUGAAAGAGAAAAAGAAAAAUCGUUAAACUAAAAAUAAAAAGAGAGGUAAAUUUUUUAAUUUUGAAAAUAGGGGUAACUAACAGCAUUUAAAAAAGGGAGUUUGAUGAUUUUUAAAAAAGAAAAACCAUUAUUAACUUCUCACCCUCUCCCCUUAUUCUCUCACAUCAGAAGCCAUACCUCUCAAAACCAAAACCCCUUUCCUCUCAAACUCUCAAAACCCUAAGUCUGAAACUACUCAAAAUCGAUGGCCAAAUCCACAUUACCCAGUAAUGUUUUGGAAAUGAAGAAAAGAAAAUGACCCAUGAAAGAAAGUCCACCAUCCAAAAUCCAAAAGAAGAGGAAGAAGGAUGAGUCAACUUCAGUGAUAGAGAAAACUGGGAAGAAACAAAAAGAGAAAGAAUAGAAAUUAGUGCAAAAGAAAAAUCCAUCAGAAAAGGUAAUCCUCCAUCCACCAAAUUUAGAAAUAAAACUCAUGAGGAUAGAUUUGGGAAGAUAGAGAAUGCACCCAUUUCAUGUGGGAAAUAUAUUGACUAGGACAGCUUUAAUAAGGUUUCAAAAAUUAAAGAGGGUUUAUCAUAUUAUUUUGAAGAGAUAAAAUUGAAGAAAUUGAGCAUUUUUAAGAACAUAACCUAUAGUGCUACCUUUGUGAAGGAAUUCUAUGCUAGCAUUGCACUAGAUGAAAAUUAUGAGACCUUGACCUUUAUAGACUCGUAAAAGGAAGUAUACACGAUAUACCUGAUCAUGGGUAAUUUCAUCAUUUCCUUAGUAAGCCCAUAAAAGUAAGAUUUUUAAACAAUAUUAUGGUCUAAGUAGGCCUAAGGCAUAAAUGGAUGGUGAAAUUAGGGGUAAAAUGGAAAGGAAACUAAAAUUUCGAUGAUUUGCAUAGUAGGGGCAAAAUGGUUAUUUUUCACCUCGAGUUAAAUUUUAUGUUUUCAUGAACCUGAGUAUGUUUAGACCAUUAUGGACCUUGUCCUAGUGUCAAAAGAACAAAAAGAUUGAUGGAGAGUAAGUUAAUUGGUGGAAGGGCAAUUUGGUCAUUUUAAGGGAAUGGAUAAGUUUGGCCUAUAAAUACUUUCUUCCAACAACUUCUUUUCCCAUUUUUCAAGCAGCUUGUCUUCUUCUUCUUCUCUCUCACGUUUCUUCAAAACUUCCAUGGAAGCUUAAUAUGUAGCUUGCAAAAUUUUCUCUCUUUAGCUCUAGUUUUUAUACUUUUGAGCCCUUUUAACUAGAACCCUAGUAUUCUUUCACUCUCUCACUUCAAAACCCUUGGUAAAGUUUAUUUCCAUACUUUCUCUCACUAGUUGGGCAUUCUAGAAAGAGAAAGAGAUAAUUACCCCACUUAUUUGGAAGCUAUUGGAAAGAAAUUCAACUACAAAGAAACCCAAGGGUGAGUGAUGAACUAAGCUCGGUUUUAAGCUGUAGAAAAUGGCUAGUAAUUGGGAUUAUGAGUUGUUUUAAUGUUAAGUAUGUUCAUUACUUUUUUAGUGAUUAAGUUAGUGAACAUAGAUAGCCAUUUAAUGUGGCAAUUGAAAACUAGCUAAGAGAUAGCUUUUAGAGUUCAUAGUGUGUAAAUUGCCCUAUUGCUUAUGCUAAUGUGAUCCUAGGUUCUAAGGAAACCUCAUCAUCUCAUUUGGACAAUUAAGGGAAUUGGAGUCAUCUAAAGGCUCUACAAUCAAUUGGUGAGUGGACUUGCAUUUCAAACUUGUUUUGGGGAAUGUGAAUGAUUUUAUCUAACUUGACUUUGAAAAUGUGCCUUGGGAACAAGCCUUUGGUGAAGUGAUUUUAUAUUGUGGAAAUGUGCUAUACAAUAUGCUAUGUGUUAUCAAAAUAUGAUAGUAAGCAUGAUAUGCAUUGGGUACUUCUUUGUAUGUUAAUGUGGACCCAGUUAUGUGAGAGUAGGAGUGCACAUAAGUCGUUGCUGACUUGGCUAUGUGCGAGUGGGAGUGCACAUAAGUCGUUGCUGACCCGGCUAUGUGCGAGUGGGAGUGCGCAUAAGUCGUUGCAUAUGAGAUGAUGAUGAUGGGAGGGUGUAUAUGAUGAUUGAUAUCUAUAUAUAUAUAUACAUAUAUGGUAUAUGGUUGUAAAUGCAAAAAUGUGAGCAUUUAAUUUGUUGAAAUUUGGGAGUUUGCAUGUGUUACAUGUUGUUUUUGUUAUUUAGCAGGAUGGCUUUGUUUUAGGGGAAAAGGGAACCUUUUUUCUGGAUGUUCUGAUUCUCGCUGCAGUGAGAAACCCUAGGGUUUUGAAGGGGUAGGCUGGCCAAAAACUCGCUGCAGCGAGGAUGCAUUUUCGCUGCAACGAGAAUGACACAGUAGCUUCUCGCUACAGCGAAAUUCAUUCUCAUUGCAGCCAGAAACUUUCUGUUUCUGGGUUACAAUUUCACUGCAGCGAGAAACAUUCUAUUUCUGGGUCACAAUUUCGCUGCAGCGAGAUUCAAGCUAAAAACUUUAUGUUUUGGUCUCCUAUCUUGUCCAAUUGCUGCCCUAUCUUUCACUUCUUUGCUACCAUAUCGGAGUAUGGACUUCCAAUAUUAAGGAUUAAAUGAGUUAAGUUUAAAAUGAAGAGGUUUGGUGAGAAACCCUCGGUUAGUUCAUAAUUUAAAUCAAGUGUCACUGCAGCAAAUAUUCAUUAUAGCUGCAGCGACAAUGCCUUUCCACUGCAACGAGGACCCGUCGUUUAUUGACUUGAUUCGCAUGAAUGCUAUUAAAGUUUUCACUCUCCAAAUCCUUUGUUGCAUGGACUCCUUUCAAUAAGUGAUUUUUCUCAUGUGGGGUUUACAUGAGGGGUUUAAUAAGUUCAAAAACAAAUUGCAUUGUUUUGAAAAAGAAUGCAUCGUGAUUUCGUUAAACAUUCCUUAUGGUAUGCUUGUUCCCUUUCUUGUUCACUCACUGGGUUUAUACUCACCAUUUUCAACUUCAUGUUUUCAGAUCACGAGGCAGCCGGUAACUAGGACGAGGUGUCCUUGUAGAAUUGUAUCCAUUUUUGGUAGGUGUCUCGGCAUUCAGUAGCUGUACAUUCGUCCGAGUCCCUCCGCUGGAAGUUGAAUAUUAUUUUGUUGUGUAUAGACGAACCUAAUGUAAAUUGUUAAGAUACAUGUUGUAGACAAUGUAUAUACACUUGUUUGGUAUGCCAAUAUGAGAUGGUAAUGUGUAGUUUUAUUUUGAUUCUAAGUUAUGAAAUAUGACUUAGCAGUUAUGAUGGAAUGAUGAACACGUCAGAUUAAUAGGCUUGUUUGGGCUUAGUGGACUACGUCCAUUGGGUCCAUGCGCCGGUCAUAGCCUAGAAUUUGGGUCGUGACAAAAAUGAACCUGAAAAACCUGAGGAUUUUGUUGAUGAUGGUCUAAAUGUGUUCCAGAAUGGAAAGGAGUUUGUGGUCACUACCACUGAUUUGGGAAGUCUGCUCAAAGUUGAGUGUGAAGAAGGAGAAUAUGAAAUCCCUGAAGAUUAUGAUCCCUCAUCUCUAUGGGAAGUAAUCACAAGGAAAAAGGAAAGAUAUUCAUCAAAAAUAUGUGCUAGUUUCAUUAAAAGCUCUCAGAUUAGGAUCUUGCAUUAUUUCAUUGCCUUAACAAUUCAUGGAAGAAGUGAUAGCUUGAGCUACAUAAGCCUUCAAGACAUGUGGCUGAUGGAGCAUGCCUUUAAUGCUACUCCCCUUAAUUUAGGUAGAUUCAUGAUAGAAAGAAUGAAAGGAACAUGUCAAGUUGACAAGGUGAAUUUGCUUUAUGGAAACAUAAUCACCUUUUUGGUGAAGAAAAAAGAGAUAUGGAGUUCCAGAUAUGAAAUGGACCAAGUUAAAAGCAGGGAUCAAGCAGUCUAUCUAGGAAGUUUGCCAAAAAUGGGAUACAAGCUAGAAGGAGAAAAGUUUGUCAAGACCUCCAAAAUUACUCCAAGGGAUGAGCAUUCCAUCCCUACUCAUGUAGCUUCCUUCCAGAUUUCAAAAGAAAUGAUUCUGAAUUUGUUAAUGAGAAUUGAUGGGAAACUCACUGACCAGUUUGCAAGGAUACAGAAAAUUGAAGAAAAGUUGGAAGAGUUGGAAAAUGUGAUGAAAGAAAAAGGAAAAUCACCUUUUAGUCCUGCAACUGAAGACACUUCUGCAACACAAAGUCCAGCACCAGCAAGACAAGCUACUAAAAGCCCUACUUUUCAAGUUGAAAGUGAUGAACCAAAAUCUAGUCCAUCAAGAAAAUCACCUACCCUUGAACCUGAAAUCGAAAAAGAAGGCAGUGAUAACACAAAAGUGGUAGGAUUGUUUAAUGACAAUUCUCCACAGCAUGAUGAAGCACAAACAGAUAAACCAUCCCCUACAAACUCUGAGGAAAUUCUAAUCAUGGAUGUUUUUCACUAGAUGGUAAGGGAAGAAUAAGCUAAAAAAGAAGCAGCCAAGAGCAGAGUAGAGAAACCAGCAUCUGCAAAGCAUCCCCUGAAUCAAUUCAUACCACAGGGAAGAGUGAACAAACUGGUAAAGAAUAAUGGAAACCUGUUGCAUCUGCACAAAAUAAACCUAAGCCGACUGGAAAAGGCAAAAAGACGAUGGCAAUAAAGACCAAGUUCCUCAAGAGGAGAAAGUCUUCCAGAUUAGCUAACAAAGCCAAACCUUUAGUCAAGCCUUCUAUUCAGGAUCCACUCCAUGUUUCAAGCACAUCUUCUUUUGACUCAUCACCACAAAGAUCAUCACCUAUACCAUCUUCUAAACCCCUCAAUGUCCACCUUGGAACUGAUGAGUCUACCCCCUCUGAUUCCUCCUAAACUGGUGCAUCACCCUUGUUUUGCUGAUGACAAAAAAAAGGGAGAAAUAUGAUAGAAAGCUUAGGGGAGAUAAAAAGUAGAAGAAUUUUAGGGAGAAAGUAGAAGUGAUUUAGGGGUAAUUUAGGAAUCUAAAUCUGACUCUGACGAUAUUGGGCUGUUUUUGUUAUUUUGUAGGCUGAUGGUUGAAAAUUGGAUGCUGAUAACUUAUUUUUAUGGUUGUUCUGUUGAAUUGUGAAUGAAAUCUAUUUUUAAAAUGAAAAUGGAUGUUGGUUAUGUUUUCAUGAUAUAUAAUAUUUCUGUUGGAUGGUUAAUGGCAUUUAUUUUUGCAAUGGAUAUUAUUUGUUGAAAAUAUGCUAAUGAUAGUGAAGGAUAUUUCUGUCACCUAUAGUUGAUUGUUCUGUAAGGUUGUACAAAAAUAUUCUGUUAAAUGUCAAAAUCUAUACCUGUCAUUUUCUUUAAGAGAUACAUAAAAACUUGAUGAAUUGAAUAAUAAAAUCAUGCAGACAUUAAGGGGGAGCACACAUUUAGGGGGAAAACGUCCUCAUUUUGUGCAAAACAAAAAGGAAUUAAUAAACACUGUGCUGUUAAUCAAUGAAUGUUUUGUCAUCAUCAAAAAGGGGGAGAUUGUUGGCUUCAUUAGUUUUCGAUGAUAAUAAAACAUUCCCACUCAUUUAUAUCUAACCAUACUACUUGAGUGUACAAGAUGAAAAUGUAUGUCAAAAUGAAUUAAUCACUAAAAAGCAAAUGUUAAAACCCAUAAGAAUGAGACGCUACAAUUGAGCCACAAAAUAGAAGCCUCUUAAUCGGAUAACCAAGGGAGUUAGUCAAUUAAAACUUAAAAAUGGAGAUGGUCGGUUCAGAGACAGAGACGACUUAAUCGACUAAGAAGCAUAGUUAGUCGACUAAGAGCUUAUUGCCAGAAACUGGGUUCAGAGACAGAGACGACUUAAUCUACUAAGAAGCAUGUUAGUCAACUAAAAGCAUUCUAUUUGAAGACUUGAAUUUGAAUACUAGAAGUCAGAUUAACGGCUAGAACUAACUCCAAACUAUUUCCCAACGGUCAAAAACUAUCAAACAUCCAUCAAAGUUGGUUUUUCAAGUAUAUAAGACACCCUCAACAGCUAAGAAUAAGAUUAGAUGCUUCCAAGAUCAAAAGAACUCAAAAAUAGCAAAAACUCUCUACAUACUUUCUGGACUUCACUUCAAUCUUUGUAAUAGAGUUAAGCACUUCAUCUUGUAUCAUUCAGAUAAGGUUAGUGAUCAUAUGCACUUCUUUAUUUCUAUUCUCCUUGAGUACUUAGAGUGUACGAGUUACUCUAAGGGGAUUGAUCAAGCUUGGGUUAGCUUGAUUGGGUGUAUAGGUUAUAACUCAGCCUAGGAAAAGUUAGUUUUGGGUUUUGGUUGAUCCCGAGAAAAACCAUUGUUAAAGGUUGCGGCUGAGUAGGAGAAAAGCCAUUGUAAAAGCUUGGUGGGAUCUUGAGAAUUCCACCGUUUAUAGUUAUUUGGCUUGCAAAAUCCUUGGUUGAACAAUCAAGGUAGUGGAUGUAGGUUUUUUACCAAACCACUAUACAUCUUUGUGUAUUAUCUGCUCUGUUUUAUUUUUUAUUUUCAUUCUUUCUUAAAUCAUUCCUUCAUCUUGAGUCAAAUUUCUCAUCAUUGACCUUCAAUUUGCCUCCAAUUGGAAAUCAAGUUUAGUGAAAGCCAAAAAGUGCUAUUCACCUCCCCUCUAGCACAUUUAUUCGGGACCAACAAACAAUACAUGUAAAACAAACUCAAAGUAACUAAACCAAAUAGCUAAGCUUAACAACAAUAAGAUAAACAUUAAAAGACAAAAACAAUAACAAUUAAAAGGCAAGAAGCGCAUGACUGCAGUUAUUCUACAAAAGGAAUGUCUCCAAUUAUAAAUUGUCCAAUGGUAAGAAGGAUAACGAGAAAAGCAGCAGAAAAAGAGACGGAUGCCCAGGGACUAUUAAAAUAAUCCUGCUUUAAUUUCGCCUUCCAUGUGUUUCAACGUCUUGCACAAUGCCUCUUCAGGUCAACAAAUAUCUCCUCAUAGUAAAAGGUGUCGCCUUGAGCAAUAGCUCCAUCAUUACCCAAUAUUUUCGAGAAUUCCAUGGAAACGAAGCGAUUGCACAUCCUUGACUGAGUUAAUAAGGUUAUCCAUCAACGUCACAUAAUCAAUGACAUAAGUUGAACCUUCCUCAUAUAGUUCAUAGGCAAUGAGGUUACGAAAGAGACACUUGGUAUAGUCUUCAACCACAAAGGUUGGAAUCUUCAUUGUCUUGUCUGUAAAGCUUAUAUCAAACAAACUCUUCACAUCGCUCUCUUCGAAGCUAUUCAUGAAUUGGAUUCUUGCUUCUUCUAACUCUGUUGCACAACGUAAGGAUUGCCACUCCACUAGGCCUUUUCUUAAAUUUUCCUUUUCUCUUGAACAGCAUACCAAUUUCUUUUUGAAAGAGUUGUGGUCGGCGCCUUUAGUCACACCGCUUUCUUCGUCACCUUGGAAUUUCUUUUCUUUUGGCUUUUCUAGACCGCCUUCUUCUCCUACCUUUUCUUUUUCCUUUUUGGUUCUAUGGUAGUCUUGAUGGCGCCUUAUUCCAUGAGGAAAAGGAGACUAAUUAUCAUGCACUAAGCUUAGUAGGUGCUUGAUAUUUUCGGCAUCAUUGAUGGUAUGAGGGUUUCCUUCCCUGGCAAGAAAUCAAAAGAGAUGGAAAAUGCAUAGCAAGUGAAAUCUUUCCAUCUGUUGGAUCCUUGAUCAUGUGAUACAAGCCCACUAACACAAAGACAGGAAGUUGAUUUUCAAAUGGCAACAAGUCAUGAUAUAAGGCAUUUAGGACCCACUUUAGUUUGAAAAAAAGAUCAUCACUUGGUAUUUUCCCACUCAAUAGCUCAACAAUAAAGCAGCAAUCAAGUAGUAUCAUUCUUCCAAAUUUAUCUUCAAUAUCAUUUGAUAAGGAUGGGGAAUACCAUCUGCGAGCUCGUUCUAAGUUCAUGGCCUUCACACAUCUAUCCUUGCUUUGCUCACCUUUUCUCUCAAGAAUCUUUUGUAAACACCGAGUUUUGUACACUUCCAUCUCUUUCAAGUGCUACUAAUUGGCACCAUGGUAAUAUGAACCAAUUGAAAUUAGUUGGGGUUCACAGGCACUUUCAUUUACUUGCCGCAUAUGAUGAGGUACUUUCAAAAGAUAAGCCUUGUCGUUGAGUCCUGGACAUGGAGAUUCUUGUAUCAACAAUGCAAAAAUAUGUAAGAUACUUUGUUGAAAAGGAGACACAUUUCGAUAUAUGCAAAAGCCAUACCAGCUAAAAUGCGUUAGAAAAAGAAAGUUUUAGAAAGCUUUCUUUACCUCAUGCUCAGCUGAGCAAAAGAGUGAGUGGCAAAUGACAGACAGGUGUAAGAGAUUAUAGAUUCAUACUUUUCAUUAGAAGUUUAAUAUUGUCGCAACCACUAUUCAAGGGAAGUUAACUAAUUAAGUCUUCAGUCGAAUGUAAUAAACUAAUGGCCCGCCUUGUCCCAAAACAAUUUUUAAUAUAAUUUUAUUAAAAAAGCCCCUAAAAGACAAGGUAAGUGAUAAUUAAUAUAUAUUGUAAUUUAAAUAUUUAAAUAUUGUUAAAAAUGAUGACAAUUUUUUGUUUUUAAUCGUCAAUUAAAGCGAGGCAUGUCUAGGAAUAUCGAACGUGGAUUGCACAGUAUCACAUUUGGUGGACAGAAAGCCUUAUACUUGACCUUAAUUAACUAUUUUUUACAAUGAGAUGGGCUAAUCUAAACACUUAAUUUCAUGAUUACAAGUAAAUUUCCUAGACAUUUUUAAAAUUUUCAUUUACCUGAAUAGCAGGAGGUAUGGCAGAAGCUAGCAACUGCAAUGACAUCGAGUACAACUCAAUGGCCAGCUCCUUUUUCCACUCUUCUAGCAGUGGCUGCGACCAUGGCUUCACCUGUCCAAGAUCAAUGUAACUUUUUUCUUUUUUGCUUUUGCUAGGCCAAUGAUUUAAAUAUUAUUACUGAGUUCAAAAAUGAACAAUCAUAAACGGCAAACAUAAGCAGUGUCAUACAACUACUUAGUUGUCAACACCAAAACCAGAGCAUAGUUAUAACUUUCAUCCAUCUUCUACCAUAAUCUCUUUUAAGCUAGUGAUUUGUCCCUCUCACAUUAUAAUAGUGAACCACUAGUGUUCAAUCCCUCCUGCCAUAAAACAUUCACAUACUAGGAGAAAGAAAGACACCCAAACAUAAAGAACACACAAGAUAGUAAGACACUUCCUACCACAUACUAGGACCAUUGCUUAGGACAUAAAACCAUCCCCUUGGCCACUCAGACUUAAAAGAUAAAUGUAAGAUACAUUGCAGGGAAGGAGAAACUAUAGGAAACAUGCAAAAGCGAAUGACAUCAUUUUCAAUGCUAAAAGUUGGGAUAGCUUACAAUUUUUUGAUUUGAUUAAAAUUAGAAUAACUUGGUGGGUUAGAGCUAAGUGGAAGGAAGAUCAAUUUUUGGUGUUGAAUAUUUUCAGAUUUCCAAAUUUAAUGAAUUUAUCUCAAAUUAGUGAAUUUAUCUAUCAAAGAAAAGAAAACGCAAAAAAAUGUCAAAGGGUCAACUUAAAUUUAAUGUUGUCAAGAAUUGGUGGAGUGCUUAGAGAUUUCAAGGGAAGGAUGCUUAUUACUUUUUCAAAGGCAACAAGGAUUGGUGAUGCUAAUGGAGCUGAGUUCCUAGCUAUUAAGAAAGCAUCUCUUAUUUUCGUGGCUUCUAAAUGGGUUUAUUCUCAUUUUUUUCUUAUUGAAAGUGAUUCUGCUAUGACGUCAAAUGGGUUAAUCAGCCUCAAUUUGCUCUUUGGAAUUUCAUAUCACAAGCUUUGCUUAUCGACCAUCUCAAGAGAAGAAUUAAGAAUUGGGAGAUAUGUCAUGUGUUAAGAUCAGCAAAUAGUACUGUUGAUUCUCUGGCAAAGGAUGCUGUUGUCAGGAGAUAGGAGCUAGGGGUUAUUUAUAUUGUAUUAAAUUUUUGUUGAUGCUUUAUUUUUGUACUCAUAAAAUUCCUAGUUAAAUUAGUUAUGGUUCUCACCAAUAAAAUUGUAUAAUACUAAAAAAACCAAUUAAAUCAAAACAAAUGUAUUCUUUGUGAAAAUUAAACAUAUUUAUAUUUAUAUUAUCAAGAUAAAAGUAUUUAAUGGUUUAUAAAUUUUAAUUUAAAAAUGAAUAAUGAUAAGAAUAAAAUAAUUAUAGUGGAUAUUAGCGACUGAAAAAUCUUGACGUAAAUUAACUUGUAUGAAUUAAUGUAAAAAAUUAUAAAAGUCAGAUUUAAUGUAACAAGACAAUUAAGUUGAAAUAAAUAUAAUUUUAAAAAAAAUUAUAAAUCUAAAUUUAUAUUAUCGACGGAAAAGUAUUUAAUAGUUUACAAAUUUUAAUUUAUAAAUGAAUAAUAAUAAAGAUAACAAUAAUUACAGUGAAAAUGAACAAUUGAAAAACCUUGACGUAAACUUAUAAGAAUUAAUGAAAAAAUUAUAAAGGUGGAAUAAACAUUAUUAGAAUAUUAAUGUAAAUGUGUGAGAUUUAACAUAAAAAGUCAAUUAAGUUAAAAUAAAUAUAAUUUUUAUGAAAAUUAAAAAUUAAAAUUUAUAUUAUCGAGCUAAAAAUAUUUAAUGAUUUACAAAUUUACAAAGCCACAUGUUGAGGAUUUUUGUUGUUGUUUUUUUUUUUUUGUCUCUUAUACGCAAAAAAGGUUGUUCUUCCAUUUUCCAAUCAAAAUAUUAGCUUCUGUAUCUAAUGAUAUCCAAGAAAAGAGCUAUGCGCCCGAGUGCAAUAUUCAUAGAAAAUAAUAAGACAAUCAGAUUUAACUCCAACAAAUUAACCAAACGCAUCAGAAAAGCAUUAAAAAGUAUAAAGAAUGUGAAAAAUGAAAACAAAGACAAGAAAAGAAAGCAAUCGCAUAAAUCAUGAUAUGAUAGGAUAAAUGAUAGGAUAAAAAGUAAUAACUAUACAUAGAUAGCACUCCUUUCAUUUAUGGGGGGUGAGAAAGAAGUCAUGAAAGAAAGAUUUUGGACCUUAAUUCUAUACCUGGACUUGGUCUUCCACUGGAGAUGAUAAAUGAAUAUGGGAAGAUUGAAUUACAACAUCUCCUCCCUCCUCUUUUGAUGGAUUCGAUAAGAAAUGAGUCCGAGAAGAAAUUAUGUUGGCCUUGUUUCCGUUGUCCUCCAUCUGCUCCAUUGCUUCACUAUAGAAGCAAAGAAUUAAGAAGAAAAUUUUUUUUACUAAAUUGUCGUUGAGUGAAAGAGUUGUUCCCUCGUUGCUCUCUUUAGUUCAUGGAAGGAAUGGUUGGAGUUCAAUGGGGUUUUGGUUGGGUUAUAAAUGAAGUGGCUGCAAUACAAUUUUUGUUUCUUUUUAAAUUUUUAUUAUAGAAAGACUAUUAUAACAUAAUUAUAGAAAGUCAUAAAACAAAUAUACAGGAGUUGAUUGGAGAUGAUUCCUACAAACAAAUUUAGAGAGAAGUUAAUUUAUAACAUGCUGGUGAAACAAGUCACAUGGUAUGCCACUGGUCAUGGAGGAGAGAAGUUGUGCACGGUGGAGCUUUUUUUCUGCACUAUUUCUAUUUGUUUCUUGUACAUUCUUUGUUGGUGCCAAUGGGGUUUAGAUGGAACUCAAGGAAUCGGGAAAAUUGACUUCAAGGCGAGCCUUUCAAUAGACGUUAUCUUUAAGACUUAUUUCCCCCCCCACCAUUAGAUAUGCAAAAGGGAAUAAUGUGAAUAGUCUUUGGGAUACAAUGAAGCCAACGUCUAACUUCAUCUUGCACUUUAUUAGAGUAAACCACUAGAUACACCUGAGGGUUUGCAAAGUUGUUUGGCCUUAGAGCCUACUUUAUGCAGCAAGUAGAUUAUAGGAAUUUGGACACUUUUAUAGUUGAUGGUAACUUAAGUGUUUAUGUUAAUAGAACAUAACACUUUUCUUGCUCUUGAUUUUUCUGCUCUUGUUUUGUUUUUGAUUUGAUGUGUCAAAAAUGGUUGGUAACAAGCCCUUUAUAUAGGCUUGCAAGUGUCUCUUCUUCAAGGACACAACAUUUUCAUUAAGGCACCAUUUUGUCCAAAAGACAUCUUUACAUGUUGUCAGACACAACUUUUGGAUAAAAGUAUUGUUUCAAUAAUCAUCUUAUGAAAGGACAAUUAUUCAUUCCAUAAAACAUAAUCUUUGAGUUAUAAUUUGAAACAAUAGUUUCUCAUAUUUAAACUUUUGAGCUAUGGUGUUUUUUCAAUUUGUAUCAUAACUUUUGGAUGUUAUUUUACCAAGAGACAUAACCAUUCACAUGAAAACCUACCUACAAUCCAAUAGUCACACUUUGUCACUUUAUGUGACAUAACCUUUGAGCUAAGAUAGCUUUUCAUUAUGUGACAUAACCUUUGAUUUUGAAAAUACACCAACAAUCCCCCACCAUUGUCAAAAUUUCCAAAUACCAACAACUUUGGGAACCUUGUGCAUAAAUGAAGGUAUCCCGCAUAUUUGAACCUUUGCUUAGUGAAUGUGGUUGGUUUUAGUCUGAAUUGAGUGGUUGACCAAGCAUUGAACCAUCGAUUCUUCAUUUGACUAGUCGGGCCACUAAACACACACAAGCUUCCUUGCUCACUUUGUAUCUAGUUUUGCUAACAUGUUUUAUGGCCUUGUGUUUUGCAUCCAUUCAUGAGUGUUGUUAAAGUCAAGCCUUUAGCUCCUAGAAGUGGCCACUCACAUAAGUAGCUCUCAUCGAAAGUACUCCGAAAUUAUAGCACUUUUAACAUAUGCAUGUUAUGGGUCUAUUAAGAACUUUUGUUCAACCUUACCUUACACAUUACGUGAACCAAGCACUAUACACCUUGGGAUGGAAAAUAUAAAUUAGUGCUUGCAAUCAUCCAUGUGGUAGAAUGGUCAAUACUUAAGACUUGCAGGUCGGCCACAAGCAUCGAGGUGAGCUCCCACCAUUAGAGAUUUAGUUGAUAGGCUUGAAACCCAUCCAUCUUGAGGUCUUCAUUACCAAGUCCUUUUUAGACUUUUAGUAAACGGAUUCGCUAAAUUUUCACAAGACUUCAGAUAACUUAUAGUGACUAUGCCAUCACUAAUUUUUUGUCUUACAAUGCUAUGUCGAAGUCCAAUAUAUUGACUCUUUCUAUUGUAUGCUUGAUUAUAUGCCUUUGAUACAGUUGCUUCAUUAUCACAAUGUAUCAAGAUUGGUGCCAUUGGUUUAAGCCACAAUGGAAUUUCAUAGCGUAAAUCUCUCAACCAUUCUGCUUCUUGGGUGACAAAUGCUAAAGCUAUAAAUUGAGCUGCCAUAGUGGAGUCCGCUUGACAAGAUUAUUUCUUAGAACACCAAGAAAUAGAACCCCCACCAAUUGUAAAAAUCCAACCAAUCGUAGAAGUAUGAUCUGUUCUAUUUGAGUUUCAACUAGCAUUUGUAUACCCUUUUAAAACUGAAGGAAAACCUGAAUAACAAAUGCCAUAAUUCUUUGUACUCUUUAAGUAUCUUAGAACUCUAUGAAUAGCAUACCAAUGUUCUUUACUUGGAUUACUUGUAGAUCAACUUAGCAUCCCAAUCGCAAAAGCAAUAUCUGGCCUUGUAUAGACCAUAGCAUAUUUUAGGCAUUCAAUCACCUUUGUAUAUUCAUUUUUGUGAUAUUGGCUUGUCUUUGUUAGGUACAAGCUUUAGAUUAGAAUCAUAAUGCGUAGACAUUGGCAUACAAUCUGACAUACCAUAUUUCAUUACAAUCUUUUCAAUGAGAUUGAGACAAUGUUAGGCAAUUAUUGUCUCUCAUUAUUCUUAUGCCAAGAAUAACAGCCGCCACACCCAUAUUUUUCAUGUCAAAAUUCUUUGACAAUAACCUUUUUGUGUCUUCCAUCGGUUCCAAAAUUGGUACCAAAGAUUAACAUGUCAUCCACAUAUACACAAAUGAUGACACUUGGAACUUACUAUAGACACAUUUAUUAGAUUGAUAGAUCUUGUAGCCAUUAGCUAGCACAACCUUAUCAAACUUUGAUGCCAUAGUUUAAGUGCUUGUUCUAAUCCAUACAAGGACUUUACAAGUUCACACACAUUUCCUUUUUGUCUCAAUUGACAUCAUUGUAUCCUAAUGUAUAAUCGGAAUGUCAAAUUAGCACAUCAAGGUAUAUGUUUACAUAAGCAUCAUUGCACCUUUAUUGCACAAUAGGAAUGCCAUAUCAACGAUAUUAAAUAUCUAUAUUACACUAUUAUCCCUUCGAUGAUAAAAUGUGAUUGCACCAUAUAUCAAGAUGUUAAAUUUACAUAUUGGCACCAUUAUAUCUUCAUGUAUAAUAGGAAUAUUGCCUUGUGUCUUCCAUCACAUAGACCUUCAUCAACUCAAGAUGGCUUACUUUAGGAUAUUUAUCUUUCUCAUUUUGUUUGUAACUUCAUCUUGGUUGCAACAUUUUUUUUUUAUUUGAAGAUGAUUACCAAGGUCCUCGAAAGACAUCUUUUCUUUCUUAUACUUUUUCUUACUAUCUUUCCAUGAUGGGAUAAGUAUGUCAAUUGUAGAAAACACAACAAUAACCUUAUUCAUAUCAAGAUUAUAUAAGAAUAUAACAAAAUCUUUCUUUUCAACUGAUAUACGUUUUUCCAUGCAUAUCGAAUAUAAUAUCAUGCAUAUCAAGUAAGGAAAGAAAACUUAUCCUGUAAUCUGAUAAGGAACCAUUUUGUCACAUUCUUUGCCACCAUCAAAUCAAUCCAUCUUUUGCCAAUAAACAAAGUUUCCUUUUUCAAAGUGGUCUAGCUUGACGAUGGUGUUGUAUCACUUUUAAGAAACCCAUUGAAUUCCAACACCACAAAAAAUAAGUCUUAAAAUUGUUGUUGCAAAUGGGGUUUGAAUGGAACUCAAGGAACUAGCAAAAUUGACUUCAAGGGGAGCUUUUCAAUAGACUUUAUCUUUAAGACUUAUUUUGCCCCCACCACUUAGUAUGCAAAGGGGAAUAAUGCGAAUAGCCUUAGGGAUACAAUGAAGCUAACGUCUAAGUUUGUCUUGCACUUUACGAAAGUAGACUGCUAGAUACACCCGAGGGUUUGCAAAGUUGUUUGGCCUUGAAAUCUACUUUCUGUAGCAAGUAGAUUAUAAGGAAUUUGGACACUUUUGUAGUUGAUGGGAACUUAAGUGUUUAUGUUAAUAGAACACAACACUUUUCUUGCUCUUGUUUUGUUUUUGAUUUGAUGUGUCAAAAAUGGUUGGUAACAAACCCUCUAUAUAGGCUUGCAAGUGUCUUUUCUUCAAGGACACAACCCUUUCAUUAAGGCACCAUUUUGUCCCAAAGAUAUCUUCAAAUUUUGCCAGACACAACUUUUGGAUAAAGGUAUUGUUUCAAUCAUCAUCUUAUGAAAGGACAACUAUUCAUUCUGUAAAACAUAAUCUUUGAGUUAUAAUUUGAAACAAUAACUUUUCAUAUUUAAACUUUUGAGCCAUGGUGUUUUUUCAAUUUGUCUCAUAACUUUUUGACGUCAUUUUACCAAGAGACAUAACCAUUCACAUGAAAAUCUGCCUAUAAUCCAAUAGUCACACUAUGUCACUUUAUAUGGCAUAACCUUUGAGCUAAGAUAGGUUUUCAUUUUCAUUAUGUGACAUAACCUUUGAUUUUGAAAAUACACCAACAUUUUUUUCCCCGAUGCUCCCAUAGAUUUUGAAAAGGAUGCAUGAUGUGCUUGUAUAUCUUCAUUUUCGUUGCUACUAAUGUUAUUUUGUUACAAAUGGCUUUCUGUUGCUCAGGAACUUUUGUUUAUUAUAGUGGAUGUAUGUACCCCACUGGGUGGUGCUUUCAGGUAGAUACUUUAUUCUUUCACAAUUCAAAUAAUUUGAACUCUGAGGCUUUCUUGUACUUAAUUAUUUAUUAUUAAUGAAUUGGGCUUUGUUUGAGGAAAAAAAUAUUAUUUAACAACUCAAAUCCAUCACAAAAGCAUUAAAAAAAUACAAAAGAAUGAAAAAUAUAUAUGAAAAAAACAAGAAGAGAAAAAAAAGCAUGGCAUAAAUCUUAAUAUAAUAGGAUAAAACCCAUAGCAACCCCUUGUCUAUAAGGGGUGAGAAACAAGUCAGAAAAGAGAUAUUUUGGACCUUAAUUAUUUACCUAAUCUUCCAUUAGAGAUGAUAAAGGAAACCGGGAAGAUUGACGUAAAGUAUCUCCUCUCUCCUCUUCCAUCGGAGGAAUCACAAAAAAUUUUGUCGACCUUGUUUCCAUGUCCUCCAUAGUUUCGUUAUAGAAGUAAAGAAUUAAGAAUAAGACUUUUUACUAUUUUUUGGUUAUCGUUGAGUGGGAACUUUAUUUGUUUUGGUUGGGUUAUAAAUGAAGUAUCUGCUUUAAAUUCUUCCCGACCCUACUUAUAAAAUUCUCGAACUACAUGUACAUGUACAUGUUAAAUCUUACUCAAACAUAUUUACAAAUAAUAUAACAAUGGAAAUAAAUAGAAAUUGAUACUAACUUCUAAUUAAUAAAAUAAAAAACUUUUUUUAUGAGAUCUUCUGAGCCAGUGUAAUUCACUACGAUAGAUACAUGGUUAAUGAAUUGGUUGUGUCAAGGAAGUCAUAAGAUAUCUAUUAUUUUUUUGGUACAUCAUAAGAUAUAUAUUUAUAGACUUCCUCCCAUCAAGGAAAUCUAAUAUCUCCCAAACUUUAAGGGAUAUCUUUAUUUAGAAUUUAAAAUAGAUUUUAUCUAUAUCACUUAAACUAAUAUUGUCAUAUACUUAAAUGUGAAAGAUAAAUUUUUGCUAGAUAAUAACAAAUACGUGAUAGAACCAUAUUUGAAUUUUAAAUUUAAAUCAAAUCUAGAAUUCCAACAUUCUCCCACUUGAUCCAAACAUUUGUUAUUUUAAUAUCUACACAAUAAAUUAGUUUAAUUACCCAAAUGCUUAAAACAAAAAGAAUAAAUUACAAGAAUCAUGGUUGUAAGUCCUUUAAAAACAAGUAUUACCUUCCAUGUAUUACAAUGCAAAAAUCAUUUUUUGCAAAAAGCUCAAUAUGUGGUAUAUAAUUUUAUGAAUAAACCUCAAAUGUUUAUUCGAGGUUCUCAAAGGUAAUUGUUAUUCUCAAUUUGAAAAGAGAAAACAAUUAAAAAUUCAAAGUUUCACAAUAAAAUAUGCUAACGUCUUAAUUCAAACGAUAUGUGACAAGAUGCACCCAAGCAUCUGUCUCAUUGGUUGCAGCAUAAUCCCCUUGCCUAAAAAGCAGGGUUCGAAUCCUCCCUUCCCUAAUUAUAAAAAAAAAAAGACAUAACAAAGUUCCAUUUGUAAAACAUGAUCCUUAAACAACUUUGAUGGCAUGCCCUUUGUUAGAGGAUUUGCAAUCAUUAGCUUAGUGUGAAUAUGCUCAGUGAGCACUUUAUUUGCUUUUAUGUGCUUUCUAACAACUAAGUAUUUAAUGUCAAUGUUUACUUCUACUUUCACUCUUAUUAUUCUUAGCAAAGAACAUAGUUGAUGAAUUGUCUCAAUACAACUCUAAUGGCUUCGAGAUAGACUCAACAACUUGAAGCCCAUAAAUGAAACUCUUCAACCAAAUAUAUUGUGAUGUCACCUCAAAACAAGAAACAAACUCUACUUCCGUGAUAGAAGUAACAAUUAGAGAUUGCAUUGUACUUCUCCAAGAUAUAACUUUUCCAGCAAAUAUAAAGAUUUAUCCAAAUGUUGAUUUACGAAAGUCAACACAACCAGCAAAUUUGAAUCUGAGUAUCCAACUACCUCUAGAUUAUUGGAAAGACUAUAUGUAAGUAUGAAAUCUUUUGUUCCUUGAAGGUACCUCAUGACCUUAUUUGCAGCUUUCCAAUGGUCUAAUCCUUGGUUGCUUUGAUAACUUCACAACAUUCCAACUGCAAAUGUAAUGUUUAGUCUAAUACAAAACUAAGCAUACAUUAGGCUCCCAACAACUGAAGCAUAUGGAAUAUUUUUCAUCCCUUCCCUUUCAAGAUCAUUUUUGGAACAUUGUUUCAAGCUAAACCUAUCACCCUUCACAAUGGGUGCAACAUUGAGUGAACAAUCUUUCAUCCAAAAUCUCUUAAAAACUUUAUUGAUAUAGGCUUCGUGAGACAAUCCCAAAAGGCCCUGAGAUCUGACCCUAUGAAUCUUAAUGCCAAUGACAUAAGAUGCCUCACCCAUAUCUUUCAUAUCAAAAUGUUCGGAGAGAAAUUGUUUUACCUUAUGCAACAACCCCAAAUCAUUGGUUGCAAGUAAAAUAUCAUCCACAUAUAAAACCAAAAAGAUGAUUUUACUCCCACUAACCUUAUGGUAUAUACAUUGAUCCAUAACACUCUCUAUAAAACCAAAAGAAGUAAUUACAUUAUGGAAUUUUAAGUACCACUAACAAGAGGCCUGGUUAAGUCCAUAUAUAGACUUCUUAAGCUUGCAAACCAAAUAUUCACCAUGAUCAGAAAUAAACCUUUCAGGUUGUUUCAUGUGUACCUCUUCCUCUAAAUCUCCAUUGAGGAAUGCCGUUUUCACAUCCAUUUGAUGUAAUUCUAAGUCAGAAUGGGUAACCAAUGCUAUGAUAAUACAGAAAGAACCAUUUCCAGACAUAGGAGAAAAGGUCUCUUGAUAGUCAAUUUCUUCCUUUUCUGUGAAUCUUUUAGCAACAAGUCUUGCUUUGUAUCUCUCAAUGUUGCCUAAUGAGUUUUCUUAGUUUUGAAAAUCCAUUUACAACUAAUGGCCUUCGACCCAUUAGAUAACUUUAGAAUAUCCCAGACUUGAUUAUUCACCAUAGAAUUUAUUUCAUCAUUCAUGGUAUCAUACCACAAUUUAGAUUUAUUACAAUCCAUUGCUUCUGACUAUACAAGCAAUUUACAUGAAUAUACAAAAUUUACGAAAAAGACAAUUACAUUCUUGGGCUCUUACUUAGGGUGGGAUACAAAAUAGCUUGCAAUUUAUCAAAAGUUUUGUUUAGUUUUUGUUUGUAGAAAAGAAAUCUUCGGUUAAGAGUGUUAAUAAGAAUUAAUUUAGUGUACGAGAAUGUUGGCAGUAGUUGAGAUUAUUGUAAAAAAAUAUGACCGAACCUAUUAUUAACACAUGCCUUGAAAAGCUACAUUUUAAGAUUAUCCUAAUAAAAUUUAAACUUUUUUUAAAUAUUCAAAGAUCCAACACAUAAUGUACACAAAAUUUAAUUUAAUUUUAACACAUAAAAAAAUGUGCAACUCCCCUUCCUUUCAAAAAGAAGUUUUGAAUUUCGAGAAGAUUAUAAUUCUUUCGUUUCAUAUUUGUCUUUAAUUUUAACUUUAUACAAAAUUUAAAGAAUUUAAAGGUGGAUUUUUGACUUCAUUGAUUAUGAAUUUUCUUUCACAACUUAUCUUGACAAAAAAAAAAAGUGAAUAGUUAUAGUUAAAGCUAAUAAGGAAAAGUAAGAACGAUCUUUCUUUUUUUUUUUUUUACUUUUCCAAAUAAGAUAUUAAUUUAGAACAACUAAAAAUAUGCAAAUAUAACAUAUAUAUCAGACGGAAUGAGUAAUUUCUAUCUCUAGUUAGAAAUUAAAUUGCAAAUUAAGGGCAAGCAUUUAUUUAAGCAAUUACUUAUACAACCAUCCUUAUGAUAAACCAUUUAUAUUAUGUGUAAUAAUUUAACCCAUGAACUAUAGUUUUUGUUCUUUUGUUGCUGGCAAAUAAAAGACUUUAUUGAAUAUACGAAGAAAGUACAAAGUAGAUGUAUCACCAUAAACAUAACGAGAACAAUACAACUGAGACAAACUCAAAGGGAAAAACUGAAAGUAACUAAACCAAAUAGCUAAACUUAACAACAAUGAGAAAAACAUAAGGAGACAAAAACAAGAACAACUAAAAGGCAAGAAGCGCAUGAGCUUUAGUUUACCAUAUUUUACAACCACCAAGCCUCAAGCCUGCCUGCAAUCCAUUAUUUUACAAGAGGAAUGAGUGCAGUUAUAAACUGUCCGAUGGUAAGAAGGAUAGCGAGAAGAGCAGCAAUAAAGGAGAUGAGUGCCCAUGGACUGUUAAAAUAAUCAUGCCUUAAUUUCGCCUUCCAUGUGUUCCAACGUCUUGCGCAAUGCCUCUUCACGUCGACAAAUAUCUCCUCAUAAUAAAAGGUAUCACCGCAUAAGAUAACAUGGUCACGAAGUUUGUUAAUCAUUUUAGCAACAGCUUCAUCAUCACCCAACAUAUUUUCGAUUACUUCACUGAAACGAAGCAAUUGCACAUCCUUGCUUGAGUUGAUAAGGUUAUCCAUCAACGUGACAUAAUCAAUGACAUAAGUUGAACCUUCCUCAUAUAGUUCAUAGGCAAUGAGGUUACGAAAGAGACGCUCGGUAUCGUCGUUAACCACAAAGGUUGGAAUCUUCAUUGUCGCGUCUGUAAAGCUUAUAUGAAACAACUGUUCACACCGCUCUCUCCGGUGCUAUUCAUGAAUUGGAUUCCUGCUUCUUUCAGCUCUGUUGCACAACGUAAGGAUUGCCAUUCCAAUAGGCCUUUUCUUAAAUUUUCCUUUUCUCUUGCACAGCAUGUGAUAGUCACACCGCUCUCUACGUC
RNAcentral lists this long non-coding RNA (95251 nucleotides) under Theobroma cacao (cacao). RNAcentral's name for it is "long non-coding RNA (TCAC_LNC004397)". Lineage: Eukaryota; Viridiplantae; Streptophyta; Magnoliopsida; Malvales; Malvaceae. The record is from RNAcentral.